This 131686-nucleotide long non-coding RNA is filed under the name Prunus persica (peach). RNAcentral describes it as "long non-coding RNA (PPER_LNC008207)". The record is from RNAcentral. Lineage: Eukaryota; Viridiplantae; Streptophyta; Magnoliopsida; Rosales; Rosaceae.
UUUUUUUUUUUUUUUGGUUAUGUCCACUAGCACAUAAAUUAUGUAUAUUAAUUUAUCUAAGUAUUUUUUAUAUACUAAUAAUUAUGUACUUCCUUACUUUAUGGUAGAGUAUGAUUAAUGUACCUACAAAAAUGUUAUUUUCUGAAUAAUGUAGCUAGUAUGAAUGAUAUAUUUGCAUAUUAGGUAGUGACUUGGUGUCGCUCUCUCGUACACGAGGAGAGGCGAAACAAUUGGGGGUUUGCACAAAUCCUCCCCUUUUGUCCACUCUCUAUAGUUGGUGUUAGCUCUUGGGUUUGGUUGCAGUUUACGGUGUGGUAUGUCAUCAGUGCCAUCUUCUCGAUGUGGGUGUGGUUUCAUGCGUGCUUUUGAUGAGAGUUGCGAGUGAUGCAAGCUGUGGGUACAAAGGUGGUUGACGUCAAGGGUUUCUUUGGGUCAAUGGAUCUCUUGCGAUCUAGGAUCUCUAGUUUCGAUCCUCAUUUUCUUGGUGUUAGGCAAGGUUUUCAACGGCUAGGACUAUUGGGUGCCAUCUUUUUACCAAUCUCUAUGGGAUCGUUUGGUUAUUCUGUGAUGCGGAUCGCGGAUCCAGGUGGUGAUAGAGUCCUUAAUGACCUUGGGCAAUUAUUCUGGAGACACCUUGUGCUCACGGAUUUUUCUAGUGAUAGUAGAAUUUGUAUCAAAGAUUGUGCUGAUAAGGCGAAGAAGACCAGCCUAGAGGGGUCUCCCAGGGCUCCGUGAUGUGUUCGCUGGAACAUUUUUGGGCUUAGUAUCCGAUAAACGUUCCUACUCUGAUGAUAUUCCAAUGGAAGUUCGUCAUACUAAGAGGUCAAUCUUGGUCUCCCCUGCCUUCUCAUUUACGAGUCUGGAUUAAGAAAUAAGGAGAUGGCAUUUGGUGCUUAUGCUGGCUUUGUUUUGACGCUUACAGUAAGCUAUAUGCAAUGUACAAAGAACUAUGCACUCAUAGGAGGUUUUUGUCAAUAGUCUUACGUUGUGGUGGAUUGUUAUUUGUUGGGCUUGUAGUAGUGCUUUGUUUUGUCUGGUUGGUGGAGGUGCGAUUGGUAGUUCUUCUUUAUUUUGUGUUUUGUUCUUGUGGCAGUUUCGUUUUGGUGUUCUUUUGGUAAUGAAAUUUUGCAUGCUCAACAAUUCUCGCGUUGUACAAAAGACUAUGUUUAAAUAGGAGGCCUUCUUUGACAGAACCUGAGAGGUGGUGGCGUGCUCUUUUGAUGGGUUCCUUUUAGUUUUCACUUUGUUUCUUUGUAUUUUGUUCCUGUGGACUAUUCAUUUUGGUGUGUCAUUGUUUCUAACGCAUUGCAUGCUGAACAAAUCUUGUGCUAUACAAAGGACUAUGUUUACAUAGGAGGCCUUCUUUGACAGAAUCUGAGAGGCCUUGGUGUCCUCUUUCGAUGGGUUGCUAUUAGCUUAUAUUUGGUGGUGGGUUAGAUUUGUUUUAGAAGUGUCUGUUUUGUGAUUCUGGUUUUGUUUGGACUAUUUUGUUAGUCUGUUGCAUGUGUGACACUCUUUUCUCACUCGGACUUAGUUUCCUAAGAAGGUUUUAAUGAGACCACUGUAAACAUGCCGGUUUCUUUUGUACUGUUCCUGGAAUGAAUUUCUCUUCUAAAAAAAAGAUAGUGACUUGGCUAUUAAGUAUAUAUAUAUAUGAAAUGGGGGUUUUUUUGUCGUAAUAUAUAUGAAAGGGUUUUGUUAUGCAUUCUUAUUCACAAAGUGAUAUUUUUUAUAAAUAAAAAAAAUUCUCCAACUCAUGAAAGCCGCCUCCGUUGCUCUUGGCGGGUCUUGUCCAAGUUGAGGUCUAGUAGUGAGCUGACACAUGAGAUUAGGGCUGGCAUUUUAGACCAAAAAUCGAAAAAUCGCAAAUACCGACCUAGGUUUUACCGCAUCUAAACCGACCUAUCAUGAAAAUCGACCGUAUGCAAUUGCAGUUACGGUUCCACAUUUUCAAAUAAUGCGGUAUACCGAAAACGGCAAUAUAAUUUAAUUAAUUAUUAAAAUAAAUACUUAUAAUUAUUUUAUAUUAACUAAUAGAUGCUAGGACUUCAUCAUUUAGAUGAAUCUUUCUCUCCUCUCUUAUCUCUUUUUAUUUUUCUUUUUAUUCUUCCUCUCUCUUUUCCUCUCUUAGGCUCACCUAGGCUUUGAAUGUAUUACUAAUGAAGUGAUCUCCGGCAAUCUCUUGAAGUUCCCUCUAUUGUUUUUUUAAAAAUCUCAGCCUUGAAAAAAUAUCUUUUGAAUAUUUAGUGAAUUAAUAUAAUUUAAUUAGUAAAUAAUUAAACUUUUUCUAGUAGGAACCUGGGUUUCAAUUAGUAUUACAAACUCAUCGGUUGUGUUGAUAAUUUUCUUAGGUUGUUAUUAGUGGGUUAGCCGAGAUAAUCUCUAAUUUGCAUUCAACUAUGUAGGUCGGUUCAUGGUUCGUCUUUUUACCAUAUCGUAAUACGUCAAUCCGGUUCACGAUUUCAUUGAAAAGUUGCGGAAAUCGAACUGCAACCACCCCUAAGUGGUCAAUACGCUGUAACAACUAGGCCAAAGGGGAGACAAACGUUGGUUGGUUAGUUAGGUACGAGUAAGUCUCGUGCAAAGUCCGCGUCCAUGUGGCAUAAUAUUACUGUUUUGUUCAGCAAGGUAAGUCCCACAUGUCAACAUAUUUGAAACAUUAUAGAUGAUAAAUUGAGAGUGGAGGACAAAUGAAAGAAACAAUUUCUUUUCGUUAGAAAAGAUAUGUAGUCAAGGACACAAAUAUUUCUUCCCCUAUAUACAUGACGUUCUCAUCACUAGAACACACAGUACAAGAUGCAAAGUCACCUAACUGUAAAAUGCAAGAAAUCCUUUUGUUUUGUCUUUUUUUCCUUUUUAUAUUCCCCAACCAAAACCAAUGAUGCAAGGAUCCCCAAAAUGGACCUACUAGUCAAUAAUAAUGAAAUUGGGAUUUAUAUUCACUUUACCAAAAACAUAAAAAGAUUGUGAUUUAUUCACCAAAGGAGAUAAUUUUUGGUUUCCCUAUUUCCCGAUCAAACAAGUUACUAGAAAGUUGACACAAGGGGACCCAACGUACCAAACUUUAUCGAGUCCAGAGGCAUGUGCAUUUGUACUAUUCAGUAAUUAAAAUGGUUGGUACAUAUUUUACCAAAUGUGCAUUUCUAAGUGCUACCAGACUCCAUAUUCAGUCCUCCAAACUCACAACAUCAUUAACAAAUGCAGAAGCUCGGAAUCCUACAAUCUUAUCAAGUUAUAAGGACGAAUAUGUUAAAAUACUUUUGUUAGAUGGAACAUACUCAUUCAUAAAAGUUGUUAAAAUCUUUUGUUAGACCAAAGAAUAAUAGACAAUAAUUUUGUUCUUGUUAUAUGAUUAAAAGGUCAUCCACAUUGUGCAUGGGGUCUAGUUAGUGGAAAAUGGUCUUCGAAUUCCCGCAACAUCAUAGUCUUGUGUGUGUAAAAAAUCUUCCUCUACUGUAAUUUAGACUAUCACUUAUACUAAAAAAAAGGUUAAAAAAUAAUAAGAUUGUGGGUGGACACGUGUGCACUCUGUCCUUUCUAAACAUUAUGUGCAAAAAGCAAAUAGAAGGGAUUUGAGUAAGGGUGGAUGGAAAAGUAGAAAUAAACAUAUGCAAUAUGUAUUGUUUAAUAGAUAAAACGAUUAGAGGGAAUGGGAAAAUGGAUGGGUGAUGAAAACCCCCAUACCACAAUUUUUAAUAUUUCUUUUGGUUAUUUGGUGCCUACCAAACAACAAGAGGAUGCCAUUAAAAAGGAGAAAAAAAAACCUCGUAUGGGUCCUCGAUCCUCCUUUAUUUCAAAAUCUCAAUCCUAAAUUUCUAACCCUUUUCAUUAUGGUUAAUUUCUUUUAGGGUUAUUGAUGAAUUAGUUUUUGGUAUGUUGCAAUAUUGAAAACUGUCUAAAGUUUGAAUCAUCUCUUAUAUGUUAUAAAAAUUAAUAUAAUAAUAAAUCAGAGUUAGACAGAAGCGGAUCGAAAGAGGGAUCAUGAGGGGCAAUUGCCUCCACUAAACAAAUUGAGCCUCCAUUGAUCUUCUCAAUUUCUUGUCUAAGACAUGGAAAAAUAACUAAGUGAGGGCAAAAGCUAAGGAAAAGGGUAAAAUAGCUAAGUUGGUUUGCAAAGUGUUCAUUAAAAUGUCUUGAAGAAGCCGGGCAAGUAAACAACUAGUAGUUACGCAGCUUAGGCCUUUCUUCUUUUACAAAAAUAUUUUGAGAGCUUAUUCAUCUUAUUCCGAGACAAGAAAAUUCCUCGAUCCCUCACUGAUUAGAGUAGCCAUCAAAAGGUUGCAUUAAGAUUUAAACACAACUUGGUAAUUCAUGGAACAUCUGAAGCCAAAGUGAAAAACCAACUCUGUUUUGUGAUGUAAAACCAAAGUGAAGAACCAAUAGCGUUGAAACAGAAAAAUAAAGUGAAAAAAAAAUUCAUGGUGAUAAUAUAAUACACAAAUGGCAUUUCUGUACUUACCUUCAUGUCGUGCAUGGACAGUAAACAUUCUCUUCGGGUUCGCUUGAUCUUUUUAGUCAACCAGAAGAAUAUUGAAUACCUGACAUUGACAAGAAAACUGAAGAAGGAAGAGUACAGAACUUUUAUUUUUAUGAAUAGUUCUAUAAUUUGAAGAAGAAAAAAAAAACUUUUGGUUCCUAUCGUAUUUAUUGCACAAACCGUAUAAUCAGUUGUGACAAAAUAGAGUUAGUUCUAUUCUAUACGUUCACAUGUGUAAUGGUUCACGAUUGGUGGUUCAAACUGGUGGGUCGAAUUUUCUAUAAUCAUUGUUUGAUAUACUGAGACUGAACUUAUUAAAUUGAACAAUAAUCUUAUAUAUUGUUUAAGUUUCAUCUAAAGGAGCGAGACUCACAAAUACUAACUUGAGCAGUCCAAGCAAAAUCAUUAUUUACUGUUCCAAAUUUAAAUAUGAAUUAUUACAAUAUUGGAAGAGAUUUCAAAUUCAAGUCUCUCCACUUCUUUAAGCGAAAAAAAAGUUUAUUAUUAAUAAUAGCAUUUGGCUUAUAAUUGGAGUAACUUCCAUAAAUCAUAUUGUCACACAUGGUAAGUUAGAUACCCGCAAUAAUUUCUAGUAAAAAUGAAUAAAGCUUAUGUCUACAAUUUUUUAUUAUUAUUUAUUUAAGAACAGAGAAUAUCAAAAGAAGAAACUGAAUCUUUCCCAUUCUUUAUGCAUAGGGGGAACCAAUUUAGCUGAAAAAAGCAAAGAAAGGAGGCUCCGAGUGAUCCAAAACAGUACCUACUAAUAUGCCCAUUACUACACAGCCUGUAAGAGCUCUUCGAAACCUCUUAAGAAGCCGACAAUUGGAGAUAAUUCCAAGCACCCCAUGUGAGUGAGACUCAUCCCUUUUAGUCUCCUUACAUCUUUCUCAGUUUCACUGCCUUCUUUCUCUGCUUUGUUCUGCUGCUAUCUCAUACAAUCUCUGUGCCUGCUCUUAUUUGUAGCCACUUUGUCGAGAAAAUUCCAGCUUAAGUUUUCUGGGUUCUCUUCAAAAUCAUGUGGGAUUCAGAGACUGAGUCAGUUGGAGGGAGAGAUUACGGCAAUGGAGUUCUUAGUUCAAGCAAGCACAGUGUUAAGACUGAUGGAUUUGAGCUAAAAGGCAGCUCUUGGUAUGUAUGAAAUUAGAUACAAUACAAUUUAAGCUGCUAAUUUGGACUUUGAAGUGUCUUGGUGUACUUAGUUGAGUCUAAAUAAAAUGAAAUUUUACUUCUUCAUCAUGCUUGUGGUGUGUUGGUUAAAGGGUAGAUGAUUUUUUAGCAUGCAAACUAAUUAAAAUAUUUGGUGGGUUUGGUUCACAUAUAGGUAUGUUGCAACUGAUAUCCCAAGUGACCUGCUAGUUCAAGUUGGAGAUGUGAAUUUUCACUUGCACAAGGUACCAUUUCUAAUUCUCCCUCAAAUCUUUAUAGUUUCAUAUCCUUGAGCUUACUAGUCUAAUAAUUUCUUUUGUUCUGUCAUAAGUUAUAACCAGUCUAAUUAUUUGUUUGGUAAGAACUUAUAAGAACGGGAUUUUAUGUUUCUGUCAUUCUGUUUUGGAAGUAUCCCCUGCUGUCAAGGAGUGGAAAGAUCAACAGAGUUAUGUAUGAAUUACGCGACCCGGACUUGAGUAAGAUAGCUUUGGAUGACCUUCCUGGUGGACCGGAGGCGUUCGAGCUAGCUGCGAAAUUCUGCUAUGGAAUUGCUGUUGAUCUAACAGCAGCUAACAUUUCAGGCCUGAGAUGUGCUGCUGAGUACCUUGAAAUGACAGAGGACUUGGAAGAAGGCAAUCUUAUCUUCAAAACGGAGGCGUUUCUCAGCUAUGUGGUUUUAUCCUCAUGGAGAGACUCCAUAGUUGUGUUGAAAAGCUGUGAGAAGCUCUCACCAUGGGCGGAAAAUCUUCAAAUUGUCCGAAGAUGCAGCGAGUCUAUUGCUUGGAAAGCUUGUGCCAAUCCAAAAGGAAUAAGAUGGGCAUACACUGGAAAGCCACUAAAAGUUUCAAGUCCAAGCUGGAAUGACAUGAAGGACUCAAGUCCAAGUAAAAACCAGCAGGUCCCUCCUGAUUGGUGGUUUGAAGAUGUUUCGAUUCUUAGGAUUGAUCACUUUGUCAGGGUUAUUACUGCAAUUAAGGUAAAGGGGAUGAGAUUUGAACUGAUUGGAGCUGCAAUAAUGCAUUAUGCAUCCAAAUGGCUUCCGGGUUUAAUAAAUGAUGGCGCGGCUGCAGCAGAUGAAGGAAGCAACAGCAGCAAUAAUAAUACCAGUAAUAGUGGCAGCAGUUGGAAGGGUGGACUCCAUUUGAUUGUGGCAGGAAAUAAAGAUGAGCCUCCAAGUGUUCAGGCCAAAGAUCAACGGAUGAUCAUUGAGAGCCUCAUCAGUAUAAUUCCACCACAGAAGGAUAGUGUCUCAUGCAGCUUCCUUCUUCGGCUUUUGAGAAUGGCAAACAUGUUGAAAGUAGCACUUGCUUUGGUUACUGAGCUGGAAAAACGCGUGGGAAUGCAGUUCGAACAGGCUACAUUGGCGGAUCUUCUUAUUCCUUCUUACAAUAAAAGUGAAACUAUGUAUGAUGUGGAUCUUGUUCAAAGGCUUCUGGAGCAUUUUCUGGUUCAAGAACAAACAGAUAUUUCAAGUCCAAGCCAACAAUCUUUCCCUGGAAAACACUAUGAUGACAUUCAAAGGGGUACAGGCCCAAAUGCUAAGAUGAGGGUAGCUAGGCUUGUCGAUAGUUAUCUUACCGAGGUAUCCAGAGAUAGAAGCCUCUCCCUAACAAAGUUUCAGGUGCUGGCAGAAGCUUUGCCUGAUUCUGCAAGGAUCUGUGAUGAUGGACUUUAUAGAGCAAUUGAUUCCUAUCUUAAGGUAUUUGGUUCUUCCAAAUUUACUCUGUCAUAGAACUGUGUUUUCUAUCUUUUGGUCUAUUCUGUUACAGAAAUUACAUUUUCUUAUGCAUGAACGUUUUGAAUACCAAUUGAAGGUGGAAAAACAAAGAGAAAUUAAUCACUCACAAGAAGUUUGCAUACAAUGGGAGGUCCUAUGCAGUAAACUGCAUGAAAAAGUUUUAAUUAUAGAUAUUGCUUUUCUCCAGCUUCCAUGCUUGAUUGAUUUUAAAGCAGAAAACUUUGAAAAAAUGUGAAUCUGAAUUUACUGCAGAGGUAUUAAAUACUUAAUUUGUGACCCUUUUUGACAUGGUUAUGUGCUUUUUUUUACCUUUUGUGCAAAUCUGCCCAGCAGAGGUCCAAAAAUACAACAGAAGUUUUCCUGUCUCGAUAAUUCGAACAUGUUAUAACAUAUAAGUGGAGGCUGUAAAGAAAUCAGAACCAUAAUAAUCAUAAAUCAAAUAUUAGAACGAUGGUAGAGUAUUACAUGUUUUUUUUGGGUCAAAGAUGGUAGUCCUCCACUACUAUACUCCCAAAUAAGACUUAAAGGAAGUCCUAGUAUUACUGAUUGCUUGUAAUGCUACAUUUCUGUUAGUGAACAAAAUGUCGAUAUGGGAUCUACAAUGUGUGUAGAAAGUGCUGCAAGUCGGCUUUCGUGACUAUGAACUGAAAAUACAGUUAGACAAUGUCAUUCGCCUCUGGUUUAUAUAAGUUUGAUGAACCAUUCUUGAUUUUUUUUUUCUGUUUUUCCUAUAAAGCAUGACAGUAUUUUUGUUGAUCAAUUGCUUCAUAUUAAGAGUUCCCAUCUCCUUAUCAUUAACAGGCCCAUCCUACACUUUCUGAGCAUGAAAGGAAGAGGCUUUGCCGAGUGAUGGAUUGCCAAAAGUUAUCAAUUGAUGCCUGCAUGCAUGCUGCCCAAAAUGAAAGACUCCCAUUAAGGGUGGUGGUGCAAGUUCUUUUCUCUGAACAAGUUAAAAUAAGCAAUGCAUUAGCCACCAGCUCCCUCAAAGAAGCUGGAGAAUCUCAGUAUCAGCCAAUGGUUUCGAAUCGAAAAACACUACUCGAAGGGACCCCGCAAUCAUUCCAAGAAGGAUGGGCAGCAGCUAAAAAAGACAUCAACACGGUAAAGUUCGAACUGGAGAGUGUCAAAGCCAAGUACCUUGAGCUCCAGAAUGACAUGGACAACUUGCAGAGACAAUUUGAUAAGAUGUCAAAGCAGAAACAGACAUCCGCAUGGAGCAGUGGAUGGAAGAAACUAAGCAAACUCACAAAGACCACGAACUUAGAAAAUCAGCACAACAUUGGGACUGAGCACCAAGCAGCUGUAGAUCAGCAGAAUAGAAAGACACCUAGGAGGUGGAGAAAUUCGAUUUCCUGAAAACAAAAAGACAGAUUGAAGGAAAGAGAUAUACAUCUACAUGUUUGAAUUUGUGUUCCAAAGGUUUUCUUUUAUUAUUUGGGGGCUUCUUCCCUUUUUAUUUCAACAGGAGUUGGGAGACUUCUUUUCUGAACACCUGUAUCACUAAAAUCUGAUUUUUUUAAUUAUGUGAGUGAUUUCUCCAUGUAUGCUCUAGGGAAUUUGUUUUCAAGGGGUAAAGAAGCUAAAUAUGUGGCUUCGACUUAUAUUCCAUUCAAGGUUUCUUGCUCGAUAGAUCAAUCGUUUGAUUAGAAUGAGAUCUCAAAAGCAUCAUCUACUUAUAUUCCAUAUAUGUCACUCGACAAAAAAAGACCAGAACUCUUUCUAACCGCCAACUGGCCCAAGACAGAAAAACAAUACCUAAGCAAAAGAUUAAAAUAAAAAUUCAAUCUUAUGGUGAUUUUCAGUGAAAAAAACUUUCCCCUAGAAAAUCUAAAUGCCCCUAGAAAUAGAAAAAAGCUAAAAAGAAACACAAGAGCAUCAAAUCGGCAUGCCAGUAAGGUAAAUGUGAUAUCAGUAGUUUUUAGUUUUCCAAAUUAAGCACUGCAUACACUGGGGCCUCUUAGUCAUCAUCAUUCACAAUAUAUGUCUAUUCUGCAUUAACUUUUUGAAGGGCUUUCCAUAUGUUUCUAGAAAUUUGAUGCAUGAAAGAAUUGAUCGGCAGCCGAAUUAGAGACCACAAGUGUGAUUCUAUGGGACCACUAAGCUCAAAGAUGGUGUUCGUUACUACAAUAAUCACACCAAUUUGGAAAACAAUAAAACAAUCAUGAUAAGGUUUCCACUUAAAACAGUAUAUCUCAUGUUACCCGAAACUCGCAUUAUUGACAUAAAAUGUCCAGGUUGAAUGUUUCAAAACAAAUGUGUUCCAAUGUCUUAUGUGGACGACAACUUUCCAGGUCAUCUGUUGACACUACGUCAAGCAACAGCACCAAGGAUAGGGCUUGAAAAAAAUUAAAUGGAACUCUACACUUGAAAUUUUUUCCAAAAAAUGUCUAUGUACUUUUAAGCCCUUUAGGGGCCGUUCGGUUAGGUUUUUACGGCCUUAUUAUCAUUUUAUGUUUUUAGUUGUUCCAAAAAAUUCUUUUGGUACAUUGUUUUCCAAAACUGAAGAAUUCGUUUUUUGAAAACAAAUUUAAACCUAUGUACAAAAGGUGAAAACGGCAAAUUGUCGUUUUCAUUAUUUUCUGAAAUCUUAUUUUGUCCAAACUAAAACCAUUCAUCUGUCACCUAUUUCCACUUCAUCUCUCUAUCUCCUCACAGCUGAGAAUCUCACAACCAUGAAUUGCGUCCAUCUCCCCUGACCCAAAAAAAAACAACCAACUCUAAGCAAAACAAGCACUCUUCUUCUUCUUCUUCUUCUUCAAGAAAGUAAUCAAGACACCCAAGUUGUCAUCAUCCAUUGGUGGUGGUGGCGGGGUGAAGAGAGGGAAGGAAGGACAACCACAUGGGAGGGAUGGGUUGCGAGAAAGUACGGGUCAGAAGAAGGGUGGUGGGAAGAGAUCUUUUGGGAUUCUAAUUGUGGGUGGUAUGAGAGGAUUAUCUCUUGGGAUGGAGAGGUACAAUAAGUGGAAUUAAGAUUGGGUGGUAUUUUUUCAGAUAUUUUUUACAAGUGUUUGUACCAUAAUUAACCGAGCACAGUCGGUACUAGGGGACUUGUCCAUAGACAAGCACACUAACUGCCGAAGGAAAAACACUCUCACGUUAAUCCCUAAAACUCUGAUGACAUCGUCAUGAUCCCAACCUGCCGAAGAGAUACCUCCCUCCGAAGUGGCAAUUUGCCUAUCGAAGGUGGUUGCCAAAGCUCCCAGCUACAUAACCUAAAGCCUUGGACACGUGUCAUCACUGCGGUGAUUUGCACAAAGUUCCACAUCGAAACUUUGUGCAAACUCCCAUUUUCUCUUCUCUAUAAAAGAAGAACAGUGCUCAAGUAAAAGGGGAACUACUUUUCACCUUUACUAUUACUCUGUCAAAAUUACUGUAUAUCCCAUACUUGCUAACUUAAGCAUCGGAGAGCUUUCGGCAUGUGCCACACCAGUACCCGAAGCUUGACGAUUGCUUCUUCCAUCUUUCUUUUGCAGGAUCGCUUUGUGGCCGAAGACCCUUCAUUGCCGAAGGUCCACAACCCUCUUCAUCUUGUUGAAGACUCCACACUUCUUUUAUCUAAGUUAGCACCCGAUUUCGGGCAUCAAUAGUUUGACGUCGUCUGUGGGAAUUUGACUUUUACAUCCCACAUCUCUACUAGUCAUGCUGAGCCUAUCAAACUCCAUCGUCUUUUCAGUCCAUCACACUCCAAAAUUCAAAGCGAAGCUAGCCUUGGCACUCAGCAUCACAUCCCCAUGUGAAGUCUUCCAAAAGGAACCCUCAAUCGACACGCAUCUUCAGGCUAAAGUAGAGUGACUUCGUGCCUAUGUUUCCAAAAUAACGGAGAACUACGACCACCUCCGUACUAAAAAUGUCAAGUUGGAGCAUGACUGCCGAACCUUGAAGCGUAACUGGGAGAAUACUCACCACCAAUUCGUCCAGCACGACGCCAACCACAGUAUAGAGGGCACCCUGUCGAACCAGCUGGUCGUCUCAUUCCAUAGUGCUCCAACGCAGCCUACCUGACAAGGGCAAAGACAUCCUUUAUUCUAAAGCAACCAAGUCACGGCCUCUCGAAAUUUCCCCUCCAAGGGACCAACCUCAUACCCCAAGCAAGAUAUACAAGGACUGUAUGGAUUGUAUCUCGGAGCUUUGGCUAGAGCCCAUUCAGAUUCUUGUAGAUCUCAACGACCCACGAGUAUGCUCAGUUGGCAAGCCAUUCUUGAAAGUGGAGGAUGUGAUCUGAUCAUUACAUCCCACAAUGUUGGACUUUUUGGCUUUGAACCUCUUAAUGUAGUCUCUGAGGGACUCAUCGUGCUUUUUCUUCAAGUUGAAAAGAUGGUCCGCCUACUUCUUAAUCAUCCGGUAUGAGGUGUACUCAUUUGUGAGGAUGAGAGCUAGCUCAUUGAAGCUGUUGAUCGACCUUGGUGGCAAAGUACAGAACCAGUCAUGGGCUGCUCUUCGCAAGGUCAUAGAAAAUACUUUGCACAUCGGCGCAUCUUCAACCUUGAAGAGAAUCAUAGAACUCCUAAAGUGCUUGAGAUGGCUCUCAGGAUUGCAAUCCUCGUUGAAUGGUGUGAAGGUAGGAGUCGAGAACCGCUUCGAUGGAGCUCACUUGGUCAACCUUCUUGCUCAGGGCAUCUUCCAAAUCUCCUCCGACCUUUAAGUCUUGAAGCCGAUCAUUCACGAGCUUCUUGACGUCCUCUACUCGCAAUGCUUGCAGUUCAUGUCGGGGUCGUCUAUGGCGUUGACGUCGUUAGCUAACUUCUUUUAUGGCUAUAAGGAGUUGCUUUGCUCUUCUGCCUUGCUGGUAUGGGGUAUUAGUUGAUUAAGCUUGUGAAAGAUUUUCUGCGACGCAUAGCUGAGAGCUUGCUCUUCUGGUAUAGGCCGGUGGGCAUCCUCCUUCACACUCUUCAUAAAAAGGGUUGAGAGGUUGAUCUCCCUGUGAGUCUAGCCUCAAAUGAACACUUCUUUGUGGACCCAAGCGGGAAAAAAAUCAAAAUGUGCACCCAGCCUUGUGUGCACAUUAGUUUGUGGACCUACUCUCGAAUGGAUACUCGUCCUGCUCUGGCUCGCAGAUGCUCAGGAUAUGUCAGCAUGCAUCACGUUCGUGUCUUCCUCCUCACCUGCUAGUUCCCGCUUGACUUGUCUGGGACCUCUCGUACGGUGAAAAUCCUUGCAAUAGAUAAACUUCAACAAUACAAUCAAAUACAUCAACAUGACAUCUAAAUCACCAAUCCUAACAAGGCAACAAACUAAGAUGCUAGAAACAAAACUAAAGCGGACAAAAGUCGCACUAAAACUACUAGCUCAUACCACCACAAUUAACCAUAAUCCCAAAUAAAACCCACAAACCCGACAUAGUCGAAACCCUAAAGCAACCUAGGAGCCACCACCUCCUCAAGAAGUGGCUUAGCGGCCACACACAUUGCCUCAUAAAAUCUUGAAGUGAGAACAAAAUACGUAAUAGAUAUGGGAAAAACAUGGUUUCCAAUAAUCUACUUGCACAUAAGAAUGAACAAAUAGACCAAAACAACAUUCCUGACCAAGAAAAAUUAGGUGAUUUGCAACAUACACAAUCAAAUAUGAUGUAUAACCAAAUUUAGAUAACAUAAGCAAUGUUAGAGAGCUUGUUAUAGGAGAAAGAUUGGAUUGAGAACAUAAUCCAAAAGAGGUAAUGGGGAACUUCAAUAUGAGCAUGACUUAGAAGAAAUCACCACAAAGGGAGUUUUAUAAACGCUCUAGUCGAUUUAUACACUAACUCAAAGAAAAAGGCAAGAAGAGAGGAUGGGGAUAAGGGAUGGUGACACCCCCCCCUCCAAAUGGAGUUUUUAUUUUGAAACUCAAAGAGGAGAGAUAUUUCCAUUGAUCCCUUGAAAUAGUGCAAUAUGACUGAUUAAACUUUAUUGUGGAUAAUCGUUUAUUAGUUUACUUCAUGACUCUAUACAAAGUUCAAUUAACUGGAUGUACCUAUCACGUCCUAAAAUGGACAUAACAACCCCACGCCUAUUAAAAACACAAGGUCACAGUGUCAAAACCUAACAUCAUAAGCCUCAUCUUUCAUUAGAACUUGUUAACCCAAAAAAGACUUACAGCCUACUCGACAAUAGGCAGUAAUCUAGUGAAACAAAAAAGUCACCUGUUGUAUGUGAUUGCAGCCAUGCAAAUAGGUAGCCAAUGGCCAAACGUACAACUAAUUUUGAUGAUGCUCUGAAUAUGGACUUCUUCAAAUGGUCCUAGCCAAAGAAAGGAGCAAACAUAGCCUAAUUCCUAGAGAAAGAGUUCAAAAAGCUCAAAGAAGAUAGAAAGGAAUUUUGCUUCAAAGGAUCUACGAACCUAGACUUGGCUAACUUAGAAGAACCAUAAUUGUAUAGUAUGCUUAAUAUUGUUUAUGUUUUGUAAUUUUUCUUCAUAGAAAAAAUAAAUUAGAAAAGAAGGAUCAUUUCUCACAGCAAAAAGAUCAUGUGAAACUAAAACCAACUUGAGUUUGUAUGUGCCAAAAGGAUUUGUUGGCUUUUCGUGAACAUUGUAAUGCCCUAAGUUUCUAGCAAGCUAUACUUUGGUUGCUAUAAGUUGCUUGUUGGUCAAGAAAGAACAUAUUAGGCCCUAAAUUGGGCUCAAUUAUUGAUUUUUUCUCAAGUGCUUUAGGCAUGCUACUGCUAGUGUUUUCUCUCCUAGUAGAAAGAUGUAAAGUAUGGUGAAGUGUUGUAGUGAAUGUAUUGUGCUAUUUUAAUCUUAACCUUUAACCAAAGCCAUUGUGCUCCAAGUGGGGAAUCUAGCUUGGAUAGGUUCUUUUCUAUACCUCAACUAAGAGGACUUCAAUAUUUCACUUGUGAUGGAAUAAAACUCAAAAGAAAUAAUGACUUUAAACUGCUAUCGGACAAAAAGUAUAAUACAGACUCAAAGAAAAAAGUGUCUGAUGGAUGUUGUGCAAUUACAAGAGAGUAAACACAAGUCCAAAUAGACUUAAAUAAAUUCAAAUGAAAGGAAUACAAGAUCUGACAAGGCUGGUACAAACCCUAUAUAUCGGGCAUAAACAACUCUUCUCAAACACGACUUCAAUCUGCUUGAGACAGUGCAAUGUGUCUGAUGAGAAGCUGUCAACAAUAUCUGCAGUACAAAGAGGUUGUUGCAUGUAUGAAUUUGAUUUUAAAGAAGUUGGAAUUGGUAACCAACUUAUAAAAUCAUACCGAGCACAAAUGUUGGUAGGUCAUUAAGAUUACAAACAAUACCAAUGUGAUUCCGAUAAGAAGUUUCUAAUUGGGAAUUAAAUUGAGUAUUUGUUUGGGAGAAGAAUAGAAUUUCAAUCAAGAGUUGUCAACUGGGAACUCAAAGAGUGGAAGAGGAUUUGGAUUCAAGUUUUGGCUCUGGUAUGUUGCGAGACACUUUGACAAGGUGUUUGAAUAUGGUUCAAAUUGAUUGUUUGUUCUUGAGAUUGGUUGUCCUUGUAAUCUUGGUUUCUGCUUCUAUUUAUAGGCUCCUUGAUUUAUGAAAUUACACGAUCUCUGGAAGUGUACUAAACUGUUGUCAACUCCUUUUCGGAUGAAUUUGGCAAACUCCGAUUUGCUUUUGGCACACAUGGUUAGUUGUUCAACUACUCCAAGCAUGGCUUAGCUUCAACAAGUUGGUGCUAAUGAGUCUCACGGAUCAAAUCGCAUUUAAUUUGGUUGCUUAAUUUCUCCUUCACCACCAAACUCUUUCUCAACUGUCGAAAUCAGUUUCGAAAUCAGCUUUGGGUGUGAAGCCCAUUUGAAUAGUCUUAACUGUUGUGUGUGCCUAUACCUUAUGCAUGCUCACGGAUUCCGAGGGGGAAUCCAAAGCGAGUCUUGUCAACUUGGUAUCAAAGCAUUAAGUUCAAUUUCCUGUGGACUCUGCACCUCGUGUGCAUCCUUAGUAUUGUUAAGUUUAGUGUGUUCAGUUCUAAAAUGAUGCCUCUUCAAUGUGGAUUUCAGGUACAUUACGUAAGUUCAUCUCCUUUGACACGUGGCGAACUUUAACUUUUGGGUUGUUAAAGUUGUUUGAGUUAACUGUGAGUUUUGGCUAACUCAAAUUAAGGAGUAACGGUUUUUGGGGUAAAACGAUUUUGUUUAUUGUGCUAAUGAGACCUGAAGGUUUCUCUUGUGGUCUCGAAAUGGUUUUACCAAAGGUCUACUGGGCUUGUUAUUGUGAGCCCGGAGUUAAUCUUGUAGGAAAGUUUGCUAUAAACUUUCAAGAAAAAUGUUCGGUUGUUUUGAAGUAAACUUGUAUAGGAAGUUGUUAUGAGUGUAACCACAGGAGGGUAGUGGAGAUUGGUAACCAGAUGAUGACAAGUAUAUCACUGUUAGCAAGGGAACCGUUUGGGUGACAUCUACAGUGUAUUGGAACAAAUUUCCAUAUGACUGAGUACAGAUUGGAGUGCACGUGUUUAGUUGGAAGGAAGUAAGACUAUUGAGCCUCUCAACUAAGUCUUGAGAGUUUGGUGGUGAAAGUAUCACUAGUGGAAGCUGAGGAAUGAGGAUACUUCUGAGAUCGUUCUUAUUCAAGUUAGGAAUAACGUGGUGGUAGCAGGUGUUGUUGGUAUCGUGAUUCACUCAAGAAUUUGAGAGGAUUAUGAUAGAGAAAUAGUUUGUAUAGGGGUCGGUUUCAGUUAGUUGUCUGGGUGGCAUUAGACUAAUGCACAAAUGUUUAGGUUCAUUACACUAGGGUGUGUGAAUCCAAUGGUUGUGUGUUGAGGACCGAGAAAGUUACUAUAUGUUGAGAACCAGUAUGACUAUUUCCUCAGUGUUGACCAUUUCCUCAGGUGGAACUGGUUGUGUGUUAGCAUGGGGAAUCUUGAGACUUAUGUUUCGAGAUGGUCAAUAACCUAGGUCUAGGGAAAUUCAACUGAUGAUUGGAGUUGGCGGCAGUGUUCUUUGCUGAAGAGUUGAAAAUAUUACCUAAUCGGUUAAGAGUUUGGGGUGUUACACUUGUGUAGCAUCUAGGGAAAAAUAAUGUGGUUGUGGAUAUCUCAAGUCCGAGAGUCUAGUGAGUCUUGGAAUGAUGAUGGUGCAAGAAAAGGAAGGUGUCGGAGAUUGCAUCCAGUUUGUGCUGCCUUUACCUUGCUCAUGCUUGAAUUCCAAGGGAAAAUCUGGAGCAAGUCCUGUCAGGUCUUCCCUGGGAUUCGACCUUAAUGGGUCUAGCAUGAAGGAUAAAAAAGGGGUAUGAGGACGGGUUCAGGGAAUUUUUCGGGUAUGGUGUUUGGGGAAUGGCAGGGUUGGUUUUCUAAUUCCCGACACCCUCCCCAUUUAGAAUAUAUACAUAUAUGUAAUUUAUUUUAUCAUAUAAUUAUAUAAUUACAGCAUAUCUAAUGGGAAUGAUCUGGCCUCAAAUUAAAAAAACACACUUUCUAAUGCAUGUGUUUGACCCAGUCCAAUUUGACCUAUGGCAAGAUAAGGCGUUGGUUUUGCCCCAUUACUGGUAUGAGCAAGAGUGGACCCCACGAUCAAGUUUUCAAAAAACAAAAGGGCGCAACUUUGCUGACUUUUCCAAUUACAAUGGCCAUUGACAAGCUGCCACAUGGCGCCCUCAAUGGCAAUGGCCUAACGGCUAUAGUUGUUGGGCUUUUUUGUUUUUUUGUUUUUUUUUUUUUCGAGUUCCUAACUUGCUAACUUUUUCUUCUUCUUUUUUUCUUUUGUUCAUCACCUUUUCACCUAAAACAUCUCUCAAUUACUCCAAACAUUUCUACUUGUUUGUCUUUUUUCAUUUUGCUCAAAAUUGUUGUUCCAAAGUAUGGCUCAAAAAUAAAUUUUCGUGUUACUUUUCUUAUGCUUUGAUUUUUAUCACAAAUAAAAUAAUAAUAAACUAAAAUAACAAGUUUUGAGUUUAGCCCCUAGCGCACACCACCACUAGAACCACAAAAAAUUUGAGAGGCUAGAUUUUGUGAAUAGUUUCAUUUUGAGGGGCUACAACAACAUCUAGCCCCUUAUUCCUUACCCUUGCAUGUAUGAUGGUGGUGCUACUUCUAUACUGAUGAUCAUGUGUUGAACAUGUAGUUAUGAUAUGUAUUAAUUUUUUAACUAGUCUAGAUUUUUUAGUUAAUAAAAAUGAAAUUGAUACAUAUUUUGUGCUAAUAAUAUUUUUUUUUUCUCAUUUGACAAAGUAACUUUUUAUGUUUACUUUUUCAUAAUGGGGUAGGUCGGGGAACCCGUUCCGCAAUAAAGGCGGGAAUGGAGAAUCCCCGACUUAAAAAUUGCGGGUAUGAAUGCUGAGAUAGGGAAAAAAUAUUUGAAAUGGGGAUAGAAAUAGCAUAACCACCCCUGAUUCGGCCCAUUGUCAUCCCUAGCAAUAUUAUGUUAAUAUCCAAGUUUCAACCAAGUCUUUUACAGUUAAUUAGCAUUGACUGUUAAGUAACUUCCAAUUUACAUAAAAUCAACUGGAGAUUGGAAUAAUUAUCCACAUUUUGUAUUUAAAACCAUUUAGUUUUGGUUGAAUAACAUUAAUUGGUUUUUUUAACAUUCCAUCGGACACAUUCUGUCUUAUAGGUCUUGGUCUUCUUGGGUUGACCACGGGCCGGUCAACAUUAGUACUCAAAAAUGCCCCUAUACGAUGAGCGCUGGGCCUUAGAGCAUUUUCACCAGUUGCCCCUUGCCAUGGCAAGAUGAGCCUUAAGGCAGCCACUAUUCAUGUGAAUAGUGGCUGCCCUAGCUCCCUCCAGCAAAAUGUAUUUCCAGCAGUUGGGGCUUGCCAUGGCCAAUACUAUUCAUUUUUUUAUUUUUUUUCACAACUUUGUUUACUUAAACAAUUAAUUUGGAUAAUAUUUUCGGAUAAGAUUUUUGGGUUCCUACGUGUCAAUACUAUUCAUAUCGGAUAAGAUUUUCGGUUUCAAAUUUCAGAUAAAUUUCAGAUAAAUUUCAAAACAAAAAAUACAAUGAAAUCAAAGGCAAGUAAACUAAGACAUGAAAGGCAAACAAACUAUUUUAAUGGUUUCCAUCAUUUAACCAAUCCGUGUUACUAGGUCCAUCGUCACGAAAAAGUCUUCGUCUCAUAACAUCCCUUCGUUCUAGCUUCCAAAAUUGUUUUGUUUCAAGGGACAUAUGGGUUGUAUCCAUGGCCAUGGUUUCCCGAUCUUUUUUUUCAAUGUUUUGUUCGCGUACAUACUCCCUUUCUUUGCGUACAUACUCCCUUUCUUUUGCAUAUUCUACUUGAAUAGCCAUAUCGUGCUCUUGUUGUUUCAAGUCCAUUUCAAUUCUCAUAGCUUGGUGCUUUGAAAGUUCCUCCAAAAAUUUAGAUGCAUUCUUGCUAGAAUUACUCCCUCUAUUCGCCUUCGCCGCCUUUCUCCCAAUAGGCCUUGGCUCCUUUUUAAUGGGUGAGUCUUGACUCAUUGGGGAAUUCAUAGGUGAAUCCGAUGCCGGCGUCUCAUGAAGUGGAGUCUCGUUCAAGACUACCGUCAGACCGGUUGGAAUAAUUUGGAAUCUCUUACAAGUCUUCACCACCUCCCAACAAUGGGUAUGGUUGAAAUUUUUUUUCCCUUGCCCCGUAGCACCAAACCACAUUUGAGCUUGCAUAAUCUAUAAAAAAAAAUUAAAUGGAAAUGCAAGAAACUUUAAAAAAUAUUGGCAAUGCAACAUGUAAAAAAAAAACUAAUGCAAAUUCAAUAAAUUUUAAAAAAAUGCAACAUGUAUAAAAAAUUAAAAAAACUAGAGACAUAUUAACAAAAUAUAUAAAUUGCAAGAAACAUUUAAAUAAAAAUUAAUAUGACAUAGAAAUUAAUAGAAGGAAAAUGACAAAUAAUUUACCUCACUGCUAAGGUUUUCUCCGCUUCGACGCUUGUCCAUCGCUUUUGCUAAGGCAUUUCUCCAUUUCGCCAACUCUUUAUUAAAAACUUUCCACCUACUGGAUAAUGUCAUUUCUGUACGUGUAGAACCAAUUGCCCUUUCACAAAAUGCUUGAUGAAUUUUUUUCCACAUAUGAGAAAAUUUCAUCUCAUUGCCCGUUACGGGACAAUGACUAACUUGGACCCAAGCCUCACACAAGCUAACAUCUUCCAUCAUGCUCCAUGCUCCUCCAUUUUUAUUAGAAGAACCCAUAAUAUGAUAGAAAAAAAAUACAACUUCAAAGUGAAAAAAUAUUGAAUAGAAAGUGAAUAAAUUUUGAGGAGAAAGUGAACAAUAGUAGAAGGAGAAGAAAAUAUAUGAGGAUUUGGUGUUAAAAGUGAAGAGUAUUGGUUGGUAUUUAUACACAAAAAAUUCAGUAAUUUUUGUAUAUUUUUUAUAAAAAAUUUGAUUUUUUUUCAAUUUUUUAUUGCAGAAAAAUUGGCUGCCGUUGGAUUGAAGAAAAAAUUCGAAUCAGAGCUACUAGAGGCUGCCACGUGUCAAGUAGCCGUUGGCUGCUACUGUUGCGGUGAAUUCGAAUUUUUUUUAACGUUGGCGCGUACAAUGCACGCGCCAACGGUAAAAAAAAUUCGAAUUCGGGAGGGCUGACGCCAGCCUGGCGUCAGCAAUGACAUCAUCGCCCUCGAGCCUGAGCUCGGACCGAAAUCGCCUUCGGGCCUGUCCUGUCUGGUGGACCCCACGCUCGUUCGGGCUGCUUCUUCACUGCUGGACCUCCGUUUUUUGCCCAACCCCCCCCCCCCCCCCCCCCCUCAGCCCGAGUCCAAACCAUCUGCUGGACUUGCUCUUAGAUGCAGUCGAUUCUGUUUGGUCAAUGUUUUGACCAUUUAAAAUAGGUCUGGUUUGUUAGGCCUUAGUUACUUAAACCAUAUAAUUGGUCCAAAUACCUACGAAAUUGGGCCAUUAAAAUUUAUUUCAUUUAGAAAACCAAUUUUAGGCAAUGAAGAUAACCGUAGAAUAUUUUUUCUCAAAUCCUUAUUGCUUGGGGAGUCGUUAUAUAGUACCUUCACUUAAAUUUAAUGAAAUGAUCAUGUAACUAAUAUGAAGGUUCACAUAAAGGUUCCAUAUAUGAUACUCUCGCUAUAGAAUUUUGCAUUACCUGGGAACCUCCCAACUUGGGCUAUUUCAAGCUCAAUGUUGAUGGUUCCUGUAAAGUGUGAUUCUGAUACCAUUGAAGCUGUAGGAGUAAUUCGUGAUGACAGAGGGGAUUAGACUGAUGGCUUUGUGGCUAGUUUCUUUUCUUUGCUUUUCUUUUUUUGUCGAAAUCCAAGAAGUUUUUUGGGUGGAGGCUUGUUGUGGAACAAGGUAUUAAGAACCUGAUAGUCAAAAUGGACUCUGCUACUGCAAUUAUGCUACUUUGGAAGCCUGCGUAACAAGCUUUCCGUCCGCCGGCUACCUUGUUGUCCAGCUGGGAUGAAUUUCUAGGCCACGUUUGGUGGGCUGGCUUGAACUGAUUAGAAUAGGCUUUGAUGCAUUGGAUUGGACUGACUUGGACUGACUAGGCUUUGAAUUCAAUACUAUUCAUUUUUGCACCAAACAACAUACUGAAAUUAUUUUUAUUUUUAUUUUUAAUAAAUUAAAAUUUUAUUUUAUUAACAAUAAUCAUAUGCAAAAUUCCAACUUUUUGCCUCAGUGUCUUUCUUGUUUUUUUACCUUUCACUUUCUUCCUCUGUUUUCGGUUUUUUUUUUUCUACUCGAAAUUUCAGUAUCUUUCUUUAUCAUAUAAAAUUCAUAUUUUUUACCAGAAAAAGAAAAAGAGUCAUUCUUUUUCCAUCAUAAUAAAAUAUGUCUUUGUUAUUAUACAAUAUUUAUAAAAAAGAUAAUUACAAGAGAGAAAAGAUUGUAGACUUAAAACAAUAUUAAAAAUAAUAAAAUAAAAUAAAAUAAAAAGAAUGAUGCAAAUUCUGGAAGGGAAACAACAUCUGAAAGAUCUUCAAUGCAAAGUGAAAAAAAAAUAGAAAAAAAAAGGUACUCAACAUCUAACCCAAAUCUUCCAGAUCUUCAAUUCUAGAAGGGAAACAGAGAUGAAUGAUUUUUUAUUUUUAUUUUUAUUUUAAAGAUAUCAAAAGAAAUCAAACCCACAAAACCACACUAAACAUCUAACCCAGAAAAAUUGGCUAAGAAUCAUCAUACAUCUCAAUAUUUAGCAAUAAAAUCGAAAAAUAAAUUGAAAGAAAGCCAAGUAAUCCAGAACAGAGAAAUCAGUUAUUAAAAAAAACAAGAGAGAAGAGAUGAGAGAAGAAGAGAGACGAAAGACAAGAGAGGAGAAAGGAGACCACGCAAAGCAGGUUUAAGGGAGCAAUGCGAAGCAUACUAAGGGAGACGCGAGAGAAGAGAAGACGAAAGCUCAUUUCCAGGUAGUCUUCGAAACCCAUGUCUCAGUGUGGGUUUUCAAAUCCAGCGUAUGCUUGAUUGAUAUCCAUAAUUUUUUUUGAGUCAUAACCACCAGUCGUGGUCCAUUUAAGCCCAUCAAACAGCAGACUGAACCCAUAUUCAUUUUAAUUAAAUUUGACCAGUCCAAUCCAGUCCAAUCCAGCCCACCAAACACGACCCUAAAGCAUUUUGAUCAUUGUUGGGGAUUGCUUGGCCAAGGAGAGUUACAAUUUUGACUUGGGCCCUCUUGUGUUUGCUGAUGAGUCAUUCUACGGUAAGAGUGUCAUAUAUGAACUAUAAAUAUAAACCACAUCAAUCACGUGAUUCAUCUAAAUAGUAACUUCACUUAAAUUUAAUGUAAUGAUCAUGUGGCUAAUAUGAAGGUCCAUAUAUGGCACUCUCACUGUAAAAUUUCGCAAAUGAUGAUAUGUUACAAGUUCAUAGAACUCUUAUUAUUUCUACUGUUUAGUUUUUGUGUUUGGGGUUGAUCCCCCAUUUCAUCCAAAAAAAAGUAGAAAUAAAAAAUACACAAUUGGCCCCCACAUUAUAAAAAUCACAAGAUAACUCAAAAAACAAAGGAAUCCCAGUACAUUAUUCUCAUCUCUCAACAAAUACACAUACAAGCAUACAUAAAAAGACACAACCAAACCACAAUACAGCUAAGGUGUGCAGUACGUACCACCACCACCACCACCAUCAUAUCCCUCCACACCCCAAUUAUUUAUACUCACACACAAUACUGACAAACUCAGAAAAAGCACACCACACAGCAGAAGCAAAUCUCCACAUUCAAACUAGAGAUCUCCCUAACCACGAGCCCAUACAUUUCACUGUACAACAACAACAAUUACUUUCCACACCCACAUGUAAAACAAUCUUACCUUUUGCUGCUGCUGCAUUAUUUGAUCAGAAGAAAGGGCCCCACCUCAACUCAGCACCAAGCAAUAUACUCCCCCACACUAGAAACUUUCUCACCUUUAGAACUUAUACCAAUAUGAUGGGACUGAGAGAGGUAAAAGACAGAGAGAAAGCAAAGCACAAGAGAAUAAAAUCAACAAGAAAAGAAGGGGUAAAGGUGGGGCCCGAUAUACCUAACGCGCAUGCACUAAAUCCACAGGGGUCUUCAUUUUACAGCACAGCCCACCACUAAAAUCUCCCAUGCGUUUAAGUCUUUGGUGACUUUCCUUAAUCUUUAACACCCAAAAAGCUAAAAGAUAAUGAUUUCUGGUCAACAAACAUAACCCUUCUUUGAUCAUCUCCGGCGUGCAAUAUCAUCCCAAUGCUUUGCUUCCUUUAUUGGCCCAUUAUAUACACUGCUAUUUAUAAAGAGAAACCAAAAGGCAGAGAAAGGGCCCCACAAAACCAAAGCUACCUUGCUGAUUUCAAAUUCACCAAUCAUUCAAGCCUGGAAUUCUGGGGGCCUUACCACCUUUUCCCUUAGCAUGGACGGAACGCAGCUUCUUCAUGGAAGCUCACUCCCAGAGUUUCGGCUGCAAGCUUCAUAGACUUCAAGUAUUCUAUAGCUUUGUCUAUGAUGAACACUGAAUCCUUGCCCUUAGCACCAGGAAUCACACUCUCAAGAACUCUAAUUGUCUCACGAAUUGUUUCUUUUUUGGACUUCAUCUUACCCACAGUAGAAUGUAUUUCCUCUCCUUGGAUCUGGCCAAGUCCGUAGCUCGAUUCCAUAUUGUUCCCGUGCCCGUGAGAUCCAUACGGCUGUAUCGAAUUAAUAACAGUCUCCAUUGGUGAUAAUUGCCUGUAACCACCAUUGAGCAAUUUAUGCCUUUUGUUUGAAGCAUCACAACUGAUGACCUUCUCUGUUAAUUCCUCCACAUGUUCUUUCUUUCCAUAACUCACUUGAAGAUCUAUUGGAGAAUGACCCGUGCUUUUUACUUCAUCAUCCUCACCACAAUCACUGUCAUUAUCGUCUCCGUCAUCAUCAUUAUUAUCUUCAUCAUCAUAAUCAUCAGAGUAAAGCAAUGCAUUGAUUUCUUCUGUGUCUUCAUGCAUCUCACUCUCUUCAAUUAUGUGAUUCUCACCGAUCUCUUCAUGCAAGAGGUACUCGGUUGAACCAAUUUGGUCCAUGCUGGUUGUUAGUCCUGCUUCAUGUGAACCAUAACCAUAAACGAACCUUUUACUGGCAAAGGGUGGAUCCUGGCUAGGAGGGCAAUCAGAAUUAUAUAUUAGCUUUGUUUCAUUCCCAGACUGAUCAAAAAUGAAGAAUCCCUUCUGGGAAGACCCUGGAUUUGCAUUUGGCACAGCCAUGCGACCACCAAAUCCAUAAGAAAAUGCUGACUGCUUUUCAUUAAGAUAAGAAUUUGGUGGAGGAAAUAAGGUCUGAAAAUAUGGAGGUAAAUGUUGAAGCACCCCAUGACCUUCAUUUGUUUGUUUCGCCAUAACACCCUGAACACCGGAAACUGUGGACCCUGGCAAUGCCAUAUGUCCAGAAAAUGGGCAAAUGCCCUGAUUUGUAGAUGAUGGUAAACAUUCCUGUUGCCUGGGCUCAAGCAACAUGCUCAUAUGAUUCAAAUUAGGCAGUUGCCAAGCAGAAUUCUGCUCUGGGAAAAGCCAAGAGUUGUUGUUUGCCUUAACCAUCCAACCAAAAAGAUCACCUAUACAUAAGAGAACAAAGAUGAUCACUCAAGCAUGACCUAUGAUUAUCAUAGCUACAUUGACAAGCAAGACAUUACUAUACCUGACAGGAGAUAGAUGGUGCUUUGACCUGUAAUGUUCAAUUACUUUCUGGGUCGUUUCAAGAAUGGAAAACAAAAAGGAACAGAAUACUACAACUUGCGGCUUGGUAAAAUGACUGAAAACCUGAAUAAAUCUACGUAACAGGCUUAAGCAGAUGUCGAAAGUACUCAGCCUGCAGAAUAGCAGUAACAAAAACACAUUAUUAACUACGCUUCUUACAGAACUCUAAGGAAAUAAGUGUAAAUCAUUUCGUAACAAGCAACAAGUAUAAUUCUUACUCUCAUGAAAGCAUAGUUGAGAGAUUAAAGAAAAUAGGCCAGCAAUUGAUCAUGUAAACAGUUGAAAAGAAUUCACAUAUUGAAAGAAAAUGAAAGUUGGUCAGUGUAUGCAACACUAACCUGGCAAUCCUGUAAAGGUUGAAAGCAUGCAAUCACUCUAACUAUUAUUGUUGGUCUUCCUGCGAUCCCAUUUUCAUGUUUCAAUGCCCGAAAUCUUGUUUGGCUUGCUCCUUGGCACACCAUAACUACACUUGAACCUUGAUGGAACUACUCAAUCUAAAAGAAUACUGGAAGGAAGACUAAACAGAUACCCGAUUUGCAGAAUGUGCACACAACUAAGCCAGAUAUUAAAAUCAGCAAUGGAGGAAUCUACUUUACUAGAGAGUAAGAAACAAAUUGAAUAACUGGUGAUAGAGAAGAAUAAUAAAGGCCAAGCUAGAUAUGAUGAUCAACAACUGAUGAGAGCUACACUGCGAGGAUAAUAUAAAAGAAACUAAAAGGGGUUUGAACUUUGAGACAAACAAGGUUUUGCUUUCUAGCUUCAGAUGAUCCUAUAAAUAUCAAGAGAAGUGAGAAAAAACUUAUUUGAUCCCAUGGAAAGUUGAAUGAAAAUUGACAAAAGGAUGAAGAACUUAAAGUUCAAUGAAUGCAGAACAAUUUACAGAAUAACCCUGCAAUAUAAGUUCAAGUGCACAACUUUCCGAUACACGUCGACUGACAGACUCAACCAAGGCAUAUUGUUUCUCUUCUCUGUGAUAUAGAAUUAUCCAAACUUCUGAAUUGAUUUUCUCUCGAUAUUUCACCAAUUUCCUGCACAUAUAGUACAUAUAACUAAAAGUAAGAGAACAGGAGACUUAUCAGACCAAUAACAUAAAGCACACUAAUAACCCAAGAAUUAAGAAACCCAACAGAAACAAAGAUGACCCACUAAGCAUCUAAAGAGGCAGCAAGGGAAAGGAACACAGAAAUUAAAGGAAGAAAAGAAACUGUAGACUUUGCAGUUUAAUCUUCUUAAACCUUUUUCCUCAUUUUAAAAUCUGGCAGCUGAGAAAACAAAUCCACCAAAACUGAUUUUUCAUUUUACUAGCAGAGCAGAGGGUCCAAGAGGAAUCCAAAUACCAAAUGAAAAAUUAUAAACAAAAAAAAAACAUAAAUUUAAAGCCACAAGGCCGACAACCUGUCGAGAAAAAGCUUAGAAAAAUAAAAUUUUAAAAAAAACAACUUUUACAGUUGAAGUGCGUAGAACAGAAUGAGGGUUUUACUGUUCCCAUAGCUCCCAGAAAUUCAAAACUUUAAGAUCCAACAUCCCUAUCUCUUUCCUUUUCUUUUCCCUCACUUUUCUCAGGAACCAAACGGAUGAUAUCGACAAAAUAAAAUUUAUGAAAAAUAAAAUGAAGAAGAAGAAAGCAAACACCAAAUUUAAGAACAAAGAGAAGAGCUUUUGGAGAAUGAAAACAAGGGAUUGAGAUCACGGACUUACAGUGCAAAUUGAAAAGCUUGGAUGGAUCUGAAGGCCAAAGCUCACCGCUCAGUCACAGCAAACAGAGAGAGAGAGAGAGAGAGAGAGAGAGAGAGAGAGGGGAAAGUUUUUAACUGUUUGGUAGUUGGAAAGAAGAUGUCUAAAGAAGUGAAUUUGUUCAGGGAAUGCUAUGAUUAUAUAGUCAUUUAUAUGACCAUUUUGCCCAUCCCAGUUGCCAGUCUCUCUCCUCUGUUAGAGUGGCACUGUUACUGUAAAAGGUUCAGAUUGACCUGCAGACAACCAUUUUUUUAUUUUAUAAUGUAUUUCUUUUUGUUUAAUGUUUGGCAGUAACAUACAGGUCAGAGUCUUCAGAAUAUUAGAUUUGGCUUCGUGUUUCUUAAUCAGAGCAUGCAAUUUUCAUAUCCAUGAAUAUUCAUUAAUUUGUACUAGUGCUUUUGCCAAUUAGUUUUUUUUUCUUUUUUUUUUAAUUAUAAACUUAAUAAAGAUAAAAAUAGGAUUCAUGUUUUGAUUUGUUAUUAUUUUAAAUUUGUUUGCUACGAAAAAGUACAAAAUUAUUAUAUUAUCCUUAUUUAUUUAAUUAUUAUAUAAUGGGAGGGCUUUUUUAAGUAUUGCACUUGCGACGUGUCAAGCCCAACUUUCCUUUUUUUCUUUUUAGGACCUAACUAGGUGUUCAUGCUCUUCCGUUCUUCGCCAUCAAUCGUAAUGAGCUAGAGAUGUCCUUGCUAUCACAUUACAAAAGUAGCAUUAGACAUCUUGAUGUACGCUUAGGCCAUCUCCAGUUAUAGGAGUAAAUGUAGUUUAGGAUUAAAUAUUUAGCUUUUUAAAAUAUUAAUUUUUUAAAGAAUAGUGCAGGGCUAAAUUUUUCCAUAUCCAGUCAUGCAGACUAUAUUUUAUAGUCAUUCAUAUUUUAUUAUUUUGAGAAAAAUUAUAGUACAACACUCAUGCAUUCCACAACUAUGUAUUGUUUAAUUUAAUUAAACUACUAUUUAGAGACAAUAUUCCAUGACCAAUACAUUUCUAUAAUUUUUUUUAAACAACACUUGAAAAAAUUUAAAAGGGUGACCACAUUUAUUUUUAUAAAUAAUAUUAUAAAAAUAAAAAAAAUAAAAAAAUAAAAGAUGGGUUUCAAUGGUCUGACCUUCAAUUAUCAUAACCAGUAAUUUUUUAUAAUUUUUUUACUAAUUGAAAACAUUGAAAAAGGUGACCACAUUUAAAAAAUAAUAAAAUGGUUGGGUUUCAAUAGUCUGACCUCCAAUGGUCAUGACCAAUAAUUUUUUAUAAGUUUUUCUUAAACAACACGAAUUGAAACAUUUAAAAAGGCCUUUAAAAAUAUAUAGAUUACGUCGGCGCUUUUAUUGUUGGAUGUUGGAUAUGCAUUUGCACGAGAUGAUUCGUACUCUUACCCGCACUUGAUAAUUUAUCUUCUUCAAAAUCACAUACAUGGGACCCACAAAAAAUUUGGCCUAAGCCAAAACUAAGCUAAAUGUGGCCCGGUUGGAGGGCUAAAGGGCCAAAUGUGGCCCUUCAAAUUUGGCCAAAAUUUUGUUUAGCCCAUGGCCAGAGAUGGUCCUACGUCCUAGUUUCCAAGCCUUUAAUACCAAGAUUUCAUUAAAAAAAAAUUCUCUUCAUUUAUAGCAGUCCCGAUCUCUUGGACCACAGGAGUCCAAGAGAUUUGUGGUCACUCACCGUUGGAUGUAAAUUCAACGGUUCACUCAAUCUUGAACUCCUUUUAAGAAAUUUUUUUGAACCAUUAGAUUAAAGUUUUGAACCAUUAGAUUAAUAUCCAACGGUGAGUGACCACAAUCUCUUGGACUCCUGCGGUCCAAGAGAUCAGGACUGUCAUUUAUAAUCGUAAUUGUUUAAGGCCAAAAAGUGUUCCUUCCUCAGUCGUACUCACUAAGUUCAUAUCUAGUGCAUUCACCGACAUCAAUUGUACCCUCCAUUUCUUGUGUACUGGCACACCAGCAAUAACACACCGAAUGACGUUCAAUUUACCUAGAAAUACAGCAUGUUUCCAAAUAAGUUAUUUGAUUUUAAGGUCAUUCAUUUUGUAUUGAGCCAAGGGCAACAAGGCUGAAGCUCAGGCUUGCCUUGGCCAUGCCUCCCUUCAGGUCUAAAUAUUCUAGCUUUGGCCAACGGGGUCUAACCCUGUGAAAAAAUGCUUUGACUUACAGACCAGUAGUCUCAAGUUGGAAUCCCUAUGGCACCUUAAGUGCGUGCGUGUGUGCGUGCAUGCGUGCCUAUCUUUGGUAGGCAUUUUGGCACAUGAGACAUAACUGAAGCCCAAUUUUUCUGUUUUCUGGACCUAACUAGGUGUUCAUGCUCCUCCUUUCUUCACCAUCAAUUGUAAGGAGCUAGGAGUAUCAUUACUAUCACAUCACAAGAGUAGCACAAGACACAUUGACAUAUGCUUACGUCAUAGUUUCUUAGCCUUUAAUUCCCAUAUUUAAGUAAAGUUCUCUAUUUUUUUAGGGAGGUGAUUUUUCCACUCUCUUUUUCUGCACUUACACUCCUUUUUGCUUUUUAAUACUUUUUAAUCAAUUUUAUUCUUUCUCUUUCUUAUUCUACCCUUACCCUACAAUUCCCUUUAAUAAGAAGACAUGUACAAUCACUUACUAAUAUUAUAAAAGAAUAAAAAUCUGAGACUAUUAUGCAUACCUUGCUCUCUACAUAUCUAAACUCUUAAUGACAGUUUGGUUAGCAGCAUUCUUUGUGUCUUCUAUCUGUAAAAAUGUUAGCCCAAAAUUUUAUUAUCUAUAUAGACGAGUAUGGAUAUAUUUAAAUUAUCUAUAUAGACGAGUAUGUUAGCCCAAUAAUUUAAAUAUAUCAGUUUAUACCACACAAACUGAUAAGAGUCAAAAUCAAGAAUACAAGACUACACAAUCAUCUUUAAGACAAUGCUAGCACACCAUCAACAACAAACUUAAACAAACCUCAUAAUGCAACGAGUCGACGACCAACAAACUAGAAAACAAAGUAUCCAGGAUAUCAAAUUUGCCAAAACACCAAUCCUUCUCAGCAAAAUCCAAGGACAGGCAAACCACACAAACCUGCAAAAACAAAAGAACAAAAACCACACCAACAAAACAAAGAGGGAGGGGAAGAAAGAAACCCAAGAGAGGGGGAGGGGCGAGUAGAAGGAGGGGAAGGGAUGGGAUGGGAGGAAAGGAACUGAUAGGAGAGGUGAGGGAAGGAAAGGAGAAGGGAAGAGCUAAAGAGAGGCCGCCAACCCCCAAAGAGGGCGGCAGCUAGACGCCUUAGCCUAGGGUUUUAAUUCUUUAGUCAUUUUAAAUACAUAAAUUUACGUAUAUACGUAGCACAAAAUGAAUGAAAAAAUAAAAAGGAAAAAGUAGCCGUCACUCCUCAAGUUUAUUACAAGAGUGUUAGGUGAUGAUAAGUAUAAUAAUUCUAAUGAUAAUAGCAUAGACAUUCCAUGUGGCAUUCACUUAUUAUUUAUAUAAUCUACUCAUUAGAAACAUAAUCUUGUGAUUGAAAGAUUUAGGAUUUCUAAUUACAACGUAGGAUGUCAUAAGGCCAUAUGUGUGCACUAUGGAGGAGCCAGCCAUCGAGUGCAAGCUCCAAUACUUUGCACACUAAAUCAUAAUGCUAAUAUAUGAUCCGCAUGUAUCAAUAACCUAUGAAACUUGAAAAAAGAUAACAAGAAAACUCAUAGGCAUGGUGCCUUCCCAUGUUGCUUAUGGGUGGAGGGAACAAGUGUCAAAUAACCCAAUUGAAUAUAUACAUCCAAUCAUAAGGUCUGCCCUUUUGGUAGCACAAAAAUAUGCUCCAAAAUUAUGUAGUUGAGAUGCGAAUGCUAGAAUUCAGGGAUUCCUCUAAUCUUUUUUAACUAAAGUUUAUUGAAACCCCAUCACUUUACCACUAAUUAGAAUUAUUAUUUCAGAGCACUGCUUCAAUUGAUUAGGAAUUAUAUGCUUGUGCAUUCUUAAGGAAUAGUAGUGGUAAGUGGGUCAACAACAACAACUCUCGUAUGGUUUUAAAUUUGCUUUCCUUUUUUUUGUACUGAAAGAUAGAGAAACAUGUUUAAAUUUGCUGUCACGCACUUGCUUCUCUAAUUUUAUUUUUCAUUACUCAACAAAACAAUCAUGUCUAAGCUAAUGGUUAUAGUAUCAGCAAACUUUAAUUAGAACAGUGAUGGAGAGUGGGAUUGAUCAAGGCAUGUAGUUCAAAUUAUUUCAUUUGUGCAGUGAAGUAAGGAUACCAACCACAUGGUAAUUAUUGUGGUCAAGAUAGGUUUCAUUAAUAAGAAACAAAUCAUUACAAACAGGGAAUACAUAAUAGCUCAGUCCAGUACUGUAUAUUACAACAGAAUAAAAUUAAGUAAACUGAACCAAGGCCAAUAUUACCACAAACCUUAACAACCCUACCAAAAAAUGUUAUAAUUAAACACCAGCCGUCGCCCUGAUCAUUGUCGCCGCCGCCACCAAGUUCAUCACCACCGCAACCACAAGAACAUGGUUUCAUGAAGACACCUGAAAGAACCGACGGGCGAGACCAUAUGGUAAUUAUUAAGAUAUAUAUAUUUUUAUUUUUUAAAAAUAAAAUUAAGGAUGAAAGUAUAUAAUAUAAUAAUAAUAAGAAAAGUGGCAAAGAUAACCACAUCAAAGGAAAUCAAUGAGUAGGUUUGAUUGUCUGGCUCGCUGAAUCUUCCACCUUCGCCUCUCUUUGGUUCCAUUUUUGUAUCUGAUUCGGGUGAAUUUCGUUUAGUCCUUUGUUUGUUUCCUUUUAGCCAUUUUUUGGUCUUUCUAUAGAAUUUCAUGUCGACCAAAAAAAUAAAAGAGAAAUCAAUGAGUAUCAUGUUUGUCAUGAUGCUUAUAAUUCCCUCCUUUCCACAUAGGGUUAUGCUUCCAACAAUCAUAAUUUUGUAUUUAGUGGUGUGAUUAAGGUAGAAUGCAGAUGUAAGAAAUUUGUAGCUUAAGUGGUUAAAAACAAUUUUCCCUGCAUCUGAGAUUCUACGUUCGAAUCUUCCCUAUCUUAAUAUUGCUUGUAACUUUUUAGAUAAUCUAAAUAGGGCCGAUAUGUGCGAAACUGAAAAUGAAACCUUUUUCAUAUGUCAAAAGAAAAAAAAAACUUAAAAAAGUUCCAAAGAUAUUCGGAGUACAUGACCAUUUGGACUUCUUAUGGAGGCUAGCUAGUUUUGCUUCAAUAAUGAUGGAAUCGGAUGCUCAGCCGGCCAAGCAUGCCUAUAUACAGACUUUGCAAAGCACGUUCUCUCGAGAAGGACCAAAAUGGUUAAUACAUACGGUCCAUGCAUUUGUAAUGGGCUGGAAAUGGCCCCUCCUCUUCUUUGGUCUAACGAUGCUUUUUUUGUGGAUGGAAAAAUUAGCAUAACUUCAAGAAAGAAAAAAGUCUCAGGCAUCAUUAAAAGGCAUUUCCACAAGUUCUAUGAGUGCAAAUCCUUAAAACCAAAACAUAGUAUAUAUUAUACCGAGAGUUUAAGGAUGCCUUAUUUUUUAAUGCACUCCCGAGGGCUAUCACGAUGCAAUUCAACGAUCAGAACCGUUUAUAUUUUAUCGGCUUAUUAUCACAAAAUAUCUUUAAGGUUUACGAAACUAUCAGAUUGCAUCUUUAAUAUUUUUUUGUGUCACUCGUGGUCUUCAAGAUUAAUAUAUGCGAUCACAAAUGGUCUAUGUCAUUAGGUUCCGUCAAAAACUCCAUUAGUUUGUUGACGUAUCAUAUAUAUAUAUAUAUAUCACAAAACAUCCCUGAGGUUCACGCACCUAUCACAAAUGGUCUUUACGAAAUUUUUAAAAUUUAAAAUUCAUAAAAUUGUGGUUUUCUUUUUAAAAUUAUUUAUAAAUGAAAAAACCAUUUAUAGAAGGAUUUUAAUUUUGAGGACCAUUUAUGAACCAUAAACCCUUAGUUUUUUCAUUUUUAAAUUUUAUGAAUUUUAAAAAAAACUCCAUUAGUUUGUUGAUGUGACAUAUAUAUGGAGCCCACAUCUACAAUAAUAUAGUACCACAUGUAUUUAAAAUAUAAUAUAUAUUUUUAAAUAAUUUAAAAUUCAUAAAAUUUUAAAAUUAUGAAUUUUAAAUUAAAAAAUUAAAAAAUUUCGCAGGGACCAUUUGUGAUAGGUGCAUGAACCUCAGGGAUGUUUUGUGAUAUAUAUAUAUAUGCCAUAUCAACAAACUAACAGAAUUUUUGAUGGAACCUAAUGGCAUGGACCAUUUGUGAUCACACAUACUAACCUUGAGGACCACAAAUGACACAAAAAAAAAUAUUAAGGAUGCAAUCUGAUAGUUUCGUAAACCUUAAGGACGUUUUGUGAUAAUAAGCCUAUUUUAUCGUUUAAUCUUUAUCAUGUUCAAAAUUUCAUCUAAAAAAAUAAAGGAUGAAGGAUGAGCAAACCACCACUAAGUAGGUAUAAGACUAAUAGAUUAGUACCAAUUAAUCUUAAGGAAUUUGAGUAGUCUCAAAACUACAAAGUUAACUAAAAAGAAUUGUGUCCCAAUUGAGUUAGAAUACAUCCCUUUUUAACGACUCACAUACAUUUAUUGCAUGAAAUAUGAUUCAUAUUGCUCUUGAAAUAUUCAACAUUACUCUUUAAAUUCUUGUUUGUAGUUGAUUCUCAAGGCCGGUUCAUUUAGGCCUCAUCAUUUGGCCCGCGGACUCAUGGGCCAAUGGGGGCCCUCUCGGCCCAUCGAAAAAAAGUCCGGCCCGAUCCGUUAUGGGCUUUGAGAUGGCCCGACCGUCUUGGGCCGAGCUAGGUUUGGACUUGAGUGUUCGAAGCCCUGCCCGACCCAUAGGCCCAACCCGAUUAAGCCCAAGAAGCCAGGCCUGGCCCACCCACAAAAGCCUGGCCCGUUAGGCCCCCAUACAUAUAUAAUUAUGUAUAAAUAAGAGUUUAGGUUUAGGAUUAUAUCACUUAAAUCACAUAUAUAAUUUGUUUCAUUUCAUUUACUUUUCUUUACUCAUUCCUAGUUUAUAAUUGGAUGAUUAACACAUUAAUUUAUGUCAAUUAUUAAUUCAACAAUUAUACAUAUAUAAAAAAAAAUAAGAUGAACAAUAUAUCACAUCACCAAAUAUAAUCAUAUCACGAAACAUAAUCGUACCACCAAAUAUAAUCAUGCUUUUCUUGAACACGUCACCAAAUAUUUGCAUAUUUAUUCAUACCAUCCUUAAAAAAAAUAUUUUUUUGAUACUUAUUAUUUUUUAAAAUUAUUUCUUAAAAUAUAUUACGAUCUAAUUAUGUAAUAACCUCAAAAAUAAUACUUGGUUUUAUUAUUUUUGUGGAAAAUCUUAUAAGUUGUGUGACUUUAUUGGGUGUUUUAUGAAUUUGGUUUGAUGUGAAAAUAUUAGAAUUAAGUGAGUUUAAUCUCAAAUUUGGACUAAAAUGCCCUUGUGAUUAAGUUUAUAAAUUGUUUAAUAAAGUAGGGCCCGUUGAGCUUAGCCCGGCCCGGCCCGAUGGGCUUUCUCAAGCUCGGCUCAUAGGGCUUUGAAUUUUCUUAAAAAACCCGGCCCGAUAUUUUCUCUCUCCUCUUCAAAGCCCGUCUCGAUCUGACUCAAGCCCAUUAAAUUUGGACCAGGCUAGUCCGACCCGGCCCAUUGACAAGUCCUAGGUUGAUUGAUUUUGGAGAUCCUUAAAAGAAAUAAAAAUGCCUAAACCCUAAAAACAUAACCCAAACUUAGCCCAACUUGAACUUUUAGGGUCAGGCCCACCAAGCCCAGCUUAGUGAUGAACCCAAGAAUGGAUAGGAACAAUACAUUGUAAAGAAAUUCAUUACAAUGUGUAUUGGAACUCCAAAAAGAUCAUCCAACAUUUUUUCCCGUAUAAAAACAUAAGCGGCAAAGUGUACUAUGAGGAGUGCUUGAUAAUAAUAGUUCCCUUUAGAUGUUAAUAAGUUCUUUUUUCUUCUUAUGCGUAAGGCUAUUGUUGGUAUUAACAAAAAUAUUGAGGAUAAUACUAAUGAGUUUGGUAUAAAAGGAUGACUACUUUUUCCGGUAUAAAAAUGAUGUUAUUUUUGGUAUUCCCAAGUUACCUAUUAAAAAAAAAUACCGUUCCUAACAAAUCAAGAGUGAGAUUCUGAUUUUAUGUUUAGUUGUGUAGGCUUCAUAUAAUAUAUAUAUAUUUUAAUACAAGCGAUAGUCUAAACUACAUGGGGAGUUCGAACUUAAGACCACUGAUUUGAAAGUCAAGACCAUUUUUUCACUGAACAAGACCUUGUUGGUGCCUCGAUAUAACUUUUAAUUUUCUCCUCGGGCUAUUUUUAUUCCUUUCAAUUUCCAUUUCUAGUUAGUAAUCUAAACGGACUUUUAUUUUUUGAAUUUUUCAACGAUCCAAACGGUCUAUGUUACAAGUGUUCAUUCAUAGAUCAUCCUAGCAAAAAAAAAUCAAACAAAUUGAAAAUCAGGCAUCUAUUUGAGACUAACAAAAUCAAUGAACACGUUGCUUCAAGAAAGUACUUAAAUUUCAAUAAUAUAAAUGAAUGGUCAAAUGAUAUCGGAUUCAAGUAAUUUUGUGUAGAGAUGAUCUUUGAAUGAAUAUCUACAAAAUAGAUUAUUUGGAUUAGUGAAAUACAAUGCGGAGUGGGCCUUACAAGGGUGUCCCUCAAAUAAGAUUAUUUGAGGGAUCCCUCAACGGAAACUCUUUGUAUAUAUAUGCAGAUGAAAUGAAUGGUGAAAUAUUCAAAAUACAACAAAAUAUCCUUAGUUUAUAAAAAUAUUAACAAAUGAAAUAUUCAUUACAUAAGGAUAAUAUAAUAAAUUAACAAAUUUUCAUAUUUUAAAAUGUUAAAUUUUAAAGAGACGAGCGGCGGCUCACUACUAGCAAUACUGAUAUUAUUGUUAACUUAACCAUCUAUAAAGCUCAGUAGAUUUUAGGUUUUAUAACAAAAAGAUCGAUAUUAUUAGUAGUGAAACCACUCAUUAUAUCUUGUAAUUUAUGUAGUUAAGUAUCCGAUGUGGGACUUUUACAUUCUUAAAAUAAAAACAAAAACAAAAAAAAACAUAUGUUCUAUUUUCAUGGAAUACACCUAGAUUAAUUUUCUCAUUUAAAUUCUAAAAUAAAAGACCAAAAUAAAAAAUUGAAAUUCAAGAAUAUUGUCUUUAAAAAAAAAAAUCAAUUAACACACACUUGCGACUAUAUUAAAGUUCUCAAGUAAAACAAAUAAUAUCGUCCCUAGUCUAUAUUAAAACUGUAGAGUCCCAGAAUGAAUCAAAUUAUAGGUCUACGAGUGGCAACUGACACGUGUAUGACUCCCGAUUUAUAUGAAACACACUAAACAAAACUCAUUUUUUUUACUAACAUGAGCCUCUCUAAGUCAAAAGCGCAGCACAGCACGCCAAGAAAGAAGAAAGGUUUAGUCUCACCCUCUCACUCUCAGGUCAAACCACAACAUCUUCCACACACAGUUAAUAGAACCCGCGUAAGCACACGCUUUGCAAUUAAUACCUCCGUAUCUAUAAAUCCACGCUUCUCCUCUUCAACUUUCUCAAAACACACUGCAACCCAACAACACAAUCUCUCUCUCUCUCUCUCUCCCUCUCUCUCUCCUGAAGUUGGAAAUUGAAAACUCUUGUUUCAUUUCAUCUUCAUUUUUCUAAGUGUAAUUCAUUAUAAUCGCAAAAUGGGUGUAAAAGGCUUCGUUGAAGGUGGCAUAGCUUCCAUCAUAGCAGGAGCUUCCACGCACCCACUUGACCUCAUCAAAGUCCGCAUCCAACUUCAAGGCGAAUCCCACCUCCCCAACCCUUCAAUGCAGCCUGCUUUCCGCCCGGCCCUCGCCUUCACCUCUGCCACCAACUCCAUGCCUUCUACAUUCUGCGCACCCGCUCCCCAACCACCCCGAGUGGGGCCUGUCUCCCUUGGACUCCGCAUUGCGCAGACCGAAGGGGUUGCAGCGCUGUUCUCCGGGGUCUCCGCCACCAUCCUCCGCCAAACCCUCUACUCCACCACCCGCAUGGGCCUCUAUGACAUCCUCAAGCGGAAAUGGGCUGACCCUGAAUCCGGAAACCUCCCGCUCCCGCGCAAGUUAGCCGCUGGACUGGUCGCUGGAGGAGUUGGCGCCGCGGUCGGCAACCCCGCUGACGUGGCAAUGGUCCGCAUGCAGGCUGACGGGCGCCUCCCGAUCCACCAGCGCCGCAACUACAAGAGCGUGAUCGACGCAAUUCGGGAAAUGUCGAAACACGAGGGGAUCACUAGCCUGUGGCGCGGCUCAUCUCUUACGGUGAACCGCGCCAUGAUCGUGACGGCAUCACAGCUGGCGUCUUACGAUCAGAUGAAGGAGGUGAUAUUGGAGAAGGGCAUCAUGAACGACGGGAUUGGGACCCACGUGGUGGCGAGCUUCGGGGCCGGGUUAGUGGCGGCCGUGGCGUCGAACCCGAUCGACGUGAUCAAGACGAGGGUGAUGAAUAUGAAGGUGGAGGCCGGGGCUACGGCACCGUACUCGGGUGCGUUGGAUUGUGCGAUGAAGACAGUGAGGGCUGAGGGUCCCAUGGCUUUGUAUAAGGGCUUCGUUCCUACCAUCUCAAGGCAAGGACCUUUUACUGUGGUCUUGUUCGUUACCUUGGAGAAGGUCCGGGAGCUCCUCAAAGAUUUUUGAUUUUUUUUUUCCUUUUUGUAAUUAACAUUCAUUCAUUAUUUUCCUACCAGAAAAUCAUAUUUUAUUGAUAAAAGAAGUAUUGCAAGGACUUGUAGUUUAAGUGAUUAAUAAAAUUUAUUCAUGCACUCAAGAUUCUAAUUGAGUAAAUAAAAUCAAGAGGAUUAAGCACCCAAUUUAACGAAUCAUCAAUCGAAAUAUCAAACCGGGCAAUACAAUGACAAAUCCCAUUACAUUCGCAGAUCUAUUGAGGGAUGAGUGCAGCUCAAUAUGAGACACACCCAUUAAAUUGCCCAGCUGCUUUGUUGUUUUCUUGGAGCCUAGGGGCAAAGGCUGCAAAAUGUUUGAUAAAAUGUCUCAAGGAAGGCAAAGGAAUGGAUGAGACUUUGUUUGCAUUAGGCCAAACUUUACAGGUUAUUUGUAGGCUCCAUUAUCCUCUGCAUCCGAGGCGAGACUCCACAGAUUCUUGCCCCCGAGAAGGAAAAUUCAUGGAUCCGUCAAUGCCCCAUUACACCAACUAAGAACACAAGUAAACCCUUCAUCCUCAGUAUGAGAACGAAGGUUCUUGACGAGAUUAAUGAUUUUACUCAUCCUCUUUUCAAACCAGUGAAUUGCUACAAAAUGAAGCUUUAGGAGCCUCGGAUUUGUUCAAGCAUGUUUAUCGUAAGCAAAAUUAACAAAAGAUGGUCUGGCCAACAUGAGAUCUUAUGAACUUCGUUCUAUCUGUUCUAGCUGCUGAUGCUGUUAAUUUGGCUAGACCCAAACUGGUUUUCUGUCUUGUUAUUUUUAUUGUUGGAUUUCGGCCCGUUUCACCUAAAAUAGAAAAACGCCAUAUAUAAUAGGUAAUCAUUUCAUUAGAUGACAGAGAGAAAUGAGACAAAGCCAUAAAGCCCACGUCGCCUCAUUCCUAUUUUAUUUCCAGUGUUCCCUAUUUAAUUAAGAUCACAUAAUUAAACAAGCUAAAUAGCACAUCUAGGGCUUAAUUAAUACCACCGGGUUCCUAAAUAAAUAGGGCUAAGGCCAAGAACCAAGUGACUUUUGGUUUAGUGGUAUUUAUCUUCCUAAUGUUAGGUAACAUUGCAUCAGAACCAAUCCUUAAAACGUGUCAAAUACGAAAGGUCGCAAGAAAUUAUUUCUAGGAUAACCAUGUGGAUAUAUCCACCAAACCAAGUUCUAAAAACAAACAAUGUAAAAGGUCACAAAAGAUUACACAACAAGAUUUUUCGAAAAAUAACGUGUCAUAAUACUAAUAUAAGCCCAUGGAAAAGCAAGUUAAUUAGGAUAACCAUAUAGAUUUGCAGAGGGUCCGACUCCCUGCCCAAAUGCUUACUCCGCACCGAGGACUUCAAUCUCAAAAACCAAAGCCGAAUUAGGUUGUAUCCCCCAUGCACCAAAUCCGUUAGCACCAUAAGCAUAAUCUGGAGAGCACUGCAAAUUCAUCAAGAAGGAAUAUGAGAUGUUAAUGUGAGAUAAAGUGCAUUCCAGUUCCAGACUUUCAAAAUGCACACCAAAUGAAAAUAAGAACAUGAGACAUUCCUAGCUUCUUACAUCUUAAAUCACUAUUUUAGAAACGGCAGAUUGCUAGUCGAAAUAAUAGAUUUAAGACACUGGAGUCUGGGACCAUUCAGUUUGAAGAGGAAUUCAUAAUUUGGGCAUCAGUCAAAGAAAUAUCAAACAUUUUGCAAGGUCGCAAAUAACACAAUGAGAACCAAGCCUAGAAGUUGUUGGUAAAUUUCAGGAUGGGGCAAAACAUGUUGUCCCAUAAAGAAGAAAAGAGGUAAAUUAACUCUGUUUCUAUAGAAAACAAUACAGUACUCUUAGAGGAGUGAAAAAAUGUGCGAAGAUUCAUGAAAACAUGACCUAAAUAUGGGAGUUUAUUGCUAAUAAAUGCAAAGAGAUCAAUUUCACAAUGACAAACAAAUACAAACGAGAUACUUAAAAGUUUUCCAAAUGAGUCAUUAGGAUCAUGUUCAAACGGCCUCCUAAUGGCCUUCUAAUUGCACCACGAAAAUUUUAUAAUAAGCUUCAGAGUACAGCAAAACUAUUUGUUAAAUCAUAGAGCAUAAAUCUUCCGGAGCACAGAAGAUGAACAUUACCCGUAGACGAGCAACUUCUCCCACUUGCAUUUGGAGCACACCUUCAUCCCAUCCUACAAAUGGGUUCCAACAAAACAAGUCAUAUAUCAGAGAAAAUUUGGAACGAACAAACACACACAUAUACACACAAUCACAUAUAUGUGUACACAUACAUAAGGAAAAAACAUAUAGUUACCUUUUAUAACAGCACCCUUCCCAAUUUGGAAGCUGAAAGGAUUCUGCCCAGGGUCCUUCGUACUAAAAAGAUCAAAGAAAGAAAAAAUUACAUAUCAAAUUUACAUAAUUCAAUUUUGAGAAUAUAUAUACAAGCCUGAAAAGACCCAUGAAAGCAUUAAAAAAAAAAAAAUGCUCACCUCCAAAACUUCUGACUCAGAUCACCAUUUUUUCCUGGGUUAAGGACACAACAGACCAUAUAAUGAAAUUCAACUACAAUAAUUAUAUUGGGUUGAAAAACAUUCAAAGUUCAAGCAAUGAAAAUAAAUAAAUAAAGUAAAAUUUUGUUUUUAUAUUUCAUAGCUCGAUAUGUGGCUAAGAAAAACGCAGAUUUUAAACAGAAAUAGAAUGAAGAGCUAACCGUAACCAGUGCAAUGAACGGUGACCUUCUGACCGACGGUCGGUUUUGGACCGGUUCCAGCACUCACGACUUCCCUCUCCACUCCCAUCUUCUUUUCUCUGUGCUCCUGCUGUUGUUUGCUCACUUUGCUUAGGGUUUUGGUUGUCGAAUCAAUCGAAGCGUUGAUCAAAAUAGAGAAAUCAAUCUAAGAUCGUUUUAGUGUCGACCAAAAAAAAUCUUAAGUUCUUUUUAGCAGUUUUGUCGUUUGAAAGCCCACUGGGUGUGAACUAUUUUAGUGGGCCAUGUAAUCAUGCAUUUGGUAGAAUUCUAAAGAGUUGACCGAUUCUUUUUCAUUAUUGGCACUAGGAAAAAUUCAUUAUGCACUAUUUCCUUAUGAAAAUUCAAGUAAAAAAUGGCAAUGUAUGACCACUAUUUUAGAGUGAUAGAACAUUUCACUUUUCAUUUUUCAUUUUUAAAAUUAUCACUCUACUUAAACCAUUAACUUUGCUAUCUUCAAUUUUUUUUAUUUAUUGGGUAAUGAAAAUUUUGUUUCGUUUUUUGUUAUUUGUCUUAGGCUUAAUUGCUUCAAUGCUUCUUGAAGCUAUGAUCAAAUUUCAUAUUGCUCAAUGAAAUUAGGGCUCGGCAUCUGAAGCCGAAGUACCGAUACCGUACACAUACCAAAUCGUAUCGUACCGAUUUUAUCCCAUUUCCUUUGGUUUUAGGCUGCAUCCGGUAUGAUACCGAACUGUGUCAACUUUGUAGGGCACGAUAGCGGUACCGAAUAUUUGAUACCGUUUAAUCCCGUACCGUACAAUAACAUAGACUAAUUUUUGUACUUCUUUCACUCUCGAUCUCUCAGCUUCGAAGAAUCUCGAUGCCUAGCUCUUUCUCUAUCUCUCGAUCUCACUCAAUCAUUCAAGCUCUCUCCAAGCUAAACUCUUCUCAUCUCGAUCUCUUGACAAUAUCUCUCGAUCUGUCUUAGUCUCACUCUGUCGAUCUCUCUUGAUCUCUCUUUGUCUCACUCUUUCGAUCUCACUUUGUCUCACUUUCUCAAUCUCUGUCUCACUCUCUCAAUCUCUCGGUCUAUCUCUAUCUCACUCUCUCGAUCUUUCGAUCUCUCUCUCUCUCUCUCUCUCUCUCUCUCUCUCUCUCUAUCUGGAAUCUAGAUCAGCCCCAAAUCGACAAAGCCUCAAAUGGUAAGUUGUUCUUGUUCUGAUUUUGUUAAUUUAUUUUGGGUUGAUAUGUUUGUUGUCUAAAUUUGGAUUGUUUGUUUAGGAUCUCUCUCUAUUUGGAUUGUUUGUUCUGAAUUUUAUUAAUUUGUUGGGGUUUACUGUCAUGCAGUCUCGAUCAAGUAAGCAGUUGUGAAACUCCGUAUUUAUAAAAUUAUAUAUAUAUAUAUAUUAUAUUUUAGAAAAUUAUAUAUAUAAUUGCCUUGAUAUAUAUUGUACUUUCAUAAAUAUUUUCAUUAAUAAAAAUAUACUUUAUUUUCGUUGCAUGCAUGUUAUCAAUACUUGGUGGCUAAAUUUAAAGGAUUGUAGUGAUCAACUUUGAUUGAUAUUAGUGAUAGACAUGUCCAUUUUUUAUAGCCAAGCAAGGAGCACUAUCACCUUGUGAGUUGUCAUAUGAAUAUCUUGAGUUUGAUUAGCUUUGAACACCUCCUACUAUAAUUUCUUAUAGCUGGUAGCAUUAUAGUCAUAUGCACAUGCCAAUUGACACCACCUACUUGAUAUGCCGCUAUCUCAUCUUUAGCCGACUCUUAUUGUACUAUAAAUAGGAAUCUACAAUUACAAACUCUUAUUGUACUAUAAAUAGGAAUCUACAAUUACAAAUGGUUUACUACAUCUAGAGAAAGGCAUGCAUAGCUUGCAUGAGAAACGAGAGACAAAUAGUGGUAGAGAGAAAAAGAAAGAGAGAGUGGUAAUAAUAUUCUUGGAGGAGUUAGAGGUCGGAACUUUUGUUUUCUUAACUUGGAGCUAGCUUUGGAUGACAGGACCCGACCCAAUUUUCGCUUUGAAAUUCGAGCCAAGUCCUGUGCGUGUCCGACACCUGGUGAAUGUCAGGCACAAAAGACCUUUUUACCCUUUUCGUUUCAAAAUUCUUUUAAAAUGUCCCUUAGACUUCUGCCGAAAAUUCGGCAGAGUUUCCCCUGAAUUUUGACCAAACCCAAAGUUUUUCACCUGUUAAACAAUCAAUUAAAUCCACACCAACUGCCAGAAUAUCUCAAAUAACAGAUCUCAACUCCAGUUUUUCAGUUUCAACUAGAUAUCAGAGCAUUUUCUAAAGUUUACAGAGUUCCAAGGGCUUUUCUACAAAACUCUACCUGAUUUGAUGGCGCGGAAGCUAGGAAUGGCCCGGUGGUGGAUCCUGCGCACUUCUACGGCCUGGGGGCGAAAAACAUGUUGAAAAUGUGAGUGGACAAAAAGAAUGUUCUCAAACUAGUUUAUAAACAUAAUAACCCCCGUAGUCAAAAUAAUUAUGUAUGUAAAUCUAAAGUUCAUCGGCAAUCAAAUAUAUAAAGCAUGUAAAUCAACAGGUAUACGUAUAUGUAUAUAUAUAGAUAAUAAACGGCACGAAUGUUAAGAAGACUGAUAUAAAAUUUUCUGAAAACAAUAAUUUCAUAAAACACUGAAAUUCCUUUAAAAGUACCACCUAGAAGUACCCCUGUAAGUCCGUCAAUUCCCCUGGCAGGUCUCGGGCGCCACGCAGUCUACCCGAGCCGCAAACUGGCGAAAUCAGGGGACUAUGAUCAGCCUGAUCUGCCGGCAGGUCUCGAUGACACCAAGUCGACUCGAGCCGCUCUGGCAAGAUACAUGGGACCGUAAUCAGCCUGAUCCGAAAUCCUGGCAGGUCUCGGGGACACAGAGUCAGCCGAGCCGCAAUCCUGGCAGGUCUCGGGGACACCAAGUCUGCCGAGCCGCAAAAUCCUGGCACUCACGGUCCGAGCGUCCCCGAAACUCGUGAGGCAAAGUCAAGUGCACUGACGUAACUGAAAUCAGACUGGAUGUCCGUAGACAUCGGUCCGACUGUGGGUAAUCACCAAAGAUAAAUGGGUACACGGUGGUUUUAAAAUAAACUAUUUUAAGAAAAAUCUAAUAACUCACUGCAUCUCGGUAAAUCUGAAGCUUUGCUGCUAUCUCCUCUGGUAAAGUUCUCAAACUCUGCUUUUUAUAUUACUAGAGCUUCAGAAAUUAAGCAUCACGUAGAUCAAAGUACUAAACCGUACAAAUCAUGCUUAAAGGAAACAGUUCAUAAAACUUAUCCAAAUAAACUCAUUUAUAAAAGCUUAUUUAUAUAAAAUCAAUAUAAAAUUAUUUAAGUAAACUUGUUUAUAUAAAUCAUUUAUAUAAAAUCAUUCAUGAAAGAAAGUCCACUCACUGAUGGUCCGAGCUAACUGGACCCUUUGAAGGUCCCUCCUGCGGGUCGCUUGGACCUCUGGUGCCUGAUUAACCAUGAAUAGUAAAUCAAUAAACUACUGAAUAAAAAGAAUUUAAAUUAAACACCCUGCCCCCGGCUCCUAGAAGUACGUGCACUCGUUUCAAGUUACUCCUAUGUCUACAUUAGCUUUUUAGGCUCUUAGAUCAGUUUUGGAAGACCCGAUGCUUAACUAAGCGAUAAACCACCAGACCAGCCGAUCCGGGACCCCGUGGGUCCACGGUCUCCGAUGGCCAAUCUGGGCUUCUCUAAAGGUUCCUCAUAAAGAAGGAACCAUGUUCCGCGAAUUCGGUCUGAAACGGACGGUCGGAUUGGCCAGAAUCGCGUUAUCGCUUAAAAUCGAAACCCUAGCCCCAGGGUUCGCGAUUUCGGAGUAUCCGGGACUCCGAUUCACAAUCCGUCGAAUCCUACACGAUCCUGAAAUCAUGUAGACCGACAUAUCCAAAAUUCAGUGCGAUCCGACGAUUAGACGACAUUGCACCCAAGGAUCGUGCGAUAUGGAAAAUCCGUUCGGGGCUCAAACGGACUCCGAAUCGAGAUCCGCGAAAUCCUACGCGCUCGUGACUACACGAGGAUCUCAAAACUGCCCAGAGUUACUCCACCACCCUUGCCCACGCGCCGCCACACGCGCGGGCAGAUUGGGUGUCCAAAGCGAUUAUGGGUUGCCGGAAAAAAACUCGGAACCAAGACUCCAAACUCCUAUCCUAGGUAAAACACCCCAUUUGGAGUCACUUUUGUUCUUGGACAUACCCCAAAAAGUGGCCGAAAAUGGCCGAUCACGGCGGCCGAAGUUCGACCAAUUUUCAAGUUGAAAAUCGAGUGAUCUAGAGGUGAAAUCGAUCAAAACCCAGCCAACCAUCAGUUAGAGCACGAAAAAUAGCUGAGAAUCCAUACCUUACUCGAACGAUUUGGUUGAGAAACGAAGGAGAACGAAGGAGAUGAAGUUCGGGUGAAAACCGCCGAUUCUUGUCCAGUUUCCGGCGAGCUCCGGCCGGUGCAGGUGCGGCGACGGGUCGGGGCGUGACGGCGGCGACAAGACGAAGCUGGUGGUACCAACAUCGGAGAUCGGCGUGCCCUGUGGUGGCGACGGGAGGCGCUGGAAGGGAGGAGGGCGCACGGCUUGCGCGCGACGGGAGGAGAGAGAAAUGAGGAGAGAGAAGGGAGAAAGAGAUAAAAAAAUCUGACUUUUGUCCAAAUUACCAUUUUGCCCUUCGCGGUAUUUUGACCGUAUUUUCUUCGUUACAACUCCGAUUCGAGUCUACUCCGUGUCUACGGACUCGUUUCGCCUUACUCUACGCAACAGCAUAAGCGGAAUUGCCAAAUUCUUUCCCGAUCAAAAAGUCAACUUUUUCUCUAUUAAAAAAUGCGAGGGCAAAAUUGUCUUUUUGCUAGAAGAUAUUAAUCCUACUUUUUAGAUAUUAUAUUUCUUUUUAGACAUUUUAUUUUGGGUUAUUACAUUGGAAAUGAGGUUGGGGUUUCUUGAGGGCCUUUUACGGAGAUUGAUUGAAUUAAAUUUCGUGAGCACUAUAUUAUGCGUGAUAUGAUUAUAUGUACAUUGGUGAUGUUUAAAUGUUACAUUAUUGUGAGAUACAUGGAAGGCAUAAUUAUAUCAUGUCAUGGAUAUUUGGUUGGAGUUAUUGGGUGGAGAAGAUAAUAAUGGAAAAGAGGGUAAUGGAUAUAGUCUUUUGUGUAGUUGAGUCUAACUCUUGGCAGGUACCAGGUCUCAGGGAUCCCACAGUGCACAUGGUUUUUAUUAGGUGAUUUGGGACUGGCGAAAAGGAGUUAGACAAGAUGACUAACAAAAGGGGAAUUAUGGGAUGACUGAAAUCGGUGUUAGUUCAUAUAAAUUUCGGGACCAAGUGGUAUAAGCAUGGUAUGGGACGUGCAGGUCUGCAUGUCCAGUUAUACGAAUUAACGGGAGUAGAUGAAGAGCAUUCAUGCAUUAUAAUUAAUAAUGUGAUAUUUGGCUGCGUGAUUAUUUGUCAUUUAAUUUAGUUAUAUCAAUCUACUGUAGUAAGGUCUCAUAUCCCUAUUGAGCUGUGGUUGCUUACUCCUCACCUUAUUUAAUUUUUCAGAUGAAUUAGUGGGCAAGAAAAGGAAUAAACCAGUUGAGGCUGAAUUAGAUGAGAGUGAUCGAGCUUUAUUUAUUGUAAAGUUGUAAGAUUUUGGAUCUAUUUUUAUAAAAGAAGUUUAUUUUAAACCCAUGUCUUGGCUUCUUUUUAUUUUAUUUUAUUUUAUUUUAUUUUCUCAAGCGCCGGGUGCGGGGUUUCUGCCGACCCCUGGGUCCGGGGCGUGACAGCAGUAGCAUCAAGAGCACAUUGGGCUUGCUGCUUCGUCAACAGCAACAUCACCAGCACCACUAUAAAUGCCACACCAUGUGCAGUUGGAAGGCCAACCCUUCUGAAGCUCUUGUGCCAGAGCCAGUGCAAGCCCAAGCUGUUAAGAGUGAAGAUACAGAAAUGGUUAGUGAAAUGAACUCAAAUAGCAAAGCUAGAGGUAAUAAGAGAAGUUUGGUUUUGGGAUCAUUUUACACCCUAUGAUCAUAAGAAAACUGUCAAAAGAAAGGAUGAUGCCACAAGGAAGAUGAUAGAUGUAGAAGUUGUGAAUAAAAGAGCUAAAUGCAGAUAUUGUACUGUCUAAACUUGGUCUAGGAGAUAAUGCAUGUGAAAGUGGGAAAAAUGGGACUUAGGAAUGAUAAGCCACAUUAGAAAAGACUGCAAAUACUACCCACCUAACCAAGAUAAAACACAAAAGAUCAUUGCUGGUGAUAAGGGUCAGGGUAACAAAAUGGUUGCUAGGGGGUUUGUGCAGAGUGAUGUUAUGGAUGCAUGUGAAAGAAAUGACUGUCAUUGAUGAGAUGCCAUUUUCUUUUGUAGAAAAGAAAGGUUUUAGGAGGUUUUGUAGUGUUGCUUGCUCAAUAUUUGAAGUGCUUAGUCGGAGAAAAAUAGUGAAGCAAUUUUUUUAAAUGUAUGAUGCACAAAAAGAACAGCUGAAGAAGGAUUUAAGUGCACAUAGGAUCAACCUCAAGAUUGACACUUGGACAAGUGUCCAAAACACCAAUUACAUGGUGCUCACUGCUCACUUUAUAGAUUGUGAUUGGAAGAUGCACAAAAAGGUUUUAAACUUUUGUGUUAUUCCUAAUCACCAAGGCAACACCAUAGGAAACCUCAUUGAGAGUUGUUUGUUACAGUGGGGUAUAAAGAAGGUUUUAACCAUCAAUGCGGACAAUGCCUCUGCAAAUAAAGUGAAAAUUGACUGGGUUAGAUAUAAGAUGAAUAAAUGGAACAAUUCACAAGCUGUUUUGGGUGGGAAGUACUUAUAUGUGAGAUGUUGUGCUCACAUCACUAAUUCAAUUGUGUCUAGUGGGUUGAGGAAGCUGCAAAAAUCUGUUUUUGCAAUUAGGAAUGCUGUGAGGUAUGUGAGGUCAUCUCCAUAUAGAUUAUAUUAUUUUAAAACCUCUGUUGAGAAGGAGAAACGGACAUGCAAAGGUAUUGUAUGCAUGGAUGUCCCCACAAGAUGGAAUUCAACAUACAUAAUGUUGAAUGCAGCCUUGAAGUUUAAGAAGGCUUUUACUAGAAUGGCAAAGGAUUUGAACAACAUGGCUUAUUUCAAAGAACCAGAUGAAGAGUUGAUAACGAUGAUGUAGUUCAGACUAAUAGUAGGCAGUCUCGUUGGACCACUAACUGAUGUUGAUUGGGACAAUGUAGCAGUGUUUGUGAGGUUUUUGAAGGUGUUUUAUGAGAUGACCUUAAAGGUGAGUGCAUCUUUGCCCCCCACAGUUCAUAAAAUAUUUCAUGCAGUUAUAGCCAUGGAAAAGGAGAUUGACAAGUUGUUUGUGACACCUGAAAUUUCCAUUGGUUCAAAUGCAUAGAAAGUGUAAAAUGACAUGGCUGGAGUUAUGAGAACAAAAUACAAUAAGUACUUUUAUCAAAUAUCAGGAUUUGAACAUAUUGGUGUUGAUUGCACUUGUUUUGGAUCCAAGGUUCAAGUUGAGGCAUAUCACCCAUCUCUUUAAAAAGGAAAAAUUUGAUGGGGAUGAUGUGCAAAUGAAGACAAGAGAAGUGAAAUGAGUGUUAAUAGCCUUUAUUAUGAGUAUGUAGCAAAGGUAGAUGGUGGCAUUCACAUGAGACAGAAUUCUACCACCGAAAAUGUAGGAUCUGCAAGUGGUAGUAAUAAUAUCGUUGAAGAAAGUGUUGCUGGUGAUGAUUUUUUUGGAUGAUUGGAUUAGGGAGGUAGGAGAGAGUGAUGAGGCUGUAGUGUCACAUGAAGUUGAUUCUUACUUGGCUGAUCCUUUGGCUUUAGUUUUCAAAGAUAUAUUUUUUCACAUAUUGAUGUGGUGGAAACUCAUUGGGCCCAAGUAUCCUGUCUUAGCAGCAAUUGCCCAUAGAUGUCCUUUCAAUUCAAACUUCCACAGUGGCAUCUGAGAGUUGUUUUAGCACUGGUGAUAGAGUCAUAGAUGCAUUUGGGAGUUCAUUAACUCUUAGAUCAGUGGAAGCUUUGAUUUCAUGCAAAAUUGGUUGAGAGGGGAUGAAAUUUCAAGCUUGGAAGAUACACAUUUGAUUGAAGAAUUUGAAUUUUUUGAAACUAUUAAAUCAGGUAAAUUAUUUUAAAUAUUGUUUGUAAUUUGUAUUAGUUUGCAUUGAAUUCUAAAAGUUGUUUAUGUAAUUUGUAGAACAAGCAAAUGAUGGGGCUAUUUGAAUUGAAACCUCGAGCUGCAAAUUUAUUUGUGUUUGUAACUUUGUAAGCCAUAAUGUAUUGAACUGCAUAAUUUUAACCAUUUGAGUUUAUAAGCCAUAAAGCAUUGAAUUGCAUACGUUUAUGUUUAUCACUUCAUUUCAUGAAUUUCUUAAGAUCUAUUGAUCAUAAUUACAUAAGUUAUGUUGAUAUGAAUUGAUGAAUACGAGCAGGUAUUUGAUGAAUUUGCUGAAUUGUUGAAUUUGUUUAAUUGCUGGAUUAUGUUUCUGUUUUGUCAUUUAGUACCGAAAUGGUACUAUUAGCAGAACCGAUCGGCUGCGGUAUAGUUUGAUAUCAACUUCUGCAAAUGCCAAUCCCAUACUGUAUCAUACUGGUUGCAAUUUUUGAUACUAGUAUCGAGAAGUAGUCCAUACUGUACCAUACUGUAUCAUGCUCAGGCCUAAAUGAAAUUCAAAGUAACCUACCUUGCACCCUUUACAGAUGUUUUGUGUCUCACCUUACACAUCGUGGUUAAGUUGAUAAAAAAAUUCAUUAAAACACAAACGUGGCAUUAGUGAGACCCAUUUGUUAAAAUAUAUGACAUGUAAGUGUUGCAUGCACAAUUUUUUUAAAUAAUGGUUUAAAACAUCAGACAAACAAUGAAAAUAAAAAUUAUUUUGGAAUUCUUUAUUGUUUAAAACAAACAAUUAAAAAGUUCAUCAAUCACAUGAUUCCUACCAGAAAUCACCCAUUCCUCUCCUCCUCCUCCUCCUCCUUCGGCGAAAACCCAACAGACAUCACCACUACCCUCACACUAAAGCAAUUCUAGUAACAAGCAUCAUUCUUGCUCCAAUCUGCAACCACCCCACCUCCCAUUCCAACCACAAAAUUGAUUAUCCUACUCAACCUCAGCCCCCACCCUUUCUUUCUUAGCAUCUCCACUCAUCUAUUCCUCCACACAAAGGUAUCACACUAUGAAUGACUUGCCAUCAUCAAGGUUUUUCCCCAAAAUAGGGACUUGUCUUAUCUACAAAGUACAUCAUUGCAAUCUUUCUUAAUUUGUAAGGGUCCUUGGGAUAAGUUUGCAGUGAUCGCUCUUAAAAAAAGGAUAAAUAUGGGGACCUCCACUCUUCUACAAAUGAGAUUAUGAAUGCUUCCUCCGUUGAGAGCACCAUGGAACACUUAGGACAGUUGGCUUGAACCUUUGUAGCUUGCUUCUGCAUCUCUGGCCAAUAGUAGUCUUUGCGUUGUAGGCAACCCCAUGACAAAAGCUUCAUAUUUGGCUACAUUAUUUGUGCAAUAGAAGUUCAAUUUGAAUGAAAGAGUCUUGGCCUGUCCUUUGGGAUUAAUGACAACUACUCAUGCUCCUCUUCUGUUAGUAGUAGAAGAGCCAUCAAAGUAUAGAGUCCAAGGUUCCUCGUUUGUAGUAGUUCCUGCCAUCUUCAUUAACUCUCCUAUAACUAUUAGUAGUAUGCACUUAAAAGCUAACUAAUAUGAUAAUUAAUGUUAAGGACAUCUUUUGUAAUAACUUAUUAAGUUAUUCGUGGGUAAGGCCAGUUGUUUUCAACCAUGAUAUUUGGUAUAUUAUCAUAACAGUAAAACAAUUAUAGUCCUAGGAAAUAUAAGUGGACAUGAGAACUAUGUAAUGAGAUUGCAUGCAUCGAGACUUAUCAUGAUCCUAAUCCUAAACAUAUUCCUGGUCAUAGGAGUAUCAAUUGGGCGUUGAUAUUCUGUCAAGACUAGUACACAUAGUAUCUUCUCUCUAUGUAGAAAAUGAUGAGGUCUCAAGUCAUUAAGUGUAUCGACACCAAGAUAUGUGUGUAGGUGCUUGCAGGAGAACAAGUACACUGAAGCGGUCUAAUAUAUGAGUUCUAGAAUGGAAGUCUUUACUCACAUGUCAAACUAGAACUCAUAGAUUGCAAUAGUGCAAACUAAUCCUUGGACCUAAGACAUCAUAGAUGUCUUGUGGCUAUGUUGUUAGGCCAUCCCAAUGGUUGGGGCUCUAAAAAAGGUUGAUAAAACCUAGGGCUGUCUUUCGGCCGGAUCGGAUCAGAAACAACAAUUCCAAUUCCAAUCCAAUAUCUUUCGGAAUUCAAUAUAGAGUUCCGAUUCCGAUUCCGAAAAAGUUUGGAAAUUUUCGGAAGAUUCCGAUUCCGAAGCCCUUAACUGACAAAAAAAAUUUAAGAGAUUUAAAUGCCCAAACUAGCAUUUUGUAAAAAUCUCAACUAAACUUUAAUCAAGAAAACCCAGCUUAGGGGUUUAACAACUAGUCCAACAGGAACUUUACAGGCCCAAAUAGGUUGUACUUUUAAGUCCCUACACAAAAUGACUGAGUUUGAAGAUAUUUAUAAAGGACUAAACACCUGAAGUUUAUUCUUGCAGUCGAUAUGGGACUCCAAGAAGAAAUGGGAGUGCAACUUCUCUCUCCACUCUUUUCUUGAUUUCUACUUGGUUACUCAUCCAUCACUUCUCCUCUCUCUUCCGUUUCUUCCUUUCUAAUCCAUGAAUGCCAACCUUCAUUUUCUUUCUUACUUAAAACUCUUCAGAUAUGGAACAAUAUGUACGGAUCCCGUUAGGAAAAAAACAAAAACACUUCUCCAACCAAAAAAGAAAUCAUUCUUCAAUUCUUUAUCUCUACUGUUUCUUCUCUUGCAUUUUUAUUUUUCUGGGUUUGCACUAAAUCAUUUAUCCGAUGUAUAUGUUCUCCAUUGAAUCCUCAUUGGAGCUCUCUUCCCUUGUUGCAAUACCCCACACCAUCCAGAUUUUUUCUUUAUCAUUUAUUUUUCUGUUUCUGCACAAAUUCAUUACUUUUUUGGUAUUGAGAUGGAAUGAAAACCUUUAAUUAAGAAAGAAAUAAAAUCAAAGAAUGAGUUUUAAAAAUUUAGAAAUGUUUCCUUCUUUUUUUCGUCACUUCAAUUCAAUGUAGGAUUGGAAAAAAAACGCAGAUGAUUUUUUUUUAAAGUUAUAAUUGCCUUGGACCUCCUCUUUCUGAUUAUCCUUGGAACCUAUUAUAAUUGCCCAAGGCAUAGCUUAUUUUGAAAGUUAUAGCAUGUUUGAAUUCACCUUAUAUAUAUAUAUAUAACAAUCUAUUAUUUUAUAUACAACAAUCUAUAUAGUAUAUUGAUUAUUAAUCAAAGUAAUUUGUCCUACAUAUUAUAUAUUUAUAUUUUGUUCAUGUGAAUCAAAUUUUUUUGAUUCCAUGCUAAAGAUGGAUUCACAUUCAUCAAUUGAUGCUCAAGACUUAAGUUAUAGCCGAGUGACUAUCACAUUGGUUUUAGAUUCUAGUGGGUCAUGAACAUGUAUAAAGAGUGUUAGACGUUAAUCAUGCUCUAGACAAUUGUAAUACUACAAUUUUCAGGUUGGAAUACUACAAUUGUUAAAGCUCCAAUUAAUAUACGCACAUUAUAUGUGGUGUUUCAUGUAUAAAAUGAUUUUAUAAUUAAAAGUUUAAUUGAAGAUAGUUUAUAAUUUUAAAAAUACAUACAUAAAUAUAAAAUGCAAUAGUAUAAUACUUCCUACAUUUACCAUAUAUGUACAUAGUACUUAUGGAUAUAACAAGCACACAUAUGCACCUUUUUGUUAUAUUAAAUCAAGCAUAUUUGCCAAAGAUAUAUAUUGUCUUAAAGUUACAUACUACUAUGUUUAGUUUUUUUUUUUUUUUUUUUGUCAAGCCUAUAUUUAGUAUGUACAAAUAUUUGUAUGUGGGUACUAAAACUUAACAAAUAAGAAAUGAAACAUAUAUAAGACCUAUAAACUAAAAAUAAUGCAAUUAUACUUAGAAACUCGGAAUUUUUCGGAAAAAAAUUGGAAAAAUCGGAUCGGAAUGGAUUCGGAGAACUUCGGAAUUUUUCGGAUCGGAAUUUCGGAAUGUUCGGCAUUUAUCGGAAUUUUCGGAUUUCGGCAUUUUCGGAUAUCGGAUUUAUCGGAGUCGGAUUUUUUUGGAAAAAAUCGGACUGGAAUCGGUCGUAAUCGGAUUUUUCAAUCCAACUUACACCCCUAAUAAAACCCCAUUUAGAGCUCCGAUGGAAUCUUUAGGGCUCUAAAGGCAUCUCUCCCACAAUGGGAGGCCCUAUAUUCAUGGCGGGCUCUAUAUAUUUUUUUUAUGAUGUAAUUUGAUUUACGUAGUUUUUUUUUUGGUUUGUGGUUAAUUAUUUGACUUUAAUGUUUGUUCAUGUUAUUAUUAUUAUUAUUAUUAUUAUUAUUAUUAUUUAUUUUUUUUUUUUGUGUGUGAACAUUUCAACAACAAAAAAUUCAAAAUUUGGACACGAUUGGAAAUCAACAUUUUAUUUCAUAGAUACGAUACAAGAACAUGGUUAAAUUAAGACAAGAUGCACAACAUUUAUUUGGUGGUCCUCCAAAGUUGAAUAUGGGUCCAUUGCAUUAUAGCUUUCCACCCCUCUCUUAUCUACAUUGUCAUAUAAUAAUUGUGGUAGCAUGGUGAUAGCUGGAUAUGGGUCCCCUUCGUUAUGGCCUUCCAUACUUAUGCCAUUUACAUUUGUCAGAUAAUAAUGGUGGUAAAUGGAUAUGGGUCCCAUUUGUUGUGGCUUCAGAUAAAAAAUCUUAUCUCUUCAUAUUACAUCUUACAAUAACAUAAAAAAUCUUAUCUCUUCAUAUUACAUCUUACAAUAACCAUUGGAUCCAAUUACCUCAUAUGAAUCUCAUCCGUAUAUUUGUUAUCUCUUAAACCAUCAUAUCCUCUAUAAAUGAACAACCACCUCAUUUUCAUAACACACCAUCUCCCAACUCUUGUAUUCUCAGUAUUCAUUCAUCUACCACCGUACUAGAAUGGAUAACAAUGGAUAUGAUAGCUCUUCUAGUGAUGAGACAGGUGCCAACAUAAUGUUUUAGGAAAUGUUCGAAAGCUACCCAAGGAAAAAAGCAGCUAAGAAGAAAGAGAAGGCCUCGAUGGUUGUCUAUGGGGGUACAUUGUCACGACGACAUAUUAUACCAAGAGAUCGAGUAAGUGCCUAUAAAAAGCUUUUUCAAAAUUACUUCUCUAACCAUCCAUUGUAUCUCCCGUUAGAUUUUUGUAAUAGGUUUCGCAUGAGGCGUGAGUUGUUUAAUUGAAUAAUGGAACAAACUGUCCCUUCCGACGAUCACUUCAAACAAAAACUUGAUGCCACUGGAAAGCUUGGUUUCUCACCACAAGUGAAGAUGAUAGCCGCCUUGCAUAUGCUUGAUAUGGUACAUCAGCUGACCUCAAUGAUGAUUACUUGAAGAUAGCAGAGACCACAUUAUUUGAAGCUUGUAAGAGAUUUUGUCAUGCAAUCAACAACUUAUAUGGAGCUGAAUAUCUUCGUAAACCAACGAGGGCGGACAUACAAAAAUGCUCCAAAAAGCUGAGGAACGGGGGAUUCCUAGCAUGUUAGGAAGCAUUGACUACAUGCAUUGGAAGUGGAAAAACUGCCCAAUGUCACAAUGUGGGGCAUACACAGGCCACCAUGGUUGUCCAACCAUAAUCCUUGAAGCGGUUGCUUCUUACAACACAUGGAUUUGGCACGCCAACUUUGGAAUGCCGGGAGUAUUUAAUAACCUCAACGUACUAUACAAGUCACCCCUUUUGAUGAUGUCAUUCAAGGACGUGCUUCGCGGGUCCGAUAUUAUCUGAAUGAAAAAUAAUACAAGCAAUGGUACUAUCUUGCAGACGGAAUGUAUCCAAGUGGAACACAAUUGUCCAGUCAUUUUUGGAUCCUCAAGGACGACGACAUCAAUUAUUCUCUAAGAUGCAAGAGGCGUAUUGUAAGGAUGUGGAGAGAGCUUUUGGAAUUCUUCAAGGUCGUUUUGUAGUUGUCUCGAGGCCUGCCUGCCAAUGGUACCGAGAUGACAUUUGGGAGGUACUGAAGACUUGCGUAAUUAUUCAUAAUAUGAUUAUUGAAGAUGAGUGUGACCAAGACUACAUAACUCAUGUAGAGGACACACCAUAUCAUGUGGAGGAGGCUUUGGUGCCGCAUGAACGUGGAUCAUGCAAUAUAUAAAUAGAAUAUAUUAAUUGAAACAUAAUAAAUGAUCCAACCUCCGAUCUGAUAUCAUUCAACACUUGUGUGAGCAAUAUGAAACAUAACUUUAAUUGUUGUCUUUUUAAAUUUAGUGUUGUGUACUUAGCAUUCAAUAACUAAAUUGCAAUGUCCUUGCAAUUUAGAGUUGUGUAUUUAGAAUUCAAUAACUAAACUGCAAUGUCCUUGAAUUCAAUCAUUUCACUAAGUUAAACAAACCAGAAUAUUUUUAAAAUAAUAAAACAAAGUACAACGGAAUUUAAAUAAAACAAACUACAGCAUUCUUUAAAUUAAACAAACUACUAAACUAUUCUAGAAAUCAUCAUUUUCUGGGGGUUGGGGACGAUAGACUUCAUCCUCAAAGUUUAGCGAAUGGGAAGAACUCUUCGCGAUAAUAUUAGUUUGUUUCUGUUGGACCCAUCGCCUUCUCGCUGAAGUUUGGAUUGUGGUAGGUUUCCUUAAACAUAACCGUCAACUCUUUGUUCUCAAUCAUAUAAUCUUUGUAAGACCUCAUAAUAUCUUUGAGCUCUUUAUUAUCUUGAGAUGACUCUUCCACAACAGCCUUUCUUUUAGCUCCUUAGCGUUUUUGUGUCACAUAGGCCUUCACCGUGGGUUUGAAGUUUGUGGGAGUGCUUGAGUUUCUGGAACGGUUUCAUACGGUGAAUCAUCAUCUACAUAAAUGGAUUCACUCAUUGGAGAAUCGUUCACAAAGGGGGUGGAUUGGAACCCUUCAAAGGGUUGCCACUUAUGAGCAUAUUGGACAAUAUUCUAAUAGUGGUCAAAGAGGAAUGCUUUUUUGGUCCUCUCGAAAAAAAGUCAUUUUGCAUCAAUAAUCUACACAUAUUAUAUGCAAGAAUUUAAAAUAGUUGACAAAAUAUUAAGUUGGCAAAAUAAAUUAAUAAAUUAUAAAACUCACAUUGUCCAUUUCAAUUUGGCCACUCUUGUUUAAUCUUGCCACUUGAGUAAGACACUAGGAGAAUUUGUUGCACAUUUGAGAGAUGUUCGUCCAAUGCGAUUUCAAGCUUUUUGAUGACCUAACUUCCUGGGCAUCGAGAUGAAAUUGUAUGAAUUGAUCUCUUAUCCGAUUCUACAUCGUUCCAUUUGAUUAACAAUUCCCGAUAAUUAGAUCUUCACUAAUGAUUAUCUAAGCUUGGCAUAGAGCAACAUCUUCAUCAAUGAAGUAAUUUGCACCUUUUUGCUUAGAACCUUCAGCCAUUGGUAGAAAAGAGAUUAACAAAAACUUAAAUAAUUUUGUGAGUGAACAAAUUUGACUAAUUGAUCAAGAGUGAUAAAGGUUGUGAUGUGUAAAAAUUAUGAAAGAUAUGGUGGAUAUUUAUAGGAAGAAUUGAGUUGCAAAUUUAUUUAAUAUAUAUAUAUAUACAGUCCUGAUCUCUUAGACUACAGGGGUCCAAGAGAUUUGUGGUCACUCACCGUUGGAUGUAAAUUCAACGGUUCACUCACUCUUGCACUCCUUUUAAGAAACUUUUUUGAACUUUUAGAUUAAUAUCCAACGGUGGGUGACCACAAUCUCUUGGACUCCUGUGGUCCAAGAGAUCGGGACUGUAUAUAUAUAGCCAUUUAUAGCUGUUGGUCUCACUUGUAGUCAUUUAUAGCUGUUUAUAGCCGUUGGUUCCACAACUUUUGAAAAAGUGGGUCAGCAUGGUGGCAAGCAUGUUGUCGACAGAAGGAAAAAAAAAAAAGCAAGUAUGGCUUUCCACAGCCGCAAGGCAAGUGAGAGACAAAGUAUAUGGGCUACAACUUUUCUCCUUGCGGGACCCAUUAAGUUUCAAGGGUUUCAACCAAGCAUAUAGAUUUAGCUAGUGCUCCGGUUGGGCUUCAAGUUUUAGAGCCUUGAAUUUGCACCAUUGGGGAUGCUUUUUAAGGAAAAUUUCUAUUUAUGGGAGCCUUAUGGUGGUUGAGCCCUAAAUAGAGCCCCCAUUGGGGAUGACCUUAGUCUUUGAGGGCACUAUAUAGUUGUGUUGAUGAAUACAUGACCUAAAGAUAUUUAUCAGAAAUCUCAAUAAAGUCAUGGAUACAUGAAUGUACAACAAGGAACCUGUACUUAUAGUAAGGAGAGAGAAUACUCCAAGAAUAUGAUUGAUCAAAUCUGUGCACAGAGUUGGGGAUAAGAUUUGAAAAAAUAAAUUUUCAAAUCUUUUCAGGAUAAUCAUAUAAAAGAAUAAUUCACGUUAGGAUAUUCAACAUUAGAUUCCAUUAUCAAGUAAUGUGAAUAAGGAGUAUUGUAUAGGAGAACGAUUCAAUUGUGCGGUCAUUCCAAUUUGAAUAGGUUCUUUCCUACAUCCUAUUUAGCUCAAAUAACCAUGACAUGCUGCUAGGCGUCAACCAUGAUUUGUGGAAGUCCUAAAAGGUUCAAACAUAUUUGAACUUCACUAAUAGGAAGAAUUAAAUAGUGAUACUUAAUUCACAAAUUAACUCAGAGAAGUUGAGCCUACCCACUGCCUUGCUAAAAGGAACCUACGGAUCACACACCGAGAAAUGAGAUUAGAGGUACAAAUGAAGCAAAAAGAAAUUAGGAGUCAAAAGUCAAAGGUCAAAGUCAACAUUCAAGUCAAAGUCAACAUAUUUGACUGGAGCAAUUAACCAAGUCAAAUUAGUAAGACCAUAAUAGUAGUUUAAAAGUUAAAUUAUAUUUCAUAAUUAAAAGUUGAUUAUGAAAUUAACUUUGACAUGAAUAAUUAGGUUGGGCUUUUAAAUAUGAUUUAAAAGAAGAAUGACAAAACUUGUGCGCAUCUCCAUUUGGAUCUUGUGGACAACCUUCUUCUAUUAAACCAUGCAUAUCAUCGUCUUGCUCCAUACUGGCCACAUCAUGUCCAUCAUUGUCAUUGUCACUUUCAUCACUUUCAUCACUAUCCUCAUCCUCACCCUCACCAUGCAAAUACCAUGUAGUAUAAUUUAGUUUAAUUCCGUUAUAAAGAAGAUGCUUGUGUACCUCAUACCUUAGAUGUCUAUAUCUAUUACUGCAUUUAGAGCAAGGACAAAAGAUAUUAGAAUCAUCCGGCUUAACAUGGUUGUAUGCAUAAUUGAGAAAACUUUCAACUCUUGCAAAAUAAUCUUCUGACGACCUUCCAGAUUGCAUCCAAGAUUUAUCAAUAGGCAUUUCUCUGAAUAAAUAAGUUCUAGUUAAUAUUAAUAGAAUAAAUGACCAAAAAUUCAGAUAUUAAAACUAUAUCAAAAACAUCAAAAUCAAAGCCACAUUUAUUAUUGUAUCACUAUACUAGAGAACUGGCAUGUAAAAAAGCAGAGGCAUGUAAUUCUUUAAAAUCACGAAGCAGCCGAACAUAUGUAGGCACCAGGUCAGACCUAAAGUAUGGCAACAUCACAACAAUCAUCAAUUAGAACUCAAGUGACAAAUUCACAAACUAUCACUAAGAUAUUGGCUCACAUCAAAAUUACGUCAGAUGAAAAAUUAUAAAACUAAUAUAAUUUAUAGCUUACUCUCCAAAUAUUAUUGCACAAUCAAGCAAUUAGGCCCACCCAAAGGGCCAAAAGCAGCACUGCAAAUGGUCCCUAGUUUUUAUGCAUUUCCAUAUGUUGUAUAUGUGUGUUAUACAAGUUACUCAUGUUUUUUUUAAUUUAUGCAAAAGUUAGGAAGGGAGAAGAGAACAGUCUUUGAUUUACUUGCAAGUCAUAAGUGUACAUAUUCACAUAUCAACAAUUUGUACUCUACUGCCCAUCAUGCAUAUAAAAGAAGAGUAAAAAAAACCAUACCCAUCUCUCUCUCUCUCUCUCUCCCCUCGACCAGCUUCUGCUUUUUGCUGAGGAAACUAAAAAUUAUGCAGCCAGUAGAUUCAGUUAUAAAUUACAAUACCCAACUAAUACAACAUUCAAAAUAAGAGCCCAGCCACACCAAAAAUAAAAAUGAUUACCUUAGCUUCUGGACCUACAGCUUCACACAGCUCAUAUAAUUGAUUUGCAACCAUAUAACGAACGCGCCAAGACUUAUCCUGGUCAAAAGAACCAAGUUUACACGUAUAUUGGCAAGAGCACAUCAACAAACAAAAGGCGCUGGCUAUAGUCUGGAAUACCAUUCAGAAAUAUGAAUACCUGUGAAAAAUUAACAAUGACAGGAAGAAUAUGGGUCACACAAUCUUGAUCUGAAAACAUAAUCCUAAUCUGGCCCAACCCUCUACUGCCAAUAACCGAACAGAAUCCUGAUCUGAAAACAAAAGUGCUUAGAGACAAAUUCAUAUGCAAUACCAACGCUAAAUUUUGGUCAAAAACCUUGUUAAGUACUCAAAUUCAUUAGAUUUAUACUUCAUAUAUAAUAAACCAAAGCAAACAAAGGCACAUACCUGGAAGAUACUGGACAAAUAUGCUUUGGCCCUUGGGAUUGUAAGAAAUAUUGUGGAGAGGGUUUUAGCGUGUGAAGUUAUGUAGGUCUUUUUAUCUUUUACUCUUUUUGCUGCUGUUGAAGGUUGAAUACCAAUGAAAACUAUAAGGGUAAGCUAAAACUUUCAAAUGAAAAAAAAGAAAAGAAAAAAAGGGUAAGCUAAAACUAAUAUUAGUAUUCUAUAAAUAGAAUUUUGUAUUCUGCUUUUUUAUUGGUUAAAGAACUUUUGACUCUCAAAAUUUUAAUUUUAAUUUAUUUAUCCUCCAUCAUUUAAAGUCAUAAUUUUUAUGUAUACCCCCAAAUAAAAAGUCAAAGUUUUUCUCAAUUGUUCAUUCUUUAUCUUAUUUCCAAUGAGCGGGAGCAAUUUUUUUUGUAUCAUUGCAAAUCUUCUUUUAUUCUUUCAUAUAAAUCCCAGCACGAGCAGGAAACAAUCUAAACAGAUGGACCAAACAUUUUAGCUGUGGGUUAUAAUUAUCAUGUAUUUGUCAAGGGGGCGAAUGAUUUAUGUCCUCACAAAUCCAAAAAAAAAUAAUUGAAUUCCUUAACAUGGUGAUAUGAGAAACAAGACUAUUGACUUCAUGAAUUUGGAUUCAAUUGGCCUAAUUCGAAUUUGGAUCGUAAACAAAUUGGAUUGGAUUACGUUGGCCUAAAAUGCAAUAGUUAACACGUCAAUAGUUUUUUUAGUUUUUCAAAUACUCUUGAUCACAUGUUCUUCCGAUUGAUAAAGAUAUCAAAUUAUCAAAUAACAUAAAAAAGUUUGAUUUCCCUCAUCAUCAUAUCGAAAGAAUUAAGUGAAAUUACUAAUGUAAACGAAUUCAAUGUAACAUAAUGGAGUUGAAAUGUACAGCCGGAUAUAGAUAAUGUGAUCAACACUAAAAAAAUAUAGAUGUAGAUCAAUCUCAAAUAAUUUAAGGAAUUCAAUUAUUUAAGUACAAAUAAUAAAGAUUUGUCCGUUUCAACAGUAUUGAUUUCAUGAAUUUGGAGUCAAUUGGCCUAAUUCGAAUUUGGAUUGUAAACAAAUUGGAUUUGGAUUACAUUGGCCUAAAAUGCAAUACGAUAUCGAAUUUGAAUUUGAAUUAUCAUAUGUAACACAUCAAUGAUUUUUUUAGAUUUUCAAAUACUCUUGAUCACAUGUUCUUCCGAUUGAUCAACAUAUUUAAACUUGAUCAAGUUUAAAACAGACUCUCUCGUACUAUAAGACCAUCAAUUUUAGCUUGAUCAUUCCUUUUGUUUUAUCAUUGAAUAUGUAACAUAAUGGAGUUGAAACGUACACUCAGGUAUAGAUAAUAUGAUCAAUACUAAAAAACAUAGAUGCCUUUACCAAUCUCAAAUAAUUUAAGGAAUUCAAUUAUUUAAGUACAAAUGAGUAUGGACUUGUAACUGAAUCAAGAUGGUGCCUAACGAGUUGCUUGCACUGUUUACCAAGAUCCUUUAUAAAGCGAGUGUACGCCUACCUAAGAGCAGCAUGAAAACCAAUAUAUCCAUCCAUAUUUCCUGAUUUCCUCCCACCUAUACAGUGAACAAGCACCGCAAAGGUUUUAUUAUCAGAAUUGAAUACUACCAGCCCCAUAAAACUAUAGAUGUACAUCGUUAUUGUCAUAAGUUGGAGAUUACAUAAAAAAGAAAUCAGGGGGAAACGUAUAUUUGACAAUUACUAAUCUCAAAUGUGAUCAAGUUUCAAAGCCCUUUCUUUUAUUUUCUUUAAUUAAUUAAUUAAUUAAACAAAUCAGCAAUUAACUCCCGCUUGCCCAAAAAAAGUGGGGGAAAGCCCAAAUUAAUUAUUUGUUUGCCGCUCAAGCCUCUUUUUUAAUUUAGGUUUUUUGCUAACCUUAACAGUUAUCAGUUUUCAACAACAGCCACAAAAGAGAAAAAAAAUCUCCCAUACGUCUUCUCCCUAAACUCUAUUCUCCUCAGUAAUAUCAAGGAAGCCAUUGAGCCAUACAGGUAACCUACUACAUUUUUGCUAAUAUCCAUGUAUUGUUAUAGAUAUAGAAAACGUCAACUCAUGCUUCACGUCGUACCGGCUCAUGUAGAGGUUAUUAUAGAUCUUUAGCAUCUUUAAAGAUUGUUAUAGAUAUAGAGAAAUGGGAAUUGAUAUAGAAAAUUGGGUACUGGGUAUUAGCAUACCUUUAGCAAAUUGUUUGAACGGACAGCAAUUUCCUCUUUCGAAAGAGGAAAUUAUCUAUGGCAGCCUUUAGCAUACCAUUAGCAAAUUGUUUGAACGGACAACAAUUUCCUCUUUCAAAAGAGGAAAUUAUCUACGGCAGCCUUUAGCAUACCUUUAGCAAAUUGUCUUCCAGAAAGAUAGAAAUCAAUACCCAUGUAUGGUUAAAUUAUCAACGUCUAGGCAUGUAUUGUUAUAGAUAUACCAAUAUUGGAAUGCAUUAUUGUGAUAAGGAAUCAGGACCCAUGCUAAUACCCAUAGGGCAUGUUUGGGAAGCUUCACUGGACUGGACUGUGUUAAAUAACACUUGAAACUCAUGUUUGGUAAGGAAAGGGACUAACUUAAAUGAGAUUAUAUAGUCCAACAGUAAAAAAAAUUGCCUCACUCGCUCUUCCAAUUUAGCGAGCUUGAAACAUGGCUCGCAAAAUAGCGAGCUCGCAAAACAGAAUACUCGAGUCCAAGGCGAAACCAAUUUCUUCUUCUUCACCUAGACACGAGUCUGGGCAACGAACUCCGAGUCCUUCACUUCCGAGCUCAAGUUCAUCAAAAAGGCUUGAAACCCAGUAAUUGCCUUGAGAUCUUGCUGCUGCUGAUGGUCGUUGAAAUAGUCCGAGGUUUCGUCUUACAUGUGGGUUGGGGACGACGAGUCUUGGGGUCUCUGUUUGGAUAUAAUAAUAGAAGCCAUGAUUCAUUGAAUUGGUGCAAGGUCGAAGCAGCCAUGGCAGACACAAAGAAUGGAGAAGAUGAUGGCGAGGCAUGAGAUUUAGUUUGAAUUGUUCAUCAUAUGAACAAAUUGAGUAAAUGAAAAGUGAUUAGGAAGAAAAUUAGAGAAAGAAUUGAUGAAAUUUGUGAGAGAAUCACAACUGAAGAGUGUUUUGCAGGGAAGAAAAUUUGAGAAAAAGCUAAAAAGAGGGAGGAUCAAAAGUUAUGAGGUGUUCAAUGAGAAGUUUGAUUGGAAAGUUUGCACGGUUUUUUUUUAAUACAUAAAAACAUCCGAAGUUAAAUCUGUGAAGUUUGCAUAUCUUGUGCUGGGACUUCGGGUUUGUCAGCCUUUGAGAAAUAGAAGAAGAAGGGAACAAAAAACAAAAAAAACAAAAACGAAAACUCUGAUGAUUAGCACAUGCAGUUGAGAUCAAGCAAAAAUGCCAUAAUUUUUAUUUAAUAAAUUAUAUAUUUUUCAUUAUUUAUGAUAAUUUAGCCUAAAAAAAAAAUCAAGUUUUUAUUUGUUUUAAAUCUUUUUUUAGAACAUAAAUUAGCAAAAAUACACUUGAAAAAUAUGUAAAUAAUUAUUUUUUAGUCCGACAGAGCACCAAACGUAGGUCUUCACUAUUUGUACAAUCCAGCUUCAUAGUCCGAUGCAGCACCAAACGCAGGUCAGUAUUUAAUCCAGCUUAGUCCAAUCCAAGCUAAUCCAAGACAGUCCCAAGAUUUAGUCCAGUCCAUAACAGUCCGCCGUACCAAACGACCCCAUAAAGUUUGAUUUUAUGGCUGCUGUUUCAUGCAUAGGUAGCUGCAGCAGAGUGCAAGUGUUUUUGGUUUGGCAGCUUUUAAUUUGUUUCUGCAAGUGUUUGUGUGUGUGGAUUUGUUUGUUUUGGUUUGGAGGGUUACAUAUAAACAAAUUUGUCGUUAAACUCGAAAUAAGGUCAUAUUCGUCAUCAUCAUUAUGUCUCAAAUGUUGUAGAUAUAAAAAAGAGCUAUAUGCCCAAUAAUACAAAGCAGCAGAUAUACACGUACACACCUUUUCUUUAUCAAAUGAUAUGGGUUCUUUUGAUUUAUGUUUGUUUUUAAUUAUGACAAAUCAAACAUGCCAUGACAUGGGUUCUUUAUGUUUGAUUUAUGUUUCUUUAUUAAGAUACUAUUUUUUAUUUAUGUUUGUUUUUAAUUAUGACAUGGGUUCUUUUGUGAUUAUAAAUGGCAGCCAUGGCAAAAAAGAAAAAGAGCAAUAAUAGAGCAUCACAUGAUCGCGAAAUGCAAGAGACAAAUCAAACAUGUAUGAGUUAUUUGCGUGUUAUUAUCGAUUAAAUUCUUGUUUCUAUUAUUAUUUUUAGUUGUAUUUCGAUUAUGUGAGUUUUUAAUUUUUUUAAUUAUGUUUUGUGUUUGUAUUUCUCUUACAAAUGAUAGCCGUGGCAAGAAAGGGAAAGAGUCAAGAUAGAGCAUCAGGCACUGCACAUCCUCAGUUAUCUAGACUCUCAUUCGAUCGCCAUAUUCCCAAUGAGUCAUCACAUGAUAACGAAAUGCAAGAAACAUGUAUGAUUUAUUUUGAAUUUUUUUUGUAUAUAUGUAUUUCAAUUAUAUGAUUAGUUCUCAAUUAAUUUCUAAUUUUUUUCUCUAUUAUAAAUUGUAGUCAGGGCAAGAAAGCGAAAGAAUCAGAAUAGAGCAUCUGACAUUACACAUCCUCAGUCAUCUAGACCUUCCUUAGACCAACAUGAUGACCUCAUUGAGCCAUCACAUGAUAAUGAAAUGGAAGACAUGCCUCUUGAAACUGAACCAUCAAAUAGAGAAGGUAAUUUUUUAUACAUAUUUCAUUGAUUCGCACUGAAAAAUUGGUUGUAGUAGAAGUUCCCCAGUACUUCAAAUAUUUGUAUUUUUUUUUUAUUAGGCUCAACUAUUGGAAUAAAAAAAGGUAGAGGGAAGGCUAAGGGUAAAGAUGGAAACGGCACUCCAAUUCUAAUACGUAGAGGAAGAUAAUAUAUAAGGCCUGCAAAGUUAGUCAUUUCUUGUGUAGAUUUAUUUUUAUUUAUUUAUUUAAAUUUGGUUUAAAUUUUCAAGAUAUAACCACUGGAGCUGUGCAAACUAUAAUAGUACUUUUUUAUCAGGCUAUCAAUGAAGCAUGGCCAACAUUUAAAACAUUUCCAUCAACUCAAAUGGAUUUACUGUAUAAUCGCUUUAACGCAACAGGAUACACAUACACAUGCUCAGAGGAAGAGAUGAGGAAGGCAUUCGAACAACAUAUUAAAUUGCGAUAUUCUUAUUGGAUGUCCGCAUUGAGAAAUAGCGUUUUUAAGAAAUACAAGACUGCUGGUGAUAGAUACACUCAUUGCCCAUUAGGGAUAUUUUAAGAUGUUUGGUCUAAACUGGUUGAUCAUUGGUUGCAGCCUACAUGGCAGGUAAAAACUCAAUUUAAAAUAAUAUUGUUAUGACUGGCUAGUGUAUGCUUUAGUUUAUUUAUAAAUGCCUUAUAUGGGUUCACUAAAUUGAUAUUCGAUUAUGAUUUACUUUUUUCAUGCAGGAUAAAAGUAAAAGGAACAAGUCUAAUAGGGCGAAAUCCACAAUUGUGCAUACCACAAGUUCUGUUCCAAUGGAAAAGUACAGAAAAGAUGAGAUAAAAAUAUCUAUUUGGUUGUUGCUUUUUGUUGACUGUUCCUUUUGUGGUUAUUUCCAAAAUUGGUCCUAACAAACUUCAUUGUUUAAAUCUUAAUAGCUUGAUCGAACUGGAAUUGAAUCGAGUCCAAUUGAUUGUUUCAAAAAUUUCCAUGUAAGUAAGCCUAAGAACGGAGGAGAAGAAAGUUGGGCAAGUGAAAAGGCUAAAGAACUUUUUGUACGUUGCCCUUACUUUGUUUCUCCUUUUUUUUAAAAAUAAAAUUUUAUUCACAUGACAUUUUUUUAUAUCCAUGUUUAUAUUUCUACUAUUUCAUUGAAGGAAAAAAUGGAGAAUAAAAAGGUUGCUGCAAUGGAAGACGAGAAUGAAGUAGAUGAUUGGGAUAUAUGCAAGGAGGUUAUUGGUAGGCCAAGUCACGGUCGUAUCCUUGACCUAGGUGAUGGCUAUAGUACAAAAGAUGUGUAUCCCUCAAAUGACCAAGGUUGUAAUAAACGUAUAUGCUUAAAACGUGAAGAAAAGCAUGAGAAAUUAAAGGAGGAAGUGAAGGACUUGAAAAGUGUGCUGUAUGAAUUGAACGAUCUAGUUCAAAAUAUAAGGGAAAACAACUCAAAUACUUAUGCACGCUCAAGACAAUCUGCUCCAAUAGUGAACUCUUUUCUUCUCAUUUCAAUAUUUUGCUCAUUGUUAAAUAUUGUAUUUGUUAUUUUUAUUCUUAAACGAUUUAUGUCUUAUUAAUUAUUAUCUUUUAUUUGACAGAACAAUGUAGAAAGUUGUUCAAAUGCUCACCUCGAAGACGAGUAGUGCAACAUCAAUUGUAUUUUGCUACAAUAUGUAUUUUGAAUUUCAAGGUUCUGAUAUAUUUGCGGAAUGCUUAUAUGUUUUAAGUAUGAUGGGGAUUGUUUAUGUUUUAACUAUUUAGAAUAAUUUUAAUUGAACGCUUAAAAUUUUAGUACAGUAUGGUGUCGUAUGAUUUUUUUUUUUAUAUUACAAAUUAAAAACGGAUGAUUAGAAAACUAUUUAUAGCAAAUAUUAUAAUUUAAAUUUCUUUUUAUUAAUUUUUUUUAUAAAAUAAUUACAUUUUUCGACCGCAUUUCUCUCUCGGUAAUGCAUAUUUCCAACAAAAACUUUAUCAUUGGAAAUACUUUCCGACAAUAAUUGCCUGUUAACGACAACAUUCCCCACGACAUAAUCGGGUCGAAACAAUUAUAUUUUCAACCACUUCUUCGUCGAAAAUAUUUUCCGACAGGAUUAAUCUAUUUGCGACAAACUUUGCGACAAAUAAAUGUGGUUGGAAAUAUAUAUUUCCGAGGUAACUUGCUCAUCGAAAAUAUUUUGUUAUACUCUUUUUCGACAAGCUAUUAUAUAUUUUCCACAAACUCUUUUGGUCGGUAAUGAUAAUUGCGACGAAAUCUAGCCCUCACAAAUAAUAUAUCAUUGUCGGAAAACAUAUUUCUGAUGACACUCAUUGGUUGAAAAUAUGAAUUCGCAAAAACAAGAAAUCACGAUAAAAGAACUAUUUUCGACAAUCAAAUAAGUAAUUACAACCACAAAUACGGUCAGAAAUAAAUAUGUUGGAUCGUUUAAAAAAUCCAUUUCCGAUAGAAAUUUAAGCAAUAGCUACGAAGCAUGGGCGUCGGAAAUACAUUAUUUCUGACGGAAUGAUCGGAAAUGAAGUAUUUGCAACCGGUCUUUUAGCGACGACUUCCGACGGACUUUUGCCAUCGAAAAAGGGUAUUUGCGAUGGCAAAAGGCUUUUUGCAACGACAAAAUGCCCUUGCAAAAGAGCUUCUCUUUUGUAUUGUCUCCCGACGACCGGUGAAUCUACAUUUACUGAGUAUUACUGGGAAUGGCUUGAAGAUGUGCUGAGUAGAAAUACCCAGGUUCUUAAGAGUGCCCCUUCUAUAUAAUGCAGUGUUUGCCUCGUUAUUUAGCUAUGAUCGACAGGCUCCAAUCAUCCAAGCCUUUUGCGAGUACUGGUGUCCUGCAACAAAUACUUUUCAUACGUCGCAAUGAGAAAUGUCUAUCUCCCUUUGGGAUCUUCAUGAAAUCGGCGGUCUCCCCAUUAUAGGUCAAUUUUAUGAUGAGGUCAUUCCAACCAUUGAGAGUCUCAACAGGAAAGACCAUAAAGACGUGUCUUAUAUCCCCCACGUUUGUCACUACUUGUUCUUAGCAUACCACAAAAUUUUAUGGGACUCUAAAAGAAAAUCUGGAGUGAGAAUGACUUCUUGGAUAAAGAACUGGUAUCGAGGGCCAUUUAAGUACCAAAAUUCUUCGAGGAAAACCAUACGGAACAAGUCACAAAAGCCAAAGGAAGACUUUGAUUUGUCUAGUACCAUUUCAGUGGCCCUGAAACGCGCUGAGGAAGAGGAAGGGGUUUUGAAGAUUUGGGUAUAACUGAUGAAGAAAAGAUCAUACUUGACUGCUUUCCUUGCUUGCUGGUUAUGCAAAUUUGUAUUUCCCAAAGACGACGUCACUUUGACCAGACCAGGUGUUUUCAAAGUUGCUGGUUGAAUGGCACACUGUGUAUCAUUUGGCCUAGCAAUUCCAGUAUUGGCUAGUAUUUACAAAUGGUUGAACGAUAUUUCUAGCACAGAUGAUCCAGGAAAUUGCACAACUGUUCUUCCUUUCCAUUAUGUGUAUGGGUGGUUGGGCUAAUAUUUCGACACACACUUUGCAUCAUCUUCCGAGAAGUCUAUUCCUAUCAUGACAAGGUUCUCAAGAAAACUUUCGGCGAAAUUUUUUGAAGAUUCAACAACUCGAGCUUUGUUUCGGACUUGUGGUAAAGUGGAAAUGAGCCAUCUAGCAAGAGUGUUUUCAGAGUGCAAACGACUGACUGAUGAAGAUCAUAUUUCUAAAGAAGACUAUGUGUAUUUGAUAUGCCUUCAUUCAGGAUACGUUUCUCUACGACAGGAAAACUACCGAGUCAUCUAACCUUAUAGCCCACACCGGUUCAGUAGACAGUUCUACUAUGUAUAACAUGUGCCAGGAGAACUUAAAGAUGACAUUCGGAAUGGGACUGUACUAUCAGUGUAUUCACAUUGGAAGUCAUGCUUAAAUGUUGGCAGUGCAUCUACAAUAACCCUACCCACUAAGGACAAAUAUCCGGGAAUUUGAGGUCACAUCCUAUUAUGUUGUUUGGUGGUCAAAAGUGCAUCGCUUUGAGUCAACGAAGUCAAAGACAGUCUCAACUGUAGGCAAGUCGUCGUCGCCAUCUCAGCUAAAAUAUUUUAAGUCUCAAGGCAACAAAACUUUGGUUCAUGAUAAACUCAUACGUGAUAGAGCACACAGAGUUCAUCCAGAAGUUGAAGGUAGUUCUACUACUCCCACGCCUCGAGUUCAACAUCCAUCUCCAGUUGAUGUUCCUUCAAUUCGGGUCCCUAAUGAUAAAGGCGAAACAGAAAGUGUAGCAGAUUCUUAGGAAGAUUUCAUUCCCCUCGGUCGACGAAUUCGCAAUUUGAAGCGAGGUUAUAUAAGCAGCAAUGAAGACAGUGAAGUCAACUUUAUGCAUAAGAAGACAAGUGUUGAACCUCUCUAUUGUGAUCUGGACAUGGCAUACCCAAUUGAUGACACAUUUUUUUUGUGAUGUGCCCGCUGUUUCACAAUCAGUUCUAAUGAACGAGGUACGUAUUUUGUUUCGCUUUGAGCCUCCUUAUUAUUAUUAUUAUUAUUAUAUUAUAUAUAUAUAUAAAUUAAUUAAUUAAUUAUAUAUAUUUUAGGGAGAAGUAGUACAUCAUGUUCCUACUGUGUCCAAGCUUGUGUCAUUUAACCGUUUGCUUAUCGAAGGGGAAAAUGAUACUUUGCACCCGAUAAGUGGUUCAGUGUUAGCCUAAAAUGUAUGAUUCAAAUCUUUAUUGCGUUCUGUGUUUAGAAAUCUUUGAGUAUACUUGCUUAACUAUUAUUCGUCGGUCAAUGUAGGUUCGCUUGCGCAGCAACAUUUAUUAAAGCUGGCUAAUCAUGCAUCAACCUCUGAAAUGUCAUGUGGGGAACCUAAAUUAGGUGUUGCAGACAAAACCCUUCGCAAAGUAGUUUCCAUUUUAGGAAACCAAAUAAAAAAAUCUUGAAUGCUUCAUUAGAAAGGCAUCCUUCAUUCAAAGAUGAACUUGGCAAGUUGUUGACUACCCUUGACAAUGUGGGGGCAGACGUCUCAUCUUUACGAGCUAUGAUCGAUGCACUUAAGGUGACCGUAGUUGACUAUUAUUUUGCACACUCUACUUACUCCCAAAAGCUGUCUCUCAAGGCUCAAAGUGAUCGUUUAGCUGUUGUUGACUCUUCACUUUCUAUUGUCUUGGCUCUGCAACAAGUUGAAGAGGUUAAUCAAUUUUCCAUACUGUUUACUAAAUCUGCCAACAAGCGUAUGGAAGAGUUGAAGAAAGAACAAGAACAAUUGGAGUUAAGACUGUGUCAACUAAACGAAUCACUUUCUGAGAGUAAUGCACAGCUUUCUUUUCAUCAUGGUGAGGUUACCCGCUUGAGAUUGCAGUCGAAGGAGCUCCCGUAUUAUUCGCUGCGGAUGCUGAGACUUUAGAUGCAUUACGAGUUUCAUUUGAGAGAUUGCGUAACAGCUUCAAGGACUUGUACUGGGAAUAGCAAAUUUUUGUUGUUGUUGUAAACUUUCUUUGCUUCAUUUAUAUUUCUCUUCGAACUUGUCAAAGUGUUGAUGUUUGAUAGUUAACUUUCAUAAUGAAAUAAAAGCAUUUUCUUAUUUCAUUAUUUCUUUCGAAUGGUUCGGAUUGAUGAGGAAACCCUUUUAUUUUUAUUUUGAUGUGACUGAACUUGGAAUUAUUUGUCCAAGCUGCCUAUGUACCCUUGAUGAAAAGGGAUCAAAUCAUCAUGUAGUUCAAGGGAAUUUUUUUUGUGUGUCCUAACUUUUGCUUGGGAUGCCCUUUCGGGUUUUCAGCUCAACGAACUUUCUUAUGCUCUAACUUUUGCUUGGAUCGCCCUUUCGGGUUUUCAAUCCAACGAGUCACUUUUUUUUUUUGUUUUUUUUGGUGCCGUACGCAGUUUAGGCUUACGUGGGCCAGGAUCUUGUAGUGACUUCAUGCAUAGUGUCGUUUCAAGAACUUUCUGUUGAUAGGGCCGACUCUUAAACUAUCCUCGGCUAUGAUCUUGUAAGCGCCAUUUGUGUAUACUUCUUGUACUACGUAGGGCCCAUCCCAUUUUGAAAUAAACUUGCUUAUGGUAUUGUGUGUUGUGAUGAUAGGUCUAUGUAAUGCUAGGACGAGAUCGCCUACCUGAAAAGAUCUGGGGCGGACUUUCUUAUUAAAAGCAUUCGAAAACUGAGCUUGAUAACACUCUAAUCGUUGUUACGCUUUGAGUCUCUUUUCGUCUAGUGCUUCUAAUUCUUGGAUAUGCAACUUCGCAUUCUCUUCAUCAGUCAAUCUCUCUUGUACGGCCAUCCUUAAUUAUGGGAUUUGACUUUUUAGAAACAAGACUGCUUCCACGCCAUAUACAAGCGAGUACGGUGUAGACUGAGUAAGCGUCUGGUAUGUCGUCUGAUAAGCCCAUAAUGCUUCAUCUAUCCUUUCAUGCCAAUCUCUCUUAGUUCUCCCAACAACUUUCUUCAACAGAUUACAAAGAGUUUUGUUGAACGCUUCUGCAAGACCGUUGGCUAGAGCAUUGUACAUUGAAGAGUUGCGUUGCUUGAAACCAAAAUCUUCACAGAAUUUAUCCAUUAACCGGUUCGAGAAUGGCUUUCCAUUAUCUGUGAUGAUGUAACGUGGUACACCAUACCGAUGAAUGAUGUUUACUUUGAUAAAGCUCACUACAUUUUCUUUCUUCUCUUCCUUUACAGGUACAGCUUCUGCCCAUUUUAAAAAGUAGUAUGUGGAUGCAAGGAUGUAAAAAUGAUCGUCGGAAGAUUUGGGUGCAAUCGGUCCUACCACAUCAAGACCCCACACAUCAAAUGGACAUGAAGUAAUUGUAGGAUGUAGCGGCUCCAGCGGCUGGUGUAUAAAGUUAGCAUGAAAUUGAUAUGCCUGACAUUUCUUCACAUAAUCCAUGCAAUCCUUGACUAUAGUCGGCCAAUAGUAGCCCAUCCUCUUUAUUUGGAAAUAUAGCUUUGGCCCUGAUUGAUGAGCUCCACAAAUACCUGAGUGAGCCUCCUCUAUCGCUUUGGAUGCAUCUUCUUCAGCCAAGCAUCUUAGAAACACGUCUUCGAAUGAACGACGGUAAAGAAUUUCUUUGUAUAAAAUGAAUCAAGGUGCCCGACGUCGUACCUCUAAUCGAUGUCUCGAAUCAUCUGGUAGUUUCCCAUGCUUAAGAUAAUCAAUUAAAGGUUGUCUCCAAUUGUCAAUGUCAAUUGACAAUACUGAGAUAACGUUGACUCCUUCUUGCGAUGCCCCGAGUGUUAAUGAAACGACCCAACGUUGGCAAACUGGAAGAUUCACCACUACAUCUUUUGUCAACACCAACGUAGUGGCAAGAUUGGCCAAGGUAUCUGCUAUAUGGUUAUCUUUUCUUGGCAUAUGUUCCAGCGUCACGAAGUCAAACUUUUCAAGUAACUGCGUGCUCAUUUGGUGGUAUCGAAUCAGAUCAUCCUUCCUAACCUCGUAAUGGGUCAACAGCUGGUUGAUCACUAACAUAAAGUCACCAUACACUUCUAAGCUUGAUAUCUUCAUCUUCACAGUCAUUUGUAAGCCCAUGAUUAAAGAACAUCAUCCAAGCAUAAGAAACAUCAGCGAAGAAGACUUGUUCGUUGGGUAAGUCAUCUGAAAUUUCCUAGUCUGCUGGAAUUGGAUGAUCGGCUAGGAAGUCUGCAACAGCUUGACCGUUAACCGCUUUUACUGGAGUGUAGAUGAUUUCAUAUUGAUUGAGAAGUAACGCCCACUUGGCCAAACGCCCCGUCAAGACUGGUUUUGUCAUAAUGUACCUCACCGGGUCAGCUCGUGCAAUUAGAUGAAUUGUGAAGUGCCUUAACUUUUGAAUAGCAAAAAUAAGUGCAAGACACGUCUUUUCUAUAGGCGUAUAGUUUAGUUCGAGACCAAUAACAGUUCGGCUUACACUACUACAAAAAAGCAAAAAGACGACGGUAAAUCACCGUCGUGUAUUGGGUUUUUCAAUGGUCGUGGAAUCCACCGUCAUCUUUUCCCUCAUAAACCACGACGCUAAAUAACCGUCGUUGUUAAAAUAUACAACGUCAUCAACAAAUACAAAACGACGUCUUUGUACUGCAAAAAGAUCUAAAAAAAGCAAUCGAGGAUGAUAAUAGACGACCAACUCUCUAAAAAAACGGUCGUUAAAAAGGAAAAAUAUGACACAGAACAAGGCCGCAAGAUAGACAUACAACGACGAAAAUACAAAUACGACGACGUUAAAUAUAAUUUUCACGACAAUAAAAAAUAUGACGUCUUUAAAUACAUUAGAAGACGACGUUAUUGAUACCUACUACGUCGCAUAUAUAAAAACAACCGUCGUAAAAUUAAUUUUCCACUUCGAUUUUUUGAUAAAAGAUGACGUGGAAAUAGUUGUUAGUGUCAUUAUUUACGACGUAUAUGUUUAUAGAGUAGACGUUGAAAAACUAAACAACGUCGGUUACAAAUAUAUGAGAGUCGUAUUACAAAAUUUAUACGUCCUAUUUUCAGAAACAAACAACGACGAUAAAUAUUAGACGUUGUUAAAUAAAACAACGUCGGAAAAAAAUAAAAACAGACGUGUUUAGUUUGCUAAAGUUCUAGAAAAUAGUCGAGGAUGAGAAUAGACGACCAACUCAAAAAAAUCACCGUCGUUAAAAAGGAAAAAUAUGACACAUAUUAAAAGAACAAGGCCGCAAGAUAUAUAUACAACGACGACAACUAAAAUACUACGCCGUUAAAUAUAAUUUACACGACAAGAAAAAAUAUGACGUCUUUAAAUACAUGAGAAGACGACGUUAUUGAAAUCUACUACGUCUCUUAUUUACAAAAAACCGUCGUGAAAUAAAUUUUCCACUUCGAUUUUUCUAAAAAAUAUGACGUGGAAAUAGUUGUCAGUGUCAUUAUUUACGACGUAUACAUUUAUAUAGUCGACGUUGUAUUUAUAUGUAUUCAUUACUCACGACGCACUUAAUAAUAUAGACGACGUUGAACUUCUAAACAACGUCGGUUCCAAAUAAAUGAGAGCCGUAUUACAAAUAACGUCGUUUAAUUGUUAUUAGACGGCGGUUAUAAUGAAUUUCCGUCGGAAUUCAUUUCGUUCCUCUUCGUUUAUAAAAGAACUUGCGACGUGAAAAAUGUAUGAUGACGUCGUAUUUUUUAACGUUCAGAUUAUAUAUCUCGUUUUUUAGACGUCGGUAUUAUGGGAUUGGAGUCGUGUUAUUCUGAAUUACAUGGCGGUUCUUAAUCCUUCACCGACGUGAUAUCCUGAAUAAUUGCUUCACAAUAGCGUCGUGGUUCUUCAUUGUUACGUUGCUUUAAGACGUCGGUAAAUAUGCUGAAUAACUGAUUCACAAUAACGUCGUGUUUUAUUUGAACGUAGAAAGUGAAGAAAUCGCAUUACAAUAUAUUACAAAAUUAAUGUCAUACACUGCCAAUUACAUAAGCAUCAUUCAAUCCAUAUAUCUUCACACCCAUCUCGAAUAUUUUGACCGCCUAACUCACCUACCAGUUCAUCAAAUGUGUCAAUAUUUGGCAUCCCUCUAGUAAAUGGCUCACACUCAAUUAUCACAUCACCUAAGACUUCAUCACCAAUAACAUCAUUAUAUUCUCUAUUAGGCAUUGAUAACACUACCGACCAACCACGAUGCAUCGGGUCGUCAACAAAAAAUAUUUGUUUGACUUGAGAAGCCAAAACAAAUUGGUCAUUCCUAUGUCCAAUUUUACUCAAAUCUACAAGGGUAAAUCCAAGUUCGUCGACUACAAGACCAGAACUAUCUAUCCAAUCACACCUAAAGACUGGGAUUGUAAACUUUUGGUAGUCAAGGUCCCAAAUUUCUUGAAUGACACCAUAGAAACCCAUAUUUGAGAGAAUUGGGUUUUUAUCCUUGGCACUAGCAACUUGCAUGGUAUGUGCAAGUAAAUAAACUCCACUAUUUUGAGUUGUCCGCACAUCAUCUUGUGCCUUGAUAUUGAAUUUAAUACCUUUAAUAAGAUAGCUCCUAUAUAAUGGCACUGACAUGUUUGGACCAGCUGCUAGCCACCUUAAAUUUUCUGAUACGCCAUGAUUGUCUUCCUCAAGUUCACUUUGAACCUGCAAAUUAAUCAUAUCUUAAUUCAAUCUAACAUAUAAAUAAGAAGAAAAUUAAAAGAGAAAUAUGUUAUUCAACAACAUAUACCUUGAAGCGUAGCCAUUGAAUGAAAGUGCUAUUGUGCUUAUCCUGCAGCCACUUUGUUCUCUUUCUAAAUUUUGGAUAAGCAGUCUUGAUGUGAAUCAUAUGUUGCCUACAUGACACGAAAAAUUCAAGCAUUACGGUCCUAAAUAUAGAAGAUAAACAUAAGAAAUAAUUUAAAAUGGAAACUUAAAGAAUAAAGCUCAUACGUACUCGAUAUAAGGUAGGACUUCCUCCGUAUUCUCCAAGACAUAUAGAUGUGCUUGAUUCAACAGGUCCUGAUCAACUACGCUCACUGUGCAACCUGAUAAUGGCUUUGAAAGUCCCAUCUUUUGGCUUGAAGGCACUCCAACUGUACUAACAUCAGAUAAAUGCUGAGUACAACACUAUUUUCCGUCGUUGUACAUUAAUUUAAUACGGCGACAUUUUGUAUUUUAAAGCCGUGGAUUUGUUUGUAAUUAUACGGCGUCUUAUACGAAAAUUUCGUCGUGUUAUUUUAUGAGUAAAAACGGCGGCUUUUAUUGAAAUCGUCGUCUUUACUUUCUACGUUAAAUUUUAUAGUACGAUUUAAAGAUAACGUCGUAGAACUAUACGAGAAUGACGUCGAUAUAUUUAUAUUUUCCGUCGUUGUACAUUAAUUUAAUACGGCGACAUUUUGUAUUUUAAAGCCGUGGAUUUGUUUGUAAUUAUACGGCGUCUUAUACGAAAAUUUCGUCGUGUUAUUUUAUGAGUAAAAACGGCGGCUUUUAUUGAAAUCGUCGUCUUUACUUUCUACGUCGGUCGAUUCAUAACUUCUGCCGUUCUUUGUUGGCUUUGAUUUUACACUGCGGAAAAUCUGUUUCAAAUAAACGUCAGUUUUUUAAUUAGGUACGUCGUUAUUUUUGAACAGCCAUUUGAAUCUCCAUUUUUAGUUGUCUAAGGUGGUAUUACACGACGGUGUUUUUAGAACCGUCGUCUUUUUAAAAACCACGACGGUUUUCACUUAGACCGUCGUUGUUUUCUUGUCGUCUUUUUCACUUUUUGUAGUAGUGUUAGAUAGUAGAGUGCUUGCUCUUUAUGUGACUCAUUCUCUUGUGUCAAUAGGGCUCAAAUUGAUCUCUCUUGAGCCUCAAUGUACAAUAUGAGUGGUCUGCCAGGAAUAAGAGUUCCUAAUAGUGGUGAACUCGAUAAGUACUUCUUUAUGCUCUCAAAGGCAUUAUGACAAGCCUUAUCCCAAAUGAAUGGGACAUUCUUUUUCAUAAGACGACUGAAUGGCUGACACUGUCCUGCUAAAUUUGAGAUGAAUCCGCGAAUAAAAGUGAGACGUCCUUGUAAACUUUUCAACUCGCGUAAAUUUCUUGGCUCGGGCAUAUCUCCGAUGGCUUUAAUCUUAGACUGAUCUACUUCAAUGCCUCGAUGCUUAACAAUGAAACCAAAAAAUUUACCUGACGUGACAUCGAAAGCACACCUCAAAGGGUUCAUCUUGAGUUGAUAUUUCCGCAAUAUAUUGAACACCAUUCUCAAGUCUUUCAAGUGAUCUUCUAUUCUUUAUGACUUGAUCACCAAGUCAUCAAUGUAGCACUCGACAUUCUUAUGAAACAUGUUGCCAAAGAUCUUUUGCAUUGCACGUUGAUAGAUCGCACCUACAUUCUUAAGGCCAAAUGGCAUCACCUUGUAACCGUAAAUGCCUUUCGGAGUGCGGAAAACUGUAGUUCUUCAUUCUCUGGCCACAUUCUUAUUUGAUUGUAUCCAGAUGAACCAUUCAUGAAAGAUAAGGCUUCAUGACCUGUGGUUGCAUCGACCAUGAGCUCAAUUAUUGGUAAUGGAAAGUCAUCCUUCGGGCAAGCCUCGUUCAAGUCUCGAAGUCAACACAAAUACGAAUUUAUCCUGUGAUAUUCUUCUUCACCGGGACAAUGUUCGCUAUCCACGUUGGGUAUUUCACUUUCCUCAUAAAUCCGGCGGCAAUCAACUUGUCAACUUUAGCUUCAAUUUGACCUAAAAGCUCCAGGCAGAAGCGAUGUUGAGUUUGUUUGAUUGGACGCGUUCUAGGCUUGACUGCAAGGUGAUGGACAACAACUUUUGGAUCAAGACUUGACAUCUCCUUAUACGUCCAAGCAAAGACAUCUUUAUACUCAAGUAACAGUUGAUGAUAUGAUUCCUCUUCGCUAGAAUUCAAAAAGGCACUAACGAAGAUAGGUCUUGGGUCUUCAUUUAUGCCCAAGUUAAGUUAUUUUAAUUCAUCUACAGUCGCUUGCCCCCCUCUUCUAGUGCGGCAAGGGCAUCAUGAACCUCAUCCUCGAAAGGUUCCUCUUCAUCGAGCACUUUAAUUGUAACGUGAUGAACAGCUAGGACCUCUGCUUCUUCAUUGUCACUUUUGUUUUGCUGACUCAAAAUUUUCUGAGUAUAUAUGAUUGUUCGUCAUUUUAGUUUGAGUUAGUCACCUGAAGUUACGUCUAAUGUUGAGUGACGUUUCAUACGAGACGAGAUUAGGCUCUGAACUUCAUUAUCUUCUGCUGAAUCGACAUGAACUCUACUUUUCAACUCUCGUUGGUUUUUCUCUUCAGAUGGCUUGCUUGGUACUCCGAGUCUUUCUAGCACCAAUCUACGUGGAGCUGAUCGAAUUCCCCUUUGACUCUUAUAUCCAUAUAUCCUUUUGAACAUAGAGGGUCGUGAUAUUGAUUCUUUGAUGCGGCUAAAAACUGAGGUCCGUUGGGUAGGCUUGGCUAAACGGUUAAACACUAAGGCUCUCUUAAUAGCCUUUGGUUCUUCUUCCUCCUCAACCAAUUCGACACUAAUGUGUUGAGUAUCUGCCUUCUUUUCUUUUCUUCUAGCAGAGAUUUUCAUAGGUGCGACAUGAGUAAAACCAAGGCCUGCUCUAGUUGAGUCGAUUGUGUAACCUUGCUCUUUCAACUUCUUUUGGAUUUCGCUAAGGCCAUGUGUCCUUUCUCCGGUGACGUCUGGAUUAAGCUCCCCAGCGAAGGAGAUAAGCCGAAGUCAUAACCUGCCUUUGACAUGAGCUUAUAAGCAUUAUGAUCAAAACCUUCUUUAGUUCUUUUGACCAGAAGAGAUUCUUGUCUUGUUGCGUCUUGUGAUGGUUUGACGAACCCUGGUACCGAAGAUUUCGAAAUGUCUGAAUUGCUCAACUUGGGCAAAUGCAUGGUUGUUGUCUCUUUCAAGAACUUCAUGUCACUUUCUUCUAACUUCCUUGGUUUUACUUUUUUUCCAAAUGGGGAUUACCCUUCCUUUCGUUGGGAUGAUGAGACAUAACGAAGAACAUGAAUAGAUACCUUCUGUGAAUCUAUCAGUAAUGAUCCCAUUUGUCCAACCAAAGUACUUUUUGACUUCUUAUCAUCAUUCUCUUUAGUGGAAAGGCAUUUUGAAUGCUCAUCUCUUUUUGGUAUGGCCUUGCCUGUCGAGUGAACCUCAACGAGAAUAACUUUAGACACCAUGUUUUCAUCCAUGUAAAACUUGGCAUCGGCGAAAUAAGACUCGACUUCAGUAAAUGGUUUGACGUCAUCCAAGAUUUUCUUCACUCCGCCUCUGUAGAAUUUGAAACACUGUUGUAAAGUUGAAGGCACUAUUCCAUUUUCAUGUACCCAUGGCCUUCCUAAGAGAAUAUUAUAAGAAGUCUUGGUAUCAAUCAUGUGAAAUAAGGUGUUUGACCUUAAAUCACCUAUCAUGAGCUCAAUUCUGAUCAGGCCCAUAACUCUUUCCCUUCCUUGAUUGAAGCCUUGAAUCACGAGAUGACUUCGAGACAAUUCGUCCAUGGUGAUGCCUAACUUUAUCAUUGUGGACUUAGGCAUGAUGUUUACUGCCGAACCUCCAUCCACGAGCAUGCGACUAAGUUUCUGUUCUUGCACAUACCGUGACACGAAAUGCGGACGGUUAUGUGGUUUGGACCCUAACAAGAGAUCUUCAUCGGUGAAUGUGAUGGAAGUACAUGUCAUACAACAAAUAGCACGAUCUUGAGACUCAGGCUCUAAUUUUUUGGCCUCUCCUAUUUUAUUUGGAUGAAUAUUGAGAUCCAUCAGCGCCUUGACCAAUUCUAUGCGUAUUGCUUCAGGAAGUUCCACCGACUCCUCAAUAUUAAAGUGCGAUGGUGAAUCAUCUGCCUGUGCUGAGACCUUUUGCUCAUCAUGAGUUUUAGAUUCUACUUUCGAGGCAUCUUCAUUAUCUACUUGAUAGUAAGUUGUCAUAUGAACUGUCUCCGUCGGCCCUCUUACGAAGAACACUUUAGGAAAGUAUUCUCCUAGCAUAAUGGGAAUUCGUGGUCCUUGGGUUAGUGGUCCACUUUCUUAGUCAAAGUUUCUAGUCACCAUUAUUCUGGUUUUGCUUUUAGAGCAUUGGUGCGAGGUUCUCUUUCGUCACUCCUUCUUUGAUUGAGCAUUUUGUCAUUGAGGAAUGCGCUUCGUACGAGACUUCCCCCGAGUAACGAGUGUCCAUCCUUCAUUAUCACCGAAGUGUCUAUCACUACCUCGAUUGUUCGGUUCGCCUGCCACUUCUUUUGUACGCAAAUCAGUCACCUGAUGUAUGCUCCUUGUUGAUUGAAACUCUGAUCUUUUCGACAAUGCGGGCACGGGUACCGGAUCAAAGGAUCCAAACACAAUUGUGGCAACGUUCGCAUCUGCGAUUUCGUCAACGUCCAACUCAAUCCUUCCUUGCCUAGCUAAGUUCAUAAUUAGCUCAUUCAACACGAAGCACUUCUCUGCUGGAUGGCUGACAAUUCAAUGGUAUUUGGAAAACUUAGGGUCGUUAACCCGGUUCAUCUCCUCAGGCCGCUUACAUUCUGGCAAUUUGAUCACCUUUUCUUUCAAGCAAGUCCUUGAGCAUACUUGCGACAUCGGAGUCAGGGAAAAUGUGUGUUUUUUCCUCCAAAUCCUUCAAGGUGCGUCGACGUCUGGCUCCAUACUUUUGACUUCUCUCUUCUUAUCUCGGGUGGAGAUUUUGAUAGGGACAGUGUUGAUUUUCAUUGCUUCCUUGGUAGGCUUCUUGAUAGGCUUAUCUGUCUUUUGUCCAAAGACUUACUCCUUCUUAUGCUCCAUGACGGGCUCAUGCUUUCCUCCGUGGCUAGCUAUACUUAACUCCAUAUCAUAGGCAUGAGCGGCUAGCUCCUCAAAUGUGCAGGGUUUAAUCCCUUGUAGAAUGUAGAGUAACCCCCAAUGCAUCCCUUGAAUGCACAUCUCAACUGCUAAUAUCUUCAAAAGCCUAUCGUUGCAAUCCAGGCUUAACAAGCACCACCGAUUAAUGUAAUCGACGACAGGUUCAUCUUUCCAUUGCUUGGUAUUUGUGAGUUCCAUCAUACUCACAGUGCGACGAGUGCUAUAGAAUCUGUUCAAGAAUUCUCGCUCCAUUUGAUCCCAAUUGUCGAGGGAUUCAGACUCCAAGUCCAUAUACCAAUCAAAUGCAUUUCCUUUCAAGGAACGAAUAAAUUGUUUCACCAGGUGGUCACCCUCCGUCCCAGCAUUGUUGCAUGUUUCGACGAAGUGUGCAACGUGUUAUUUUGGGUUGCCCUUUCCAUCGAAUUGUUGGAAUUUGGGAGUUUGAUAUCCCAUCAGCAUCCUCAGGUUGUCUAUCCUCUUGGUGUAUGACAUGGAAUAUAUGAGCGUGUCUCCAGAAGGUACUCCGUAUUGAACCCUGAUGGUGUUCGCGAUCAUGUCUUGAAGUUGUUGGACCGAUAAAGAACCCACCGAGGCGGUGUCACCUUUUCUGUGCAACUUCUCACCCGACUCUGUUUCAUGACCCAAUCCUUUUUCACUGGAUUCAGCUUCGUGAUGUGGUCCUUUCUUGUUUACAUCUUGACCAGGCUCUUUAUCCUGAUGUGCCUCCCACUUAUUAAUGAGAGAAGCAAUAUGCGCACAUCUUCGUCAGUUUUGCAACCGCUUCGCUCAUAUGGGCCAACUAUUCUUCAAUAAACAUAGCUCCUAUCACCAUGACCUGCAUGGCCAUAGAAUAAGACUCACCUAUGGACGCCGAGGGUUUCGUGGCUAUCUUAUUCUGUUGGUCGCCAGGCGGGGAUCCUUGGUAUGAGCAUGUGCUCGAGUCAGCAUCUGAAACAAGCAAGAGUGAACGUUCUCUUGAAUUCUUCGAACCCGAAAAACUCCUUUCUUCGUUCUGAGAGUUUCUCUCAUCCACUCGAGAGGUAUUCUUCUUUGCCCCUAAGGAGGCCAAAUUGAUAACCGAUUCACGCCUUCAGUUCACAUCUUUCGCUUUGGCUUGAGUCCGUAUAGAAGUGACAUGUUGAGUUGUGGAUAUCGCCUUGGCCUUACUCCAGUGAGGAGCCUAGCAGAAUCUCCGCUUGAGAAGGAGGCGCUCACGCUUUUGCUUCUCAUCGCGGGAACGGUUUAAAUCUUCUUGGAAGCCAUCAUUUUUGGUGUGUUGAUUGAUUUGGAACUGGAAAAAUAGAUGAGAGGCAGAGAUAGUCCCACCGAGCGUGCCAAAUUUGUAAACACGAAGAUCCUACGAUAAAUGAGACAAGAACACGUGUACAAAAUAAUAUUUGUAUUAAUGAAAUUUAGGGUUACAAUCUCUGUAUUAAAUGCUCUGAUUCGAUCUCCAAUGUGUUUAAAGAAAAUUUACGUUUGAUACAAGGGUCGUAGAGACUUGAUCUUGAUCAAACGAGUAGCACAAAGCUUGUUUGGUGUUUGGCUUUUUCUAGGGUGAAGGAACCGGCACGUAUUUGUUGUGUUUGGUGGCUCUUCCAAUGUGAGGUGAAGAAUGCAGAGAGUUUUCUGUUUCUUCUGAGUGCUUCGUUUGUCUAAACUCCCUCUUUCGUCUUGAGGCCUCUUAUUUAUAGGCUCCUGCAGGAUGCUUGACCUAAAUAGCUUUCCUUCUUUAAGACCUUUAUUUGUGGGAUUCUAAUUUGAUUUAGAAUCAAUUCUAAUAAUUUGGCAAUUUAACCAAAUUAUCUUCGAUUGAUUGACUUGAUUAAUAUUUGAUUUAAAUCAAAGUCAAUCACAGAAGAUUCUUUCCUUUUAUUUUGUCUUCACUUUGAACCGUUUGAUGCACUCCGUCGGAUGUCGAUACGUGUCACUUCUGACAACUAAUCCAAUUUUAAUGAGUCAUAUGCCAUAUGGGCGAAUUAGAGGUGUAAGUUGGAUUGGAAAAUCCGAUUCCGGUCCGAUUUUUUCCAAAAAAAUCCGACUCCGAUAAAUCCGAUAUCCGAAAAUGCCGAAAUCCGAAAAUUCCGAUAAAUGCCGAACAUUCCGAAAUUCCGAUCCGAAAAAUUCCGAAGUUCUCCGAAUCCAUUCCGAUCCGAUUUUUCCAAUUUUUUUCCGAAAAAUUCCGAGUUUCUAAGUAUAAUUGCAUUAUUUUUAGUUUAUAGGUCUUAUAUAUGUUUCAUUUCUUAUUUGUUAAGUUUUAGUACCCAUAUACAAAUAUUUGUACAUACUAAAUAUAGGCUUGACCAAAAAAAAAAAAAACUAAACUAAACAUAGUAGUAUGUAACUUUAAGACUAUGUGCCAGUUUGGCAUUGCUUAUUUGGGAUGAUAAGUGAUUUUUUAAAAAUUUUGGGAAGCCCAGCCCGUUUGGUAAACUAUGAAAAAAUCACUUAUUAUUAAAAAUUGCUAUGAGAGAAAGCUAUAAGGGAAAGCAGCUAAUGAUGUGCUUUCAUUUUUUGAUUAUGCAUUAAUCAGUUUUGAAGAGGGCACUGGGUUUGAUUAUUAUGCAAGAAUUAUUUUCUAAUUAUAUGGGAAUCAAUAUCAACAACACUUUGAACAAAAAGUUUACCAAACGCCAAACUGCUUUAUCUCACAGCUGAUUUCUCUCACAGCAAAUCUAACAGUGAUUAUUUUCACAGCACAACAAUGCCAAACUGGCCCUAUAUAUAUAUUUGGCAAAUAUGCUUGAUUUAAUAUAACAAAAAGGUGCAUAUGUGUGCUUGUUAUAUCCAUAAGUACUAUGUACAUAUAUGGUAAAUGUAGGAAGUAUUAUACUAUUUCAUUUUAUAUUUAUGUAUGUAUUUUUAAAAUUAUAAACUAUCUUCAAUUAAACUUUUAAUUAUAAAAUCAUUUUAUACAUGAAACACCACAUAUAAUGUGCGUAUAUUAAUUGGAGCUUUAACAAUUGUAGUAUUCCAAACUGAAAAUUGUAGUAUUACAAUUGUCUAGAGCAUGAUUAACGUCUAACACUCUUUAUACAUGUUCAUGACCCACUAGAAUCUAAAACCAAUGUGAUAGUCACUCGGCUAUAACUUGAGUCUUGAGCAUCAAUUGAUGAAUGUGAAUCCAUCUUUAGCAUGGAAUCAAAAAAAUUUGAUUCACAUGAACAAAAUAUAAAUAUAUAAUAUGUAGGACAAAUUACUUUGAUUAAUAAUCAAUAUACUAUAUAGAUUGUUGUAUAUAAAAUAAUAGAUUGUUAUAUAUAUAUAAGGUGAAUUCAAACAUGCUAUAACUUUCAAAAUAAGCUAUGCCUUGGGCAAUUAUAAUAGGUUCCAAGGACAAUGAUGGGGAUCGGGAUCCAGACACAGGUCACCAACCACAUACACGAGCACCGAAAUCUAGAGCUAGUGCAAACUCACAUAUAUCGUAGCAAAUCCAUGCCACAAAUAAACUAUUUUAUUAAUCAUCAACAUAUCUUCCAUAACUAUUACAUUAGCCUUAUUUAUAGGCUUUACAAGACUUGGGCACCAAGGCUACUUGGUCUAAAAGUAAACUAAUUAAUUAUAAAAUCACACAUAAAUAAUAAAAGAUAUCAUAAAACUACCUAAAUAAGAAAAUAACAACAUAUAAUGAAAUAACUAAUUAAAUGAUAAAUAUCUAUCUUGAUCCACCCCUAUGCUCCUGCAUCAGACUCCCAUAGUUGGAAAGAAUUCGUCCUCGAAUUCAAGCCUUUGAUUAAGGAAAAUCUGAGUAGAAUCUUCAAUUGCUGCAUAUUAAUUUUGGAUCUUUUAGCAUCCAAUUGAAACCUUCCUUUCCAAAUAAAAAGAUAUUUGGAAUAUUUCGUUAUUCUUGACUUCUUACUCCCUCUAGCAAUGCAAAUGUUUCUCUCUAGAAUCUUCAACCGAUUGACAAAAUCAACCAGAUUUUUGGCAACCUUCCAAGUGAAAAUAUUAAUGCCCAUAAAAUCAAUAAUAUCUUCGAAAGUUUUCUCAAUCCUCAUCUCUUCACUGUUCUGGUCAAUAAAUUGCUUAUCAAAAUUGCUUUGAACACCCAAACAAUUUUCAUUGUAAUUUUCACAAUUGCAAGGAUCAAAUAAUGGAGGUAAAUCCAAAUUUAAUAACUUUGAUGAAUAACAAGAUGCACCAAAAUUACCAAAUUCAUUUAUACUUUCAAAGACGAAAUGAGAAUAACCGUGCCCCUCUUCACUUGACUCACACAGUGGAGCACAAUAAUGAAAAGGGCUAUCUCCCUCGUACUCCCCGUCGAGACUCUCACGGCUUAGAGUGUCGAUGCGAGCUACUCGGUUCAGAUAAGGGUUCACACAUCCCUCCCCGUCAGAACUCUUACCUAUCUGGGUUCGAGCUUCAAUGCGAGCAAUGCGUUCCGUAAGUUGCCGUAGCAUCCUCCUAAUUUCCUCCAUGUCGUUGCAGUUGUUAAAACGACCCUCCAUCCAAAAACCUCCCCGAUAUAGCAGAUCUUGAGCCAUAGCUCUGAUACCAAUUGAUGGGGAUCGGGAUCCAGACACAGGUCACCAACCACAUACACGAGCACCGAAAUCUAGGGCUAGUGCAAACUCACAUAUAUCGUAGCAAAUCCAUGCCACAAAUAAACUAUUUUAUUAAUCAUCAACAUAUCUUCCAUAACUAUUACAUUAGCCUUAUUUAUAGGCUUUACAAGACUUGGGCACCAAGGCUACUUGGUCCAAAAGUAAACUAAUUAAUUAUAAAAUCACACAUAAAUAAUAAAAGAUAUCAUAAAACUACCUAAAUAAGAAAAUAAUAAUAUAUAAUGAAAUAACUAAUUAAAUGCUAAUAUCUAUCUUGAUCCACUCCUAUGCUCCUGCAUCAGACUCCCAUGGUUAGAAAGAAUUCGUCUUCGAAUUCAAGCCUUUGAUUGAGGAAAAUCCAAAUAGAAUCUUCAAUUGCUUCAUAUUAAUUCUGGAUCUUUUAGCAUCUAAUUGAAACCUUCCUUUCCAAAUAAAAAGAUAUUUGGAAUAUUUCAUUCUUCUUGGCUUCUUCUUGACCCCUCUAACAAUGCAAAUGUUUCUCUCUAGAAUCUUCAACUGAUUGAAAAAAUCAACUAGAGUUUUGGCAACCUUCCAAGUGAAAAUAUUAAUGCCCAUAAAAUCAAUAAUAUCUUCGAAAGUUUUCUCAAUUCUCAUCUCUUCACUGUUCUUGUCAAUAAAUUGCUUAUCAAAAUUGCUUUGAACACCCAAAUAAUUUUCAUUGCAAUUUUCACAGUUGCAAGGAUCAAAUAUUGGAGGCAAAUCCAAAUUUAAUAACUUUGAUGAAUAACAAGAUGCACCAAAAUUACCAAAUUCAUUUAUACCUUCAAAGACACAAUGAGAAUAACCGUGCCCCUCUUCACUUGACUCACACAGCGGAGCACAAUAAUGAAAAGGGCUAUCUCCCUCGUACUCCCCGUCGAGACUCUCACGGCUUAGAGUGUCGAUGCGAGCUACUCGGUUCAAAUAAGGGUUCACACAUCCCUCCCCGUCAGAACUCUUACCUAUCUGGGUUCGAGCUUCAAUGCGAGCAAUGCGUUCCGUAAGUUGCCGUAGCAUCCUCCUAAUUUCCUCCAUGUCGUUGUAGUUGUUAAAACGACCCUCCAUCCAAAAACCUCCCCGAUAUAGCAGAUCUUGAGCCAUAGCUAUGAUACCAAUUGAUGGGGAUCGGGAUCCGGACACAGGUCAUCAACCACAUACACGAGCACCGAAAUCUAGGGCUAGUGCAAACUCACAUAUAUCAUAGCAAAUUCAUGCCACAAAUAAACUAUUUUAUUAAUCAUCAACAUAUAUUCCCUAAAACUAUUACAUUAGCCUUAUUUAUAGGCUUUAAAAGACUUGGGCACCAAGGCUACUUGGUCCAAAAGUAAACUAAUUAAUUUAUAAAAUCACACAUAAAUAAUAAAAGAUAUUCUAAAACUACCUAAAUAAGAAAAUAACAAUAUAUCAUGAAAUAACUAAUUAAAUGCUAAUAUCUAUCUUGAUCCACUCAUAUGCUCCUGCAUCAGAUAAUCAGAAAGAGGAGGUCCAAGGCAAUUAUAACUUUAAAAAAAAACCAUCUGCGUUUUUUUUCCAAUCCUACAUUGAAUUGAAGUGACGAAAAAAAGAAGGAAACAUUUCUAAAUUUUUAAAACUCAUUCUUUGAUUUUAUUUCUUUCUUAAUUAAAGGUUUUCAUUCCAUCUCAAUACCAAAAAAGUAAUGAAUUUGUGCAGAAACAGAAAAAUAAAUGAUAAAGAAAAAAUCUGGAUGGUGUGGGGUAUUGCAACAAGGGAAGAGAGCUCCAAUGAGGAUUCAAUGGAGAACAUAUACAUCGGAUAAAUGAUUUAGUGCAAACCCAGAAAAAUAAAAAUGCAAGAGAAGAAACAGUAGAGAUAAAGAAUUGAAGAAUGAUUUCUUUUUUGGUUGGAGAAGUGUUUUUGUUUUUUUCCUAACGGGAUCCGUACAUAUUGUUCCAUAUCUGAAGAGUUUUAAGUAAGAAAGAAAAUGAAGGUUGGCAUUCAUGGAUUAGAAAGGAAGAAACGGAAGAGAGAGGAGAAGUGAUGGAUGAGUAACCAAGUAGAAAUCAAGAAAAGAGUGGAGAGAGAAGUUGCACUCCCAUUUCUUCUUGGAGUCCCAUAUCGACUGCAAGAAUAAACUUCAGGUGUUUAGUCCUUUAUAAAUAUCUUCAAACUCAGUCAUUUUGUGUAGGGACUUAACAGUACAACCUAUUUGGGCAUGUAAAGUUCUUGUUGGACUAGUUGUUAAACCCCUAAGCUGGGUUUUCUUGAUUAAAGUUUAGUUGAGAUUUUUACAAAAUGCUAGUUUGGGCAUUUAAAUCUCUUAAAUUUUUUUUGUCAGUUAAGGGCUUCGGAAUCGGAAUCUUCUGAAAAUUUCCAAAUUUUUUCGGAAUCGGAAUCGGAACUCUAUAUUGAAUUCCGAAAGAUAUUGGAUUGGAAUUGGAAUUGCUGUUUCCGAUCCGAUCCGGCCGAAAGACAGCCCUAGGGCGAAUUAUGGGGCCCACAAUUCAAUCCACCGAACCCUAAUUAUUUUUCUUAUCUAACGGAAUUUAUUGAGCCAAAAUUUCUUUGUCUAUAAUGUGAUCGCAUUUUGAAAUGUAUUUCCACAGUUUCCUUUUCUCUGCUUAUCAAUGGCACCCCUGAGGGCUUCUUCAAGGUAUUGGACAAGGGGAUCCUCUUUCCCCGUAUAUUUUUGUCCUUUGCAUGGAACCCCUUAUUCAACACUCAAUAGACUGGUAAUGAAUACUAGAUCUCAAGUUGGGUUGCUUUCUUCCCCUUUUGGUUGUCGAAUUUCUAACCUUGUGUUUGCAGAUGAUUGUCUCAUUUUAAUGAAAGCUUCUCUUCUGGCUGCUAGAAUGUUAGUAAAGCUUUAGAGGCGUUUUCGUUGGCCUCGGGACAUCACAUUAAUCUAUAUAAAUCUACAGUUUGUUUCUCUCAUGAAGUUUCUAAUAUUUUUAAAGGUAAUGUUAGUAAUAUCCUUCAUGUCCAGUAUAACUCUACUAUUGGGAAAUAUUUGGGCAUUCAUAACAUAGUUUUUUUGGAAAGAUCCUCAGAAUGCUGAGGAUCUCAUUGAUAGAGUAAAAGCUAAAUUUGCUGGUUGAAAAGCUAAUACCUUGUCUAAAAUUGAGAGAUUAACUCUCAUUAAGUUUAGUGUCACAGUUAUGUCCAAUAAUGUUUUAUCUUGUUUUCAAUGCCCUCCUAAGGUGGCUAAAGAGUUAAAUAAGAGCUGUAGGAAGUUUUUGUGGGGUAGUAAUAAGAUUCCCCCUAUUGCGUGGAAAGAGGUUUGCCUUCUAAAAAGUUUGGGUGGGUUGGGUAUUCGUCUCACUACCCAAUUUAAUAAAGCAGCCUUAGCCAAGCUGGGUUAGAUAGCCAAGCUGGGUUAGAAGUGCCUUAUUGAUAAAGCUAACUAGUGGACUAGAUGCUAGACCUAUUCUAAACCAAGGGAUUCACUAGAUUGUGGGGAAUGGUUAUGCUACUCUUCUUUGGACCUCUAACUAUUAGAUAUAUGCCCUAAAAGCCAAUGUAAAAAUAAAAUACUCUAAGGAUAUAAUAUAAUUAAUAUAAUCAAAGGGGCGUGAAUGUUACUCUAAGAUACAUAAUGUACACAAAGUAACAAGUACAUGGAUAAAGAUAUGAAUGGAAAGCAGUCUAAAGAAGUUAGAUUCAUGAUAUCUUUCCAUUAUAGAAGUAUCGUAUCCUAAAAGGCUCCUAGUCAUAGGAUCACCAAUUGGACAAUGGUGAACCGCAAAAACUGGUACAUGCUAUGUCUACUCAAGCAGGAGGAUGAUUAGUCUCAAGUCAUUCGUGUAGAGACACUAAGAUAAGUGUGUAGGUGCUCUAUAGAGAUGAAGUACAUUGAACGCGAUCAACUGAAGAUUUCUUGUAUGGAAGUCUUAUUUACAAGUGUCAAACAAAGAAUUCUAAGUUGUGAUAAUACAAAUUAGUCCUUAGAUGUCCUAAGACAUCAUAGUUGUUUUGUGUAUGAUACUCAACAUAUGCACAGAGGCAUGUGAAUGUAUAACAAGAAAUAUCUACUCUUAGUGAGAAGAGAGAAUACUCUAAAGAUAUGAUUCGUUGAAUUUUUGAUCAAAGUACAGGAUGAGAAUUGAAAUAAGAAGGUUUGCAAUUGCAUCCAAGUGAAUCAUAUAACUUAAAGAUGUCAUGUUAAGGAUUUAACACAAAUUAAUCAUAUCCAAACAACAUAUGCAUAGAGGUAUGUAAAUGUACAACAAGAAAUAUGUACUCUUAGUAAGAAGAGAGAACACUCUACGAAUAUGAUUCGUUGAAUCUUUGGCUAAAAUACAGGAUAAGAAUUGAAAUAAGAAGGUUUGCAAUUGCAUCCAAGUGAAUCAUAUAACUUAUAGAUGUCAUGUUAAGGAUUUGACACAAAUUAAUCAUAUCCAAACAACAUAUGCAUAGAGGCAUGUGAAUGUACAACAAGAAAUUUCUACUCUUAGUGAGAAUAGAGAAUACUCUAAAGAUAUGAUUCGUUGAAUCUUUGGCAAAAGUAUAGGAUGAGAAUUGAAAUAAGAAGGUUUGCAAUUGCAUCAAAGUGAAUCAUAUAACUUAGAGAUGUCAUGUUAAGGAUUUGGCACAAAUUGGUCAUAUCCAAACAACAUGACAUAGAGUAUUGUAAUAGAGAAGGACCUAAUUGCAUUGUAAUCACAAACUGGCUAGGUUCUCAAAAUGAAUUAUAUUUAGCUUGGAGUAGACAUGACAUACUGCUAGGUGUUACUUAUGAUUUGUGAAAAUCGUGUAAUGACUAAUUAUAAUUAGCCUUGGCUAAUAGGGAGAAUUAUAUAGAAUGAUACAAUUCACAUUUAGUUUAGAAGUAAUCAUUCUUACCCACGGCCUGGCUAAUUAGAACCUAUAAGAUCGCACAUCAAAAAGGUAUGGAUCGAGAAUUGAAAGGAGAAUAAAUGAUUUAGUGGCUUGGUCAAAGUCAAAGGUCAAACUGUUGACCGAGACUUGACGGGGUCAACACAAGGUUGACUAGGACCAAUGCUUGUUAGGCAAGUUAGCGAUUUAAUUAGUUAAGUCAUCAAAUCAAUUAUACUAAAUAGAUUAGCUUAAAUGAAUUAAUUAAAGUUAUGGAACAUUAGUUUUGGUCCUAUAUGACUUAAAUAUUUAUAAGAAUGGACCUUAUGGACUUAAGCAAAGUGUGACACAUUAAGGGCUCAUUUGGUACACCAUAUUAGACUCUGGAUAGGAGUAAAUAGUCUAUGUCAGGUGUUUGGUGUCAACUUGUAUUAUUUAAUUACCCGACUAUUUUAUACGGGUUGGGCUUUUAAUACUCUCCUUACCUGAUUAACUAAUACAACCCACACACCCUGGUUUAGAUAAUACACGCUUAAUUAUACGACUAAGCACGCGUUCUACGAAAAAAAUCAAACGCUAUUUUCAUCUUCUUCUCCUUAGGGUUCUUCUCUGCUAUCUUCUCCAAAGGUUACUUUCUUCACUCUUCUCCAGGUAUCCAUCUCUCACUCUCUCUCUCUCUCUCUCUUUCAUACUCUCUCCAAUAUGCUUCUUCUUGCUUCUUCUCUAUUCUUUAUAUAUUUGAAUUUUUUUAUUAAAUUGUUGUGGAAGGUUAUGUAUUUUUCGUUUUUGAAAUUAGGUUAUGCUUACUUACAUGAAUGAAAGCUAAAUCGUAAAAGGACCUAUUUUACAAAUGAGAAACAUUGGACAUGGGCUUAAUGAAUGAAUUGCACAAUCCUAUUACAGAAGUAAAUUAAACCAUUUAAAUGAAUACACAAACUUCACAACAGUAGCAGCAACAGCAAUUGAGUCAUCACCAUUUUCCUUUGGUACCUUUGGUUACGAUUUCUUCUAUAGUGGGUUUGGUCUUGCGUUUGGGACAUUGUUGAUUGGUUAUGGGUGGUGCUGUCUGAAUUCCUUGUUUUAUGUUAUCUUAUGUAUUUUGUUUUUGUUUAGUUUUGAACUGGUCUGGGUGAGAAGCUUGGUUCUAGCCUUGAUUUUGAGGUCUAGGUGCCUCUACCCGGCUUUUGUAACUUGCUUUGUAAUCUAUUUUUUAUGGGUUUCUUUAAUGAGAUCAGAUUUCAACCACUGAAAUGAUGAAUGAGCCUAUGCAUCACCUUGAUAUCAAUGAUGAUGAUGAGUAAGUUAAGGUUGAACCAGAUCAUUCUGCCUCUUUGCCAAGAUUAAAUCAACAAAACUCAGCUAGCUCAAGCAGUCGACAACGCAAGCGAAGUGCAGAUACUGAUAUUCAAAAGGAAAUGGCUAAAGCAUUUGGUGAGAUGAUUUCUGAGUCUAUUGACCAAUUAAAAACUAUAACUAAUAGUUUGGUGAAAUGAUCAGAACCAAGACCUGACAUUACUGCUGAAUUGGCAAAGAUAGACUUGUCUAUUAAUGACCAAAUUAAGGCACUACGUCUAAUUUUGGAGAAAGCAAGUGAUGAGAGAACAUUCUUGACAUUGGAUGGUGCUAUGAGAAAAGCAUUUGUUCUUCUCUUACUUGGGGCGAGGGAGCUGUGAUUCACUCUUUGAUAUAGUUUGAUUUAUGAACAACUUUCCCUUUUGCUCUUAUCACCUUAGUAUGUGAUCACUUUGAAUUAUACAUUAUUUGGUACUGUUUUUAUUAACAUAUGCGAGUAUGUUGGAAUUUUUAUGAGAUACUACAAUUAUUAUAAUGGGUUAUAUGAAGAAAAAAAAUAUUGGCAAAAACAAUUGAAAAACAAAUCUUGUCAUAUGAAUCUUACCAAAAAAAAUUUCGUGUCAUUUGAAUCUCAAUUUCCAUUAAAAUUAUCAAAGAAUUUUUUUUUAAUUUUAAAAAUAGUUUGAUCUGAUGUUAUCCGGAACAUCACCAAACACAGUAUAACUUAGUCAGACUAUUUAUCCGAAACAGCACCAAACGCCUUAUAAUAUUAUGGAUAAAUAGUCAGUACUCUCUGGAACAAAUUAAUACUAUCCGACGAAAAUUAGUUAGUACAGUCCGACGUACCAAACGAGCCCUAAGGGAUUAAUGUGGUAGAUCAAAGUAGUCCAAAAAGGCCAAAAAGAGGGAGGGUGCGGCACAUGGGGAGAGGGGGUUUUGGGGACACAUGUGUGAUAAAAAUGUCUCUAUAUAUUCAUACCCAUAGCAUCAAACCUCCUUAGGGUUUCAAGUUAGACAUUUAGGAAGACAGGAAGACAUCAAGCCUCCUUCCUAGUCUCCUUUGGCCGACCACUAUUGAGGAAUUAAAGGCUAACACCCAUUUUCUCCUCUUGGUUCCUUAUUCUCCUAUCCUCAUUCUACCUUGGUGAUGAUACUUUGGGGAAGUAUAACCUCAUAGUGCUUAUUUGGAGAACAAAGUGGAGAAUCAACAACUAAGGGACUAUUCCCUCUACUUGAAUACAUAUUUGGAUUCAAGAUUCGCUCCAAGAGUAAGCUCACUUUCUACCUUCUCUUUAAUAUGUGAUAUUAGUGUCAAAUGUGCAAACUAUCAUAGACCUAUAAAGAUUGGGACUAAGUUGAGACUUGCAUGAAUCUCGAGCUAUUUUCUUGCUUCCGCUUUAUUUGAUUUCAUAGUUGAUAUGCAUAGGCUAGAUGAUUUGUUCUCUCAUAGUUUCGUGGGAUUUUAGCAAUUCCUAUACCUAAUUUUUUCUUCACUAACUGGGCCUUGCCCUUCCCCAUUAUUGAUAUAAUCCCACAUAAUCAAUAGUUCUGAUUUUUAUUAUUAAUCAGAGAUGGGACAAAACAAAGCUCCUCCAAGUUCUGGAUUUGGACGUAAUGGACAAGGGCCCAUUCGGUAACGUUUUGAGAGAAUAUUUUAUGAGAAAUAAAACGAGAAAAUGAAUUUGCAUUUUCAAUAUUCAAAAAUGCGUCUGAUAGAUUAAUUGAAAAACAUAUUCAAAAAAUCAAAAUAGUGAAAACGUGUAUGGGAGGACAAUUUGAGAAUAAUAAUUUGUGAGUUAUUUUUCAAGUAUAUUUUUUGCUAAUUUCUGUUCUAAAAAAUAAUUAUUUUUUAAAUUAUGAUAUUUUAAAGGCUAAAAUUAUUACAAACAAUGAAAAAUGUGUACUUUGAGAAUAAUAAUGUAUAAUUAAAAUAAUAAUAAAAAUUUAUUUUAGAAAAACAUAGAGAAUAAAAUAAUAUUAUCUUUAAUUUAAAAUAAAUAUUUAAAAAUAAAUAUGAAAUUGAAUAAUAUAUGAUGGUUUUAUCAUAAAAUUAAUAUACACUCGUGUAGCAAAAAAAAUAAUAAUGAAGUAGAACGAAAAAACUGAAAAUUGAAAAAAAAAAAAGAAAAUAAAAAAGAGAAAGCAAUCAGACCAAUACAUUGGGUAGAAAAAUGAAAACAAUAAUUUGGUUAUUUCAGUGUUUGUAUAUGAGGUUGAAUUUGUUUUCUGAAAACAAUUCCUGUGAAAAUGAAAACGACAUACCAAACAUAUUUUUGGUAGAAAAUGAAAACGGGGCCUUGAAAACGUUACUUAAACGGCCCCUAAGAUUCUAACAGUGCCUCUUCCUAUUUCCAGUAUUGAUGAUCAGAUGAUUUGGGGCCUUAGUCCCUCUGGUGUAUUUACCAUUAAAAGUGCUUUUAAUUUAUAGGUUCCAGAUUCAGAACUCAUUUGCAGAACCAUAUUCUUUUGAAAAUGUGGAAGUUAUAUAUUCCCUCCAAAGUUAAGUUGAUUGCUUGUCUCCCUUUGAGAAAGAGACUUAAUGUUAGAAGUCAUCUAAAUAGACUUUUGCCUCACAUUAACCUGGAUGGUACUCUUUGUAAUAAUGCUCCUGAAACUAUCGAUUAUUUGUUUCUUACUUGCUCUUUUGCUAAUAAUAUUUGGAGUUGUGUAAAUGAUAAUUUGCUAAAACCUCCUAUUAGUACUGAUCUUCUUACUUGGCUUGACAUGUUGCCUACAACAAAUUCUGUCCAGGGUCCUUGCCAGCUCUCCAAAGCGAUUAUGAUAUGUUGCACUUAAGCUCCUUAUGCGAUUCCAUCAAGUUUGCACGUGUUUCGUGAAGCCAACUUCUUGGCAAAUGCUCUUGCCAACCUUGGCCAUAAGCUAUCCCCUUCGUUCUUGUGGGAAGUUGGGUUGUCAUUACUUCAUACUCCUGCUUUCUUUUUUGAUCUCCUGGGGCCUUUGUAUCCAAGAAAUUUUGCUUUGUAAUUUUCCUUUCCACAUAAAAAAAAUAUGUUGAAGAAAUCAAUACUAAUCUAUAAAAAAUAAAAAAAAACCAUCAAAGCCUGUAAUAAAUUUAUUUUCUUUUUAGCAGAUAAUAAAUUUAUAUACAAACCCAUGAAAAUAUGUUAUAUGACUUCGUUUGGUUAAUGGAAUGAAUUUAAGAGGAAAUUAUUUCUCAUGUCAUUUCCCAUGUUAGAAAUCAUUUCUUAUGUCCUAAGAGAUGAGAAAUGGAAGAUUCUUUUCCCAUGUUUGGUAAUGCUGGGAAAGUAACCGGGAUAUAUCACUUUAUUUCCUUUCCUAUGUUUGUUUUGAGUAGGAAUGAAAAACAAAAUUUGUAUAAAUUUUCAAUUAUACCCAUAUUAAAUUAAAUAAAAAAAGAAAGCAUUUAAUAAUACAGUCCUGAUCUCUUGGACCCCUGUAGUCCAAGAGAUUUAUGGUCACUCACCGUUGGAUGUAAAUUCAACGGUUCACUCAUUUAUGACUUGAAUCGGGUAAUAAUCAUUUAUGUCAUAUUGCAUUUAUAUAUAUCAUUUUGAACCAUUGGAUUAAUAUCCAACGGUGGGUGACCACAAUCUCUUGGACUCCUGUGGUCCAAGAGAUCGGGACUGUUAAUAAUAUAUUGUAAUUCUAAAUUGUUAAUGGGGACAAAAUGGUCAUGAAAAAUGUGUAUUUAAUGUUGGUUUAUUUCCCCAAACUUUCCCAUGAGGAAAGAAAACAAAACCCAAGUUGGGAAGAUGACUUCACUUUCCCCCUACUUCCCCAUGGGUCAGGCAACAAUUUCUCAUACCUGAAUUUACCAAAUAUGGGAAAAUAAUUGAUUUCUCGUCCCCAAGUCUCCUUUCUCAUGAAUCAAACGGGGCAUAUAAGCCUAUCCCAAAGUCCAUGGUUUAUUCUAAGUAAAUUUAGGUUUUAGUAACAAAAAAACUUUAACUUUUGGAAAAAAGCCAAAUUUGUUUCCAAAAAAACAGAAAAACUUCUCAAUUUUCAAAUCAAAGACAUGCAAAUAUAAAAGAUUUCUUAGGAAAUUCAAAAAUAAAUAAGGACAAUUUUAUCCUUUUUAACUUUUUAAAAAAAAUUUCUCUCUCCUUUAGCCUUUUUCAAAAUCUCCUGUCCAAUUUUUUUUGGUUCGGGGAAAGUCUCGAUUGAAUACACCAGUAAACAUAAAUGAAAACAUAAAAUUUAGUAAAAGAAAAAGAAAAGUAAACCCCACCUCCUCUCUCACUCCCCUCUGUGCCACCCACCGCCUCCACCGAGACCUUACCCGUUACCGUCAAAUUCACCAGCCUCAGCCGACCCCACCCCUACCUCCUCCUCCUCCUCUCUCUCUCUCUCUCUCUCUCUCUGGCUCUCUCAUUCAGUUUCUCUCUCUAUUUCCGCCCAAACACCCCGACCCAAAUCUACCUCUGCUAAACCCACUCUCUCAGCUCUCUCAUUCGAUCCCAAAACCCAAAUACCGUCAAAAACCCAAACGCCCAGACCCGAAUCGUCAUCUCUCUUGAAACAAGGUAAAGUCUUUUUCUUGGUUGAAUUUUUCGUGUGGGUUUGAUUUCUAGAAUGGUUUUAUAUCUACAUGCAUGUCAAAAGUAUGAGUCGGUGAUAGUGAUAAUAUUCCUAACAUGUUAUUCCUCGUUCUUGCACUUUAUAGGUUGCGUAAAAUUGGAGGCAGAGAGGUUUGCUGCCGCAUUGUAGCUUAAGCUAAUCUUCAGACAUGGUAAGCCAAACUUCAGACACUUUAUAGUUUCCGGAAACAAUGCUCUUUGUUCUUGGGAAAUUGCAGGAAAAGAUAUAUUUUCUAAGGUUUAAGUUUUAAUUGUUUGAUUCUUCGUACCCUAUAUAAGUUGAUGAUGACAUCUUGAAAUUGGGGUUUUGGGUUUGUUUGUUUGUUUGUUUUUCGGAUGCAUAAAGUCACAGGCAGAUAUUAGGAAGUGGUUUAUGAAGUCGCACGACAAGGGCAAUGGCAAGAAACCUGCGCCGACUACUUCACAGACUCCUUCUACAGCUAAGGAAGAGCCUAAAGAACCAGUGAGUUUUCGGUUUGGUUUGGUGACAAACUAAGAUUUUGUUGCAUUUGCUUGGUUGUGUCUGUAAAAGUCAGACAUAUCGUUUUUAGCAUCUAUGGUUUGGAUAAACUAACAGCUACUUGAUGCAGGUCUGAUUGGGUUUAAAUGGUUUUAGAGACAUUAGUUUGUGUUAUUUGCUUCUAAACAACAAUAUGAUUUGUAAACACUGUAUGUUCUUUUUUAAAACAAAAAAGUAGAAUGAUUUUUCCACUGCGUGGUUUUAAGAGAAUUGAUAUACAAACAUUGUACUGAAUAUAAUGAUAAGAAAAGGAGGCUUGUUUUCUUAAUCAUGUUAUGUAUUUUGUUCUUGUAGUAAUCAAGGAAACUAUGAAAGUGUAAUCAGAAUCUCAAACCAAAACGGAAAUUCCACAGAAAGAACACCACCCCCUCCCAAGUUGGCUAGUCCACACAGGAGCAUGGGAAUUUCGAAACUUUGUUUGUCAUAAUAAACUUUCCCAUUUGUUUUCUUGUGUGCUUUUAUCUGUGAUAAACCAGGUGCAUGGAGGUCAAGAGAAUCCAGGCAGGAGGAAAACUAGCAAGUAUUUUACCACAGAUAAGCCAAAAGCUGAAAAAGAAACUGAAGUUCCAGCCAAAAGAAAGACUCACAAGGAACCUGAUGAAUCCGUGAAACCCUCACCUGCAAAAAAAGUUCACAAAGUUGUCGAUGAUGACGAUGAUUUUGUCUUACCUCAUUCAAAGAAGAACUCAGUUGAUGCGACUCCUAGUAAGAAAUUGAAGAGUGCAUCUGGCGUGGGAGUCCCACAGAAACUUACGGCUAUUGAUGAAGGUGGUGAUAAUGACGUCAAGGAUGCUGAAUCUCCUCACAAGCCUGGUGGUAAGGGUCGUGGUGGAAGAGGUACUUCGGCAGGACCAGCUGGUGGAAGAGGUACUUCGGCAGGACCAGCUGGUGGAAGAGGCAGGGGCGCUGGACGAGGUGGAUUUAUGAAUUUCGGAGAUAGAAAAGAUCCUCCACACAAAGGAGAAAAGGUUUAGUGUUUUGGAAUGCCUGGAAUUGAUUGUUGAAAUGAUCGUAUUAUUCUUGAUGUUAACCAUUAGUCCCUGUUUGCGUGUCUCAGGAAGUUCCUGAAGGUGCUCCAGAUUGUUUAGCUGGUUUAACUUUUGUAAUUAGUGGUACACUUGACAGGUAUUUGUUUGUUUGACUUUCACAAGCUUGUUUGUACAUUUGGUUGUAGAUUUAAAAUCCCUUGCACAUACCUUCUUGGGAAUCAGCAACCCGAUUUUUCUAGGAAGCUAUUACAUAUAACGGCUUCAUGUACUUGUUAGGAUUGUGUUGAUAUUAUUGUUUCAAUUACGAUGUUUGUCUGGUUGCAUUAAUUAAUUUGAUUAUGUCUUCUUUCCUUGCUUUCUUGGUAGAGUUUAAUAAAUAUUUAUCUUGCAGCAUAAGAUUGAAGUUUAAAAUUUUACCAUACUUACAGUUUGGAAAGAGAGGAAGCAGAGGAAUUGAUAAAACGUCAUGGCGGUCGUAUUACUGGAUCUGUCAGCAAGAAAACGGUUACUUCAUGUUUCUAUCUUGUAAUUUCUUGUAUUUUGAUACCACUGCUGGCAUGUGAUUAACAUAGUCUGUUUGCAGAACUAUCUUUUAUGUGACGAAGAUAUUGAGGGAAGGAAAUCCUCUAAAGCCAAAGAACUUGGGUUUGUUAUCUUGGACCGAACUAGAUGCAAUUUCAUAUUACUUCUGCUUCCUUUAUUUAUCAUCUAAAUUUUAAUUGUAUUCUGUAGUACUGCUUUUCUCACCGAGGAUGGACUGUUUGAUAUGAUUCGGGCAUCUAUCCGUGCUAAAGUACCUGUGCAAGAGGCCAAGAAAUCUGUGGAUGAUGCGGCAGCAGCACCUUUGCCCAAGAAAAGUCCUAAUAAAGUAGCAUCAAAGAGUAUGUUGCAGUUAACUAAGCAGUUUUGGUCUAUCAUUCUUAUGGCAGAUUCAUAAUUUAGUUUUUGGUUUGACUGGGUUUAUGUGUGUGGGCCAUGCUUAAUUGCAUAUCACAUAGUUUGUUGAGUGGGCAUUCUUGCUUUUCAUUUUGCUUUAUCUUUUUGUCUGUCUAACUCUGUAAUUUCUUAUGUGGAUUUACUGUGUUUUUACAUUGACCUCUUUAUUCAUAUAGGCACUUGAAUUAUGUAUAUGUUUACUUUCUCUCUCUCUCUCUCUCUCUCUCUCUCUCUCUCUCAUUGUGUCCAAUUAUGUGUUGUUAUGCAGUGUAGUGUUUAUGCAUAUUGUCACACAGCUAGAUACAUAAAAACAUUUAUAGAUAAUUCAUAUAUAUAUAUAUAUAUUUAUUUGUACAUAACUUUUGCUUUACUAAGCAAUAACGUUCUUGAGGCAAUCUGCUCAAAGACAAUGAAGAAAGUACCUUACCCUCCGUUUGGAUGAAUGAAUUGAAAAUUGCACAGAAUUCUUAAAUGACGGAAUUUAUAUCUCCAUCGUUUAAAUUUCUGGCAGUUGAUGAUUUCAGUGUUUGGAUUUAUGUAUCUUGAAUUUUGUAAAUGACACAAAUUAUAGGGAAAACGAAAACCUGAUCAGUAGAAAUUGCGAAAUGACGCUUCUUUUAGCAGAAAUUAAACUCAGGAAUCUUGAUACCCAAUUUCCAUGAUUUUUUCCGCGUGUCAUUUAAUAAGUUCCGUGCUUAAGUUGCCAAACAAUGAAAAUAUCAAUUUCUCCUCUUCAAUUCCCGACUUUUAGCUAAAUCCCAAGUUAUUUUCCUCCAUCCAAACGGAGGAAAAAUUGAAAUGAGAUUUCGAAGAUAUUAAUGUAGCAUUGGCUACUGUACAGUUCUGCAGGCAAAUAAUCAUCAUAUGUUUUUGCACUGUCCCCCCCUCCCUUCACAAAUCUGGAGCAAACAAGUUGUCUUGUAGUUUGGUUUGGGUGAUUGGAAGGAACUGUGAUUAUCUGCUCUCAGAUGUUAUCAAUAUGAUUAUCUUAUAUUCUCCUUCAUCUUUUUAUUUUUAAGUGUAGCCAUAUAUCCAAUAAAAAUUUACUCUCAAUUUUACUUUUGAAGGAAUAAUACUUAGAUUUUUUUGUCAAAAAAAAUGUUGCACAUUGUUAUCUUUUAACUAAAUGAUCAAAGUCAACUUUGUGAUGAUUCUUCUUCUUCUUCUUCUUCUUGACCCCUUCGCAUAUUUCUCUACCUUCAAAAGUGUGUAUAUCUCUCUCUCUCUCUCUCUCUCUCUGCCCAUCUUGUAUCAUGUGUAUAGUAUUUUGCAUUGAUGGAGCCUAUGCCCUGGAGGGCACAAGUAAACUUUCUUGUUAUAUGGAGUUUGGAUGCUUUUCCUAGCAGGUUAAUAUAGUAGUUGCAUCUUAUUUGAAGAAUAAAAAGUAGUUGCAUGGUUAUUGAAGUUUUCUUAUAAAAUAGACAUGUACUGUUCCAGAAGAUUGUGCUGGAAGCUCCUUGGCAUCAAGUGUAUCCCACAAACAAUUGGAGUCAGAUGCUUCCCAUGCUAGGCGUAAGAAGCAACCUACUGAGCAUUCUGCCUCUACUUGGACAGAAAAAUAUAGGCCAAAGGUUCCAAAUGACAUUAUCGGGAAUCAGUCACUGGUAUGCCUGUUAAUUAUUGCUUUACCACCAUUGCAUCUGCUGUUGAAUCGUUGUCCGCACAUGCAUCUAUCUAGAAACCAUUGUAAGUUUGUUAUUGUGAUAAAAUUUAUGUAAUGUCUAAUAUGCAGGUAAAGCAGCUUCAUGAUUGGUUGGUACAUUGGCAUGAGCAAUUUCUUGAUACUGGAAAUAAGAAAAAAGGCAAAAACCCAACCAAUUCUAGUGCCAAAAAGGCUGUACUAUUAAGUGGAACGCCUGGUAUAGGGAAAACGACGUCCGCUAAGUUAGUCAGUCAGAUGCUUGGUUUCCAGACAAUUGAGGUGUCAAUACUUUUACCAAAUUUGCAUAACUAUGGAAUAAUUUGAAUGUUGCUGAGUUAUGUUACUCAAUGCAAAUGCCUGCAUAUUGUUUAGGUAAAUGCUAGUGACAGUCGUGGGAAAGCUGAUUCCAAGAUUGAAAAGGGAAUUGGUGGAAGCAAUGCAAAUUCUAUUAAAGAGCUUGUCAGCAACAAGGCCCUGAGCAUGGAUGGGUUGGUUUUACACACUUUCUCUAUAUAAUGUAUAUUUUUUGGGGUCAUUUAUGCAUAGGAUGUGCCUGAAGGAAUUUAUUUUCUCUAGUUAAUUCUUAGUUAAAUUUGCAGAUUAAAGCAUCCCAAAACUGUGCUAAUUAUGGAUGAGGUUGAUGGGAUGUCUGCUGGAGAUCGGGGAGGAGUUGCUGAUCUUAUUGCUAGCAUAAAGAUUUCUAAAAUUCCUGUGAUCUGCAUUUGUAAUGAUCGUUACAGUCAGAAACUGAAAAGUCUUGUGAACUACUGUUUACUUCUCAGCUUUCGGAAACCUACUAAACAACAGGUCCCCCCCACCUCCCUAACAGUAAAUUUUUGGUGUUUUGAUAUAUUUUAGUAUUUUAAAGAAUUUGUUCUUAUAUGUUACUUGAGUGCAUUCUUUCUAGUAAUUACUUGCAAGUUGCCAAACCAUGCUACUAAUUGGUUCUUAUUAAUGUUGGCAAUGUUUAAAAAGUUUGGAGCGCUGUCAUUGAAUGAUUUUUCUAAUUUUUUAAUUUGGCUUGCUAUAUUGAUUGAAAGUGUGCACUGCGACAUAUGUGUGUGCGCACUCGGACACACAAACUGACAGAUGUGAUGAAAAUUAAAUUGUUUAUGCUGGUUGUGAUGCAUAAGAAACUUUUUUGUUAAUUAAGCCAAUGACUAAUGUAUUUUAAAGGAUUCCACAACAUGCUCCUAUAUCUGUAACGUGAUAAUUUUUGUUGCUUUAUGAUGUUGGGUGCCACAAAAACUUCUUUGGUAUGAGAGAUAUUUUUUGAUCAUUAAACAAGUGGUUUAAUAGGUUAUUUUUGUCGACCUAGAACUGAAAGAUUAAUUUUCGACAAUAAAAGUGUCUUUGUUCCAUUCAUUGGCAUUUUGGUAGUGAAUACUAAACAUUGAAGUCAAACAAAUUUACCAAGGUUGACAAAAAACAUUUUGGUUAUGCUACAGACUUGUUUGUUUCGUUUGGUUCUGGGUAUAGCAAUAUCUGUUGUCUAACAACACGCUGGCAUGUUUUUUCUCAAAGCCUCAGCUCUUAUCCUUUCCAGCCUCGGGUUGUAGUACCUGAACUUGAAUUGUAAUUUUUUUUAAGCAGUUAGAGAAAAGCAUUAAAAUGUGAAGGCGUGAUUUGGUCCAUAAGAAAGAACCAAUUGAUUUGUUAUUGGAUUUUAUUUCUUUUGGACAGGGAAACAAGUUUGGCAUUAUUUUUCUGUAAGUUAGGAUGUAAAUAUCUCUGGCAGCGAUAAAUGGGCAGCACUCAAACACUCACUUUUGACUUUAUGUUUUUGAGGAAAAUCUCAUGUAGUGUGAUGUUUAGCCAAUUUAAUGUAGGGAAAACCUUUUCGUUCCUGUAUAUAAAAUACAGAUAUAUGCUUCCCAUGGCCUGUUGUGCAUGCAUGUGGGCUGAUGUAGUUGUGAAAAUCUGCAUUGGUGAUUGCAUAUAGAAGUGCUUGUUUUUCUUCAUGUGUAUAUGGGCAUGGAUAGGAAAUUUUAUUUUUGUGCAUUUGUAAUACAGUUAGAAAUGACAUUUCAUGCUUUUUGACUCUUAAAUUUGGCUUACCUUUGAAUAAGGUUUGAAUGACGUUGCUGCCAGGAAGCAGUUCUAACACUUUAUAUUGUGUUCAUGGUGGUAGAUGGCAAAGAGGUUGAUGCAAAUUGCAAAUGCUGAAGGACUUAAAGUUAAUGAGGUAAAUAUUGUGAUGAAAGUCUAACUGUUUGGAGUUAUCAUGUACCAUAUUGCUACAGAAGCUUUGGACCCCACCAAAUAUUGUAAAUUAUUAUUUCUGGAAAUAUUAAGCGUGAGACAAAUUCUAUUGUUAAGCAAAAUGGACUAUAUUGUAGAAUUAUAUAAUUUAAUUUUCUUUUACCCCCUUUGUUAGGGCCUAGUUCAGUUUAGGUACUUGUUCUUUUUGUGUUAAGUGCUAACCUUCGUAAUUGUAUUUUGUACUAUGGUUUUACGUGUGAUCAAGUAUCUGGCUUAUCUGGUUUCUGACAUGUAUUUAAAGGUUCUUUUUUAUUCCCAUGUUGAUUAAUCUUCUUGUCAUUUUCUCAGAUUGCUCUUGAGGAACUCGCAGAAAAAGUUAAUGGAGACAUGCGAAUGGCAGUUAACCAGUUGCAGUAUAUGAGCCUAUCAAUGUCUGUGAUUAAAUAUGAUGAUGUAAGGCAGCGCUUAUUAAGCAGUGCAAAGGAUGAAGAUAUUUCACCAUUCACAGCUGUUGACAAGUAUGUCCGCAAUAUUUUCAUUUUUGGCUCUGGUUUUCUGCAUCUUGCUGUCUAUUGAUAUGCAUGUCUUCUCUUAUUCAUUUCUAUUUGCUGUACUUUGUUUCUUGAUCGAUUUAUGCAUAAAAAUUCUUUAAUAUUUGAGGUUGCUGUUUCAACCAUGACUUUACGAUUCACUUCUUUGCUCUCAAUUAUAUGCUUUGUUUUUGUUUUUAAUAAAAAACAAAAUUUUAUUGAUAAACUUUGGAACAGUACAAAGAUGCAGUGGAAAAGCUAUCCACUGAGAAAAUGUAGAAAUUAAGAAACUAACCCACCAUCCACAAAUCAGAAAAACUUAAGGUCUGAGCUCAAUUCUUUUUUGAUUUUGAGAAAUGAAGUUUUAUCGGAAUCUUAAUGGAAAACAUACAACGUAAUACCGCAACGCACCAUCUACCGUACAACAGGAAUACAUUAAAAUUCAUUGCAUAAGCUUAAAUAAGUACAGCCUUCCAAUUGGCAAAAAUUCCAAAGGCGGUAUUUCCCUGAAUACAGAAGAAACCGGAGCUGAUAAUGAUGCCCAAAACUGUAACUUGUUCCGUAAAACCUCCACUUUCACGAUGCCCAAAACCUUACAAUAUCCCAUAAAACCUCUGUUUGUCUCCCCUCUAUAACUUUUAAAGAUCCUUUUGUUUCUCUCUAACCAUACCACCCAAAAUACAGGCAUUACACCACAAUCUGAUGAAGUCUUUGCCUUCUUUCCUUCGCCAAAAGCGUCUUGUUUCCCUCAUGUUAAAUUGAACUUCUCAGAAUCUUGUUACGGGUACUUUUUCCAGUCAGUGAAGGCUCUAUUUGGCCUUCAGGAGUGUUGAGAAUAUCCCACAUCCAAGGAUGGAGGCCUAGCUUAAGAGCUUAAAAGAUCUUGGGCCUCUCCAUCCUUUCCCAUUUGGUUUUGGGUUGAAUGCUUUCAUUCUAGUAUGCGUCCAUUACCAUGUGUGUGAUGCUGACUUGUCUUUUUGUCCUGCAGGCUGUUUGGUUUUAAUGCAGGAAAGUUGCGGAUGGAUGAGCGUGUUGACCUGAGCAUGAGUGAUCCUGAUCUAGUCCCUCUUCUUAUACAGGUGCGUGCUUUGCUAGCGCAGCUGUUUUUGGCUGGCAUAUUCUGAAUAAAAAAUGAUAUAACAAACGGUGAGAUAUUUUAAUCUGCUGAGUUUCACUAUCGAAUACUACUGCCAGAAGAAGACUUGCAGUGCAUAGUGUUAACAGGCUGCAUGGAUGAUAACCUAUUCAGCAGUUUCUGUUUCAUGUCACUGGUUAACUAAUAAUUAUCAUAUACGUUUGUAAUAACAAUAACAUCAGGAGUGCUGGUUAAUUAUAAACAUAUGACUGCACGAAGCAUUAUCUUGGAAUGCUUUUCAGUUGAAAAUGAUAUUAAUGUGAAUAGAAUUUUUAAGGGACACUUAACUUAGUAGGAGCAUAUUCCUAAAAGAUACUUUUUCGACGUUUCCUUUGAUGUGUUAUUUCACUAAUCAGAACUCAUGAACAAUUUUAUUUUAUUUUUACAAGUAAAAGAAAUUUACUAGAGCGAACAGGUGAUGGGUGGUAUACACCUUAACAAAUGAUUCCAAUGCUCACAUACUGAACUGUUCUGACUAUCAUUACAGCUCUUCAGACAAAUUUCUAAUACUAUGUGAGAACUUGAACUUGCAUCGAUAUGAAGAACUGUUUUAACAUUUGUAUCAUGACUCUGGCCAAAAAAGAAAGAGCAACAGUUGUAUCAUGAGAUUAAUCUGGAAUAUUCUUAUAAUUUGGUAUGAUAACUAUGAAAUAGGAAGAAAGGAUAAAAAAAUGUAUAUUCUAAGCUAUCAGUCUCUUUCUCUCUCCCCCUUCUCUGUAGAUAUAAUAUAUAUAUAUAUAUCAAUAUUCAAGUCAAGAAAGAGUUGAAAGGAAGCUUAGUGUGUUCUUACUCACCACACUCUCCUCCAGUUUUUAAAUAUGUGCUAUUUGACUUAAGAUCUUAGUGCGGCUAGUACCCAUACGAAUGACUAGAUAUUUGAUUUUGCUUCAUUUUCUUUUGAUCACUUCCAUUCUUCAUGGACUUAGAUGUAAACUUACAUUUAUUCAAACAUGGACACUUAUGCUGUCAAAUUUUAACCUUAUUCUUUUUCCAAAUGAUGAUAUUUGUAGUGAAAUGUUUAAAUAUUCUCGUAUAUUAAGCUUAUUAUGCAAUUUCUGGCAGGAAAAUUAUAUUAACUAUAGGCCAAGUUCGGCUGUCAAGGAUGAUAGUGGGAUAAAACGCAUGAACUUGAUUGCCCAUGCCGCUGAGUCUAUUGGCAAUGGGGAUAUUUUCAAUGUACAGAUUAGAAAAUAUCGGCAAUGGCAGCUUUCCCAAAGUGCUUGUCUUUCAUCCUCUAUUUUUCCGUAUGUUUCUUAACAUCAGCUAUGGAAGUCGAAAUAAUAUCUUUAUGAGUGUAUUCGUAUUUCUAGUAUGUGGUAUCAUUUUUAUACUCAUUUUUUGUUAUAAUCAGUGCUGCAUUGUUGCGUGGGCAAAGAGAGACACUUGAGCAGGUAAUGAAUUUCUAUUACAUGCAAGCUUAUAAAUUCCAAAAGUGUAACUGAUGCUCUUUGUGGCCUUGGAAAAUGUAUUGAUUCUGUGUGCUCUAGCGAUUCACAUUUAUUGUCCCCAUUGAUUUUCUUUUUCCUUUUUUUUAUGUUAUGCCAGAGGUAUACGCCAUAUUUGGGAUAUUAUGUGAUUGACUUAUGCUAGUGUAGACUAUUGUAAAAAAGUUCUGCUGGUUUCUUUGAGAGUGAAACCUGUGCUAGUUUCGUCUUUAGUGGGCUGAUCGUUGUUUAUGAAAUUAAGAUGAAGGUAGGGUGUUUUGUGGUGGAGCAGAACUUAUUUCUUGAAAGUUUAACGAGGAAAUUUAUUGAAAAAUGUGCUAAGGAGCUGCGUUUAACAAAGUAAUGUACUAGAGAUUACAGCCUCUCUUUAUGGUGACUAUUCAAUCAAACGAUUAAUUAAAGGAUUAGAAAAACAAAAGAUUAAUUCCACAGGGCUAGCUCAAGAAUUUGCUCCCAUUUCCAAUCCCUGUCUAAGUGUAGCAUUAAUCAAUCACUUAGGAGCUGCUCUAAGAACAGCUUGGUUAACCUUAUGAGAAUAGGCUCAUGCCAGCUUGGGUCAUUGCAUGCAGUCAAGGGAGUCUGACCCAUGCCACACCGACAAAUAUAGCUGAGGAACAUAACUCUCAAGGAAAGCAAAAUGCAAGGUUAUUUGACCCUUGCUCUGUUAUAGGACUAGCAGGUUGGGUCAACAUAGAAACUGUCUAGUUGGUCCCUCUUCCAGCUAGUCUCACUUCUUGUAAUAACUCUCUUUAAUUUUGUGUUUGUCACUUUAGUAAAUGAAUGAACCUUUACUUUCAGUAGAUUUUCACAUGGUUAUGCUAUUGUAAUUUCUCAUGAAAUUUUUGAAAAUCUUUCAAAUGCCUGACAAUAUAACUGGUUUUUCUUUAUAAUCAUAACUUCCUCUUUGUUCUCAUUGGACCACUGGUUCAACUGAAUUGUCCCCUUUCUUCAGUUUAUAGAGUUGGGUUUGAUUCCUAUUAAAGAGGACUUAUACAUUUGUGGUACUUGGAAAAUUCAGUUUUUGGGUUUUAUACCUUCCAAAUGUUGUGAAAUGUACAUGUUAUAUAUGCAUUGAGGUGUAUGCUUAUUGUCACAAGUUGGCCUUCUUUUGCAGGGAGAAAGGAAUUUUAAUAGAUUUGGGGGGUGGCUGGGAAAGAACUCAACACUUGGAAAAAAUUCGAGGCUCUUGGAAGAUUUGCAUGUCCAUCUUCUCGCUUCUCGUGAAUCUAGUUCGGGGAGGUAGUCUCUGUUCUACGUUUGAACUUCUGGUCACUAACCUAAUGCAUUUGUCUUUGAGUUUUGCAAUGGCUUAUGCCAACAUAUAAACGUUGUUGACUUGUAUAAGGACUGAAAUUAAUUUACAACCAAUGAUGUUUUUAAGGGUAAAUGUCUCCUUGGAACCUUAGGUCCUUUUGUAAACUUUUAUUUUCUUGUCUGCACAUUACCAGUGUCUCCUAGGAAAGAAACUUAACUUUUUUAUAUUUAUUUUGGAGCCUAAUGGUUAUCUUAAAAUUUCCCUUCUGUUUUUUGUCCUACUGUUCCUUGCCUUUUAGCUUGAAAAUUUUAGAAAUUUCCAUGUGCAAUCUCUGGAUUACUUUUGAUAUAAUAUAUUGGAUUAGUAAAUGUUUAUCAUAUAGUUUAUAUAAGGUUUUUAUUAGUAAAUAUGUGUUCAUUUCAAAGCAAUAGGGUGGAAGCACAAAACUAUGUUCACUCAAUGGUGUUCUUAGGAUGCUGAUUUACUUAGCUUCGUAGAUUCUUUGAUCAUAAGGUUCAGAUAUGCAAGGCAAAAUGUUUUUCUUGGGGUAUCCUCUGUUUGACUAACUAGAUAGAGUCUAGAAGCUAGUAUCCUCUGUUCUAGUCUCUUUGUGUUCUGUUCUCUUUACUGCAAAUGCAGUUUUAAUCUCAUCAUAGUCUGCUUCAUUUCUUUGCUGGUGCUAUUGGAAAGAGUUCGUUUGUCUGGAGGGAGAGAUGGUAUGAGGCGUUGGGAGUUGGCAUCUUCAGGAUAGUUCUCUUGAAAAUCUGUUUUUAGAAAUUUAAUUGAUAGAUCUGAUCAGUCAGUUUUUGCUCCAGCUGAGGUGAUAUGUGAAGCAAAGGUUUUGGGUUGGCUUGUGGUUCACAAGAGGGUGAGCACAUGUGGCUUGCUUCAGAAUAAGAGACCUAAUUGCUGCCUUUCUCCAAGUUGGUGUAAAAUGAAAGGAAGAUGCAGAUUGUUUGUUUGUCCAUUGUCCUGUAGCAUAAAACUUGUGGUGACUAUUCAAGGAGGCUGGAGUGAGUUGGGUAAUUCCACAAGGGUGCCAUUCAUUGCUUAGUGAAAGUCUUGCUGCUUUCGGUGGAGGAAAGAAGGCUAGAGUGUUAUGAGGUUGUUGCAGGAGGGCUAUCUUGAGGAUUUUUGACAAUAAAUGAGGGAUGGGGGUAGAAGCGCUGUGGGAGAGGGUGAGGAUUUUGUCGUCCCUUUGGGCUUCAGUUACAUCCAAAUUCAGGGAUCUUAAUUUCUCUUCUUAAUUUGCUAAAUUGGGAAGUAUCCGUAGCAUAAUGUGUUUGUUGUAGGUUUCGUUGAUUUCACUUGUAUCAGUUCUUUGUUUUUGGUAGACUCCUUGUUCACCACUUCUUGUGUCUAUUUCAUUAUCUUUUCAUAAAAAUUGACCUAUUUUGUCCCCCUUGAAAGGAUCUAAGUUUCUUAUGCUGUAAAUUAUUCAGGGAAACCCUGCGAGUUGAAUACCUUUCUCUUCUUCUGAAACGAUUGACCGUGCCACUCCGUGAACUUCCUAAGGUUGGAAACAAUCAAUUUUUGGUUGCGUAUGAAUCUUUAUAUCAAUAACAAAAGAUGUAAAAUAGUUGGGUUGAAGAUCAGUUGUAAAUCCAUCUUCUGUGUUUUAAAAAAUUACCAGGAUGAAGCUGUACACAAAGUUGUGGAUUUCAUGAAUACUUACUCCAUUAGUCAGGAUGACUUUGAUACUAUUGUGGAGUUAUCCAAAUUUCAGGUAACCCCACCUAACUUGGUGCAGCUUUGCUACUGUUCUAAAGUUGUUCAUGUUUUCUCAUCGAUACCUUACGUAUCAGGGGCACCCAAAUCCUCUAGAUGGGAUUCAACCAGCUGUAAAGGCAGCGCUGACAAAAGCUUACAAAGAAGGCAGCAAAACAAGGAUGGUACGAGCUGCAGAUUUUGUCACUUUACCUGGAAUGAAGAAGGCUCCUAAGAAGCGGAUUGCUGCUAUUUUAGAACCAUCUGUUGAUGUAAUUGGAGAGAACAAUGAUGAUACUUUGGUUGAGAGUGAAGAAGAAAAUUCGUCAGAUACAGAGGACUUAGGUAAGUUUUUGUCUGUAAUCAUAUUGUUGCUGUUUUCUUAUAUGUUUUUCUCUGUCAUCAGAUUAUUGCUGUUUUGUUACAUAAUUGCAGAUAGUGCAUUUUGAUAGGACUGCUUUAGUUUUAGGAAAUUUUUCACAAAUGGCAAUCUCGCUCUGAAUAAUGCAGUUUGUGAAAAGGUGGCGCCUUUCAGGAACAGUAAGCUGUAUAAUUAUUAUUAUGCGAAAUAAAGAUGGCAUAUGGUAACAUGCUGCACUCCAUAAAAUAAAUGGAGGGAAUGUUCCAUACUGUCUGGGAACAUCGUUUUGAUUCUGAAAAUUGUAAAAAGAAAAGGAAAUGCCGGGAACACGUUUGGAAAUGUUCUUUCAUGAACUGUUCAAUGAUAUAUUAUUUUUUCUGAGCAUCCAUCUCCGGGGAAUAUUGAAAUGAUGCCACAUUUUGCUCUUUGUUUUUGUUCAAGAAACCUGACACCACUAAAAAUGGUUUGUUUUAAAAUUAAUGCAAUUUUCUUAUGAUUGGCCAACAGAAACUUGGCGAUGAAUUUGAUUAUGAUAGGAUUGUAAUGGGUAGAAAAAACUAUGCAAACUAGAAUGCUUCUAGACUCUUUAACUAUUCUGGUUGACUGCGACUUAUUGGUGUUCACUUAGUGAUUGUUCUUUUCACACUUUUUUCAGAAGGUUCUGCGGCUGGUGAGAAACUGCAACAGGAACUUCAAAGUUUAAAUACAAAAGGUAGUUGGUAGCCACAUGGACUCACACACGCCCAUGUUCAUGUCAUUUAGGUGCACUUUAUUUCUGAAUGCAUGAUUUACGUGUGCCUCAUACUAUGUAGGAGUGCAUGUACAAUUCGAUUUGAAGGGUGCAACAAAUUCAAGUGCAAAGAAGACACCAACGGGCAGGGGUAGAGGUGGUUCAUCUGCCGCAGCUGAGAAAAAAGGAGGCCGAGGUUCAGGGCCUGGUGGAAAGAGAAAGAGAUGAAGGGAGGUGAAAGAAGAGACGUUGACUUUCCGUUUUCUUGUAUUUGGCUCGUUUUAUAAGAAAAUGUAAAUAGAUUUUUCCUCCACACAAACAUUUUUGGUAGGUCACUUGGCGAGGAAUGGUAUGUCUUCGGUUGUGUUGGUUUACGAGGUUACUGUUGGUGCUAUUGAAUUUGACUCCAAGAUUCAUCUUUUUGCCUUUAGUAGCGUUUUAUUUUCAUCAACGCACUAGAUAAUGGUUUUAGUAAGAUUAACUUGUGUUAACGGUGGUUUGUUCUUCACUCAUAUAGUGCGUCAGGUGACAAUUCUCAUUGAGUAAUCUGAGAACCAGAGCUUCUACAAAAUCACUUGCCAUAAAUAAUAAGUUCAUAAAAUAUGUUUGUCUGCUUCUAAUCUCACCAUGAGAAAUAUUAAUUAAUCUGCCUUAACAAAAGUAAUGCAAAGUAUUGGUUUGUAUUAAGCUUUGUUGGUUAAUACAAUUUUUUUAAUUUAAAUUUGCUGGUUGUUAAUCUUUAGUUAAGCUUAAUAUUUAGGGAGGGGAGUGUUUCCUCACACACAAAUGUCGGGUUUGAACAUGAGAUUAUUGGUCUGUAAAUUAAGAUCCUUUUUCAGUGGUCUCCGAGUCAAGUCAUGCUUAAAGAAUACUAAUAGGGGAUUUUUCUUUCAUGCGUUUUAUAGAUGUCAAACUUUGUUCAGCUGAUAAAAGUAAAACAUCAAAGCUCAUCACGGUGAUCGAAAACCAGAUGCAUCUAAAUUGCAAGGCAUGCCUUUCUCUUUGUGGUAGUAUAAUGAGCAUCCCUCUCAUACCCUCCAUAAUAAUCCUAAGCAUUAAUGUUGUAAAUUAGAUAAAGAGUGCUGCUAAACAAAUCUUAAAAUUAAUUGAGUACACCCUAUGAUCUAAGUACACUCUAAUAUUUAAAUCAAAAUGUAAAAUUAACUAAGUACAUCCUAGUUAACUACUAAAAAUACCCUUGAUAUACCCUUAUACACUCUAUCACACAACACCCUAAUCAAUCCUAAGCCAGAUUUCUCUUUUUACAUGAAUUCGUGCUCUAUUUUCCGAUUUUGGGUUUGCAGUACUUUUGAGAGAAAUUGGUAAGGACUGGAUUUGUGCACGAAUGAAAUUUUGUGUUGAUUUGUCAAAUUGCAUUGGCUCAUCCAAAAUUUCAACUGCAGCUAUGGCUAAAGAUGGGACCUGGUCGAUUGAGAAGCCAACACUUCAGAACAUGAACAAGCAAGGUGAGCAAGAUUGCUUCAGUUUUAACAUCACAAUAACUGAAGGGGUCCUUUGUAGCAAUGUUUACCUAAAUGGUGUACAUAUUGAUGAUGGUUGUCAUGUCGACAGUUGAAACUAGUGUAACACCCCAUGAUACAACAAGUGGAAUGCUAACCAAGAUAUCUGAAUCCGAUUGUGAAACUCGGAAUCGAUUUAUAAAUUGUAAAUAAUUGAGGGCCUUGAGUGGAGAAUUGAAAGGCAACCUUCUUGAUAACUGACUUGAAACCGCAAUCCAGUUUUCCAAUAAAUGAAUUACGAUUGCUCUAAUAAGGGAGGGAGGGAGAGAGAGAUGGAGACGGGGAGCAAUAAAACGGAAAUAGAAAAGUUUUCUCCCAACUAACGAGGCGUCAAAAGUCUGCAUUUGGACAACACCAAUAAAGGGCAUUUGGAGAAGAUGCUCAACCCAGCAAGAUCAGAAAACUAAUUGUUAGACGUUAGAGUAAAAUUUUCAGAUUCUACGACAGGCGGAUGAAACUCAUUGUUUAUGUAUGUACGGAUAAAAAAUACAUUUGUAUUAUUAUUAACAUAUGGUCAAUAUGUUCUUUUUGGUCAUUUUAUAUAACGGUAAAUUAGUAAUUCAAUAAAUAGUUUGGUAGUAGAGUGUGCUUAGUUAAUUUUAAGGUUUAUUUAGCAACACUCUAGAUAAAUCCAUACAUACGUAAAACGAGCAUAAUAAUAGUAGCUAGUAGGAAUUAUAUCCCAACAAUUCAACAAGAACGAACAAAGUAGUGAUAUUCUCACUCUCAUAGCAAUACUACAAAUAAUAGGACAAAACAAUAUUUGUAAACACACGAGUGGUCCAUAUAGUUCUCCAGAAAUCCCUAAAAUAGAUCUUGCAUCUAGGUAUGCAACACCACAUGAAAGGCCCAUACCAUAUGUGAUUAUGAACCUUUAUUUAACUACAUAUAGAUAUAGUAGUACAACAAAUAUUACUGUCCGGCUGGGAAACGAAACCGUCAAUAUGCCACUGACAAUAUGCCGAUAUAAUUGUCGCAAACAAAACGUACUCACAUGUUAUCGAUACAAUUUCACCAAUAUUAACGGACAUAUAUUAUUUCAACAAUGUCGAUGCACACAACCUUUAUUUAAUAAAGAACUGAUGGCUUGCAUAGAGAACUUCUGAGAUAUUCAUCAGAGACAUAUAUGUAUACACCAUUUUUAUUAAGGGGUGGUGGUUAUUGAAGGUGGAGAGAACGGAAAUAUGGGAGUUGAUGGGAAAUUUGGAAGUGAAGUAAUAAUAGGGGGAGGCAACCUAUAUUCUGGCCAUAAAGGUGCGGGGGUCAGAGGAGGAAACUUCAGGUUCCGAGGAGGAAACUUCAGGUUAGGGAUCUUAGGCAGCUUAUAAUGAGGAAAGGUAGGGGCUAAGAGUUUUCGAGGAGCGGCGAAAGCUAAAUGUGUGCUUGAAAGUAAUGAAGCGACGACAAAGAUAGCUAUGACAAACGAUUUCCAAGUGGCCAUCUUAGUGUGUGGAAAUAAAGCUGAUGAAAUUUGAUGUGGACGAGAAGACCAGCCUAUGGUUAUAAUUUAUAACGUUGAUUCCAUUGGGAACAAGAACAACCCCAUUUAUUUUUGGUUUUAAAUGCUGUAAAAUUCUGUUGAAAAAUAAAAAUAUGUCAGAUGCCGGUAUGGGUCAAAAUUUAGAAUAGGAUAGUACUAAUUUGUAGUUUUCCAUUAAAAGUCUCGCAGUUGGUAGGUACACCUAUCAUUGUCUUGGUUUCUAUUUUGCUUUGCCAUGCCAUUCUUCACAAAGAGAUAUGCCAUUUUUCUCGUUCUUCUUGAAAAGGAAAGGUUGAUAGAAUAAUUAAUCUCAAAGAUAAAAUAGACUUUGGCUGGAAAGGGAUAAUGAAAUGAUUGAAAAAGGCGAUGCGGCCCUUUGUUGUUUUGUUGCCGAUAACAAUAUAUAUAUAUAUAUAUAUAUAUAUACAGAGAGCUUUCAUUGAGGGAUCCUUCAAAUAAGCUUAUUUGAGGGACACCCCUUGUAGGCCCCAUUCCGGAUUGUAUUUCACUAAUCCAAACCGUCUAUUUUGUACAUACUCAUUCAAAGAUCAUCUCAACAAAAAAUCACUUGAAUCCGAUAUUAUUUGACCACUCAAUUAAGCUAUUGAAAUUUUAGCAUUUUCUUGAAGCAUCGUAUUCUUUGAUUUUGUAAGACACAAUUGGAUGUCGAAAUGGUUUCCGAUUUGUCUAAUUUUUUGUAAGGAUGAUCUAUGAAUAAAGACCUAAAAAAUAGAUGGUUUGGAUCAUUGGGAAAAAAAAUUGUGGGGUACCCUAAGGGGUGUCCCUCAAAUAAAAUUAUUUGAGGGAUCCCUCAAUAGAAGGGGACUGAUAUAUAGAGAGCUUCUAUUGAGGGAUCCCUCAAAUAAGCUUAUUUGAGGGACACCCCCUUGUAGGCCCCAUUCCGGAUUGUAUUCACUAAUCCAAACCGUCUAUUUUGUACAUACUCAUUCAAAGAUCAUCUCAACAAAAAAUCACUUGAAUCCGAUAUUAUUUGACCACUCAAUUAAGCUAUUGAAAUUUUAGCAUUUUCUUGAAGCAUCGUAUUCUUUGAUUUUGUAAGACACAAUUGGAUGUCGAAAUGGUUUCCGAUUUGUCUAAUUUUUUGUAAGGAUGAUCUAUGAAUAAAGACCUAAAAAAUAGAUGGUUUGGAUCAUUGGGAAAAAAAAUUGUAGGGUACCCUAAGGGGUGUCCCUCAAAUAAAAUUAUUUGAGGGAUCCCUUAAUAGAAGGGGACUGUAUAUAUAUAUAUAUAUAUAUAUGUUAUAUUGUUGUUUGGGUGUGGUCUCCAAUUCCAAGUCAAGUCACGUCAAGUCAAUGGUCUCAAUUUCAAGCCAAGUUAAUAGACUCAAUUUCAAGCCAAGUCAAGUGGUUCCAAUUUCAAACUAAGUCAAGACAGACUCAACUUCACAAGAAAUUAUUAUUUACAAUGAAAGUAAAUAAAUGAAAGACCAAGGAGUUUUGGUUGGGAUUUCACUCAAAGGCGAACUAGUGGCCCAUGGAUUCUCUCUCUCUCUCUCUCUCUCUCUCUCUCUCUCUCUCUAUAUAUAUAUAUAUAUAUAUUUAAUACGAAGGAGUAAGAAGUCAUAUGAACUUUGGCCAAGUUUCUUGAAAAUGCCAAAUUGCCUAAAGAUCUUUAGGCAAAAAGAUCUGAUGAAAGUUCGAAGGCUAACUUUAUGGCUUUAUACUAUCUAUAUAAUAAUAUUUAAACUCAACAUGAUGCAGAUGGACUCAUUAGAAUUCUAAAUCACCCAACAUCAGUGGAUUAUGUUUAAUCAAAACUAGAAACUCCGGAAACCAUGAUGUCUCACCAGAAGAAAAUAAUGCCCUGUUGAAACUGGUGAGUUCGUACUCCAUUGGUACGCUGAGAAGGCUAGACAUGCUGCAGGUUUCUAAUGAAAAGAUUCUGGGAGACCAGGAGAGACUCAUGGCUAAGCUUAAGAGGCGCCAUUCUCUUCCUUCAGAGGCUUCCAGAACAUAAUGUAAUCUUUUAGAUUUUACAGAGCCUGCACCUUUAUUGCAGGUGGAAAAUCUAUCUGUUGUAUGCCUUCUUUCAUGUUAUAAUAAUUGUGCAAAUUCUUAAACUUGCACCUGUGGUUUUUACGUCUUUUCAAAAUGACGAUUUGGAACCUUGUGUCUUAUAGGUUCAAGUAACCACAUCAAAUCUCUCAAAUUACAUAUUUCAAUGCAUGUGAGCCCGGAACUUCUGGCUCGGGCUAAACACGACCUCAGAAUUUAUUCGCCCUUUUCAAAUAUGCAUGAAAUAUGAAUUGAGGAAAAGUCAUGAUAAUAUUGUAAUAUAGUAGUGAAGAGCAUUAACUACUAUAUAAUCAAAACUUCAGGUUCAGGACUUUUCAUAUAUUGGGAUCAAUGGGCUUCUAGCCCAGAUCAUAUAAUAUAACCAAAUAUGUGGGGAGCCUCAAUUCAUCAUUUGAGGUUUAUCCUGAUAUUAUCCAUUUCAUGGUGCAUUCUUAACAACCGGAAUUCACAAAAUAUAUUUCUUCCUUGAGGUGUCGAUUGUAACAGAAUUGAACUUUAUUAAAUUUAUCAUUUCUUAUGCCAAAGAAAUAUGUGGUGUACCACAAUUUGCAAUAAUACCUCAAGGGUUGCCCAUUUAACUAUAGGAACUUCAAGUUCUCAAUAUUGCCAUAUUUUAAACUUUAUGCCAAAAUCAUAUAUUCUUAUAGUAUGGGCAUUCAAUACUCUUAGAUUUUGAACUUCAGGCCAAAAUCACAUAUUCUCAUGGUAUGAACAUUUUUACAAUUUUCUGUAUGUAUUUUGGGACUUCAAGCACUUACAUAAUUGUCCAUAUUUUGAGAAACUUCUGGCAUCUCAUUUAAUUGCUCAUUUAUGAGUUUAAGGAACUGCAUGUUCCCUUUUGUAUAUAGUGACAAUUUACCCAAAAUGGUUAAUAUUUAUGCAUAUGUCACUAUUCAUGUAUACGAUACUAUUCAUCAAGUCAUGAAUACGUAUCUAUUCAUGUGUACAGUACAUUUGCUAGUACAGUUAUUAUUUAUGUGUACAUCACUUUUAACCAAUACGGUACUGUUGCAUCAUCAAGGAACUCUAGGUCUUUAUUUACAUGUCAAGGAUCAAGGAUCUUCAAGUCCGAUAUCUUGUUUACAAGUAUAGUAAACAAGAGAUUGUCAGCUCUCAUAUCAUUAUCAUCAUCAAGGAUCUUCAAGUCCUGAUGUAGUUGUAUGAUGGGGAUCAAAGAACUUUUGGUCCUGAUCUGUAUGCUGUAAAAACUCAUCAUACUGCACAAUUAAUCCAUAAAAUAAAUUGCUUGUAAAUAAAUUGCUUGAUGUAUGGACGUUAAUCCUGCGCCAUACCUUAAAUAAAAUUAAAUAUGCGGUAAAGUAAAUUCAUAAAUUAAAUUGCUUGCUGUACGGACGUUAAUCCCACACCAUACCUUAAAUAAAAGUAAAUGUGCAAUAAAGUAAAUUGCUUGUUGUAUUGGAGUUAAUUCCACACCAUACAAUAAUAAAGUAAAUGUGCUUGUAUGAGCACUAAUUCUGCUCCAUACUUUUAAAUAAAAGUAAAGGCAGUUGUGUGGACGAUAAACCUGCACCACACUUUUAAAUAAAUAUUGUUGUAUGGGUAAUAAACCUACACCAUACAAGAAAUAAAUUGUAUGAGUAAUGAACCUACACCAUAUAGUAAAUAAAAUAACUGUGGGAAUAAAACCACCACUAAAAAUAUAGGAAGUGAAACCGUCUAUUUUUAUUAGUUGUUAGUAAUAUGAAAGCAAAUAAGUAUAUUAUAUUACUAUCAACUUUUCAUAUCAAUAUUAUAAUUAUAUAUAUAAGAUAACCAUAUAUAAUAAAUUGACAGUUAUCGCUUCUGACAAUCGUGGAUUAUAUAUACUAGAUUAAGACUACCAUAUCAAAUAAUAUUCUAUAAAUAUCACUUGUGUAUAUACAUAUAACUUGAGUAUAUUGCCAUUUAUAUAUAUAAUAUGUUAUAUCAAAACCAAAAAGUUAAUGAUGCUUUAAUAUAAUAUAUAAAGCAACCAUAUAUCAAAAGGAAUCAUGGCCGACAAUGAAUCAUUGCAUAUGUGCAUGUUUUCAACUUUGUUGCUUUCACUCCUGCCAUUAGCACUCAAACUGUUUGUAUAAUCAGCAUAUAUAUAUAAGGUAGCAUUGAAUAAUGUAAAGUAUUAAUAAACGAAGAAGAUGAAAAAAUAGUGAGCUUAUCAUGUUUUGGUGGAUUUGCUCGUAUAUCUCUCUAGCAGACCACAGCUCCUUCUCUUUUCUUCCUUACAUCAACACAAUGAUCAGUAGUAUAAAUAAUAGUGCAACACAAAAAUUAUACAUGAGAGCUUCUCGUGCUAAUAACGUGUUAUACAAUAACUGGAAUAUGUGCGAAUAUUGAGCUGCACGUAAAGUGGAUGAGAAACAGUAACUUUUCCACUAUGUAAAAUAAUAGGGCUACAACUUUAGUGUUUACAAUAUAUGUAGCUCACUAAUUUUUCUCUCUUGGAGAAUUUCUCUCCUCUCACCCACUCUCUUUCUUUCUUUUCUUUCCUUCCUCUCUGCCUGACUCUCUUUCUUCUCUCAGUUGGAGUCUUCACCAAAGGAAGGGGGGAAGCCUUAUUUGUAGGCAGAAUUUUGUGGCUGCUUACUCAUUUCUCUUUGGCUUCACGUGGGUGUUGACAAGCAUCAUCAUUACUCUUCAAUUAAUUAGGUAGUGUGCUCUACCAUUUUGGCCUCCACAUUCUUGACUUUACAACAAGUAUAUAUUUUAAUAUGGAGGAGUAAGAAGUCACAACUUUGGCCAAGUUUCUUGAAAAGGACAAAUGGCCUAAAGAUCUUUAUAAAAAAGAUCUAAUGAAAGUUCGAAGGCCACCUUUAUGGCCUUAUACUAUCUAUAUAAUAUUAUUUAGACUCAACAUAUAAGGUAUAAUCAUAGUCUAAAAUAUCGAUAAUAUCGACGAAAUUAUCAUUUUUUCGAGUCACAAAUAUUUGGAACGUAUCCACACAUAUCGUAUAAAUAUCGAUAAUAUCAGAAAAUAUCGAUGUCGAUAAUUGUGCUCACUCACUACUACAAAAAAGGAAAAAGACGACGGUAAAUCACCGUCGUGUAUUCGAUUUUUCAAUGGUCGUGGAAUCCACCGUCAUCUUUUCCCUCAUAUACCACGACGCUAAAUCACCGUCGUUGUUAAAAUAUACAACGUCAUCAACAAAUACAAAACGACGUCUUUGUACUGCAAAAAGAUCUAAAAAAGCAGUCGAGGAUGAGAAUAGACGACCAACUCUCUAAAAAAACCGUCGUUAAAAAGGAAAAAUAUGACACAUAUUAAGAGAACAAGGCCGCAAGAUAGACAUACAACGACGGAAAUAAAACAACGACGCCGUUAAAUAUCAUUUUCACGACAAUAAAAAAUUUGACGUCUUUAAAUACAUUAGAAGACGACGUUAUUGAUACCUACUACGUCGCAUAUAUAAAAACAGCCGUCGUAAAAUUAAUUUUCCACUUCGAUUUUUCGAUAAAAGAUGACGUGGAAAUAGUUGUCAGUGUCAUUAUUUACGACGUAUGUAUUUAUUGAGUAGACGUUGAAAAACUAAACAACGUCGGUUACAAAUAUAUGAGAGUCGUAUUACAAAAUUUAUACGUCAUAUUUUCAGAAACAAACAACGACGAUAAAUAUUAGACGUUGUUAAAUAAAACAACGUCGGAAAACAAUAAAAACAGACGUGUUUAGUCUGCUAAAGUUCUAGAAAAUAGUCGAGGAUGAGAAUAGACGACCAACUCAAACAAAUCACCGUCGUUAAAAAGGAAAAAUAUGACACAUGUUAAAAGAAAAAGGCCGCAAGAUAUACAUACAACGACGACAACUAAAAUUUUACGCCGUUAAAUAUAAUUUACACGACAAGAAAAAAUAUGACGUCUUUAAAUACAUGAGAAGACGACGUUAUUGAAAUAUACUACGUCUCUUAUUUACAAACAACCGUCGUGAAAUAAAUUUUCCACUUCGAUUUUUCUAAAAAAGAUGACGUGGAAAUAGUUGUCAGUGUCAUUAUUUACGACGUAUGUAUUUAUACAGUUGACGUUGAAAUGCGAAACAACGUCGGUGGCAUUUAUAUAGUCGACGUUGUAUUUAUAUCUAUCAUCAUUACUCACGACGCACUUAAUAAUAUAGACGACGUUGAACUUCUAAACAACGUCGGUUCCAAAUAAAUGAGAGCCGUAUUACAGAACAUAUAGACGGCGUUGAUUAUGAUGAGAGCCGUAUUACAAAUAACGUCGUUUAAUUGUUAUUAGACGGCGGUUAUAAUGAAUUUCCGUCGGAAUUCAUUUCGUUCCUCUUCGUUUAUAAAAGAACUUGCGACGUGGAAAAUGUAUGAUGACGUCGUAUUUUUUAACGUUCAGAUUAUAUAUCUCGUUUUUUAGACGUCGGUAUUAUGGGAUUGGAGUCGUGUUAUUUUGAAUUACAUGGCGGUUCUUAAUCCUUCCCCGACGUGAUAUCCUGAUUAAUUGCUUCACAAUUGCGUCGUGGUUCUUCAUUGUUACGUUGCUUUAAGACGUCGGUAAAUAUGCUGAAUAACUGGUUCACAAUAACGUUGUGUUUUAUUUGAACGUAGAAAGUGAAGAAAUCACAUUACAAUAUAUUACAAAAUUAAUGUCAUACACUGCCAAUUACAUAAGCAUCAUUCAAUCCAUAUAUCUUCACACCCAUCUCGAAUAUUUUGACCGCCUAACUCACCCACCAGUUCAUCAAAUGUGUCAACAUUUGGCAUCCCUCUAGUAAAUGGCUCACACUCAAUUAUCACAUCACCUAAGACUUCAUCACCAAUAACAUCAUUAUAUUCUCUAUUAGGCAUUGAUAACACUACCGACCAACCACGAUGCAUCGGGUCGUCAACAAAAAAUAUUUGUUUGACUUGAGAAGCCAAAACAAAUUGGUCAUUCCUAUGUCCAAUUUUACUCAAAUCUACAAGGGUAAAUCCAAGUUCGUCGACUACAAGACCAGAACUAUCUAUCCAAUCACACCUAAAGACUGGGAUUGUAAACUUUUGGUAGUCAAGGUCCCAAAUUUCUUGAAUGACACCAUAGAAACCCAUAUUUGAGAGAAUUGGGUUUUUAUCCUUGGCACUAGCAACUUGCAUGGUAUGUGCAAGUAAAUAAACUCCACUAUUUUGAGUUGUCCGCACAUCAUCUUGUGCCUUGAUAUUGAAUUUAAUACCUUUAAUAAGAUAGCUCCUAUAUAAUGGCACUGACAUGUUUGGACCAGCUGCUAGCCACCUUAAAUUUUCUGAUACGCCAUGAUUGUCUUCCUCAAGUUCACUUUGAACCUGCAAAUUAAUCAUAUCUUAAUUCAAUCUAACAUAUAAAUAAGAAGAAAAUUAAAAGAGAAAUAUGUUAUUCAACAAUAUAUACCUUGAAGCGUAGCCAUUGAAUGAAAGUGCUAUUGUGCUUAUCCUGCAGCCACUUUGUUCUCUUUCUAAAUUUUGGAUAAGCAGUCUUGAUGUGAAUCAUAUGUUGCCUACAUGACACGAAAAAUUCAAGCAUUACGGUCCUAAAUAUAGAAGAUAAACAUAAGAAAUAAUUUAAAAUGGAAACUUAAAGAAUAAAGCUCAUACGUACUCGAUAUAAGGUAGGACUUCCUCCGUAUUCUCCAAGACAUAUAGAUGUGCUUGAUUCAACAGGUCCUGAUCAACUACGCUCACUGUGCAACCUGAUAAUGGCUUUGAAAGUCCCAUCUUUUGGCUUGAAGGCACUCCAACUGUACUAACAUCAGAUAAAUGCUGAGUACAACACUCUACCGCUUCUUCAGCUAUAUACCGCUCAGCAAUGCAACCUUCGGGACGAGUACGAUUCUGAACAUACCCCUUCAGCACUUUCAUAUAUCUUUCAAACGGAUACAUCCACCUAAAAUAUACUGGCCCACAUAGACGAACUUCUCUGACAAGAUGUACUACUAGAUGAACCAUGAUAUCAAAGAAUGAAGGGGGAAAGUACUUCUCAAGCAAACACAGAGUAACUACUACAUCUUCUUCCAACUUAUCUAGCUUGGAAACAUCAACAGUCUUUGCACAUAUAGCAUUGAAGAAGAAGCACAAACGAGUUAUUGCAUACCUUGCAGGCUUCUCCAAAACAGAACGAAUUGCCACAGGGAGCAAUUGUUGCAUUAAGGUAUGACAAUCAUGUGAUUUAAGGCCAAGAAGUCUUGAAUCUUGUAAAGAUACAAGAUUUUUAAUAUUUGAAGAAUAACCUUCAGGGACCUUCAUACCAUAGAAAGAAUUGCAAACCUCUCUCUUCUCUGCUCUUGACAAAUUCCAAGGCCCAGGAGGCAAACGAGUACGUCUUUCUCCAUACUCGGGUUGCAAAUCAGUUUUGACCCCCAUGUUCAAUAAAUCUAAUCGAGCAGCAAUCCCAUCUUUAUUUUUUCCAGGGAUCUCCAGCAAUGUACCAAUGAUACUAUCGCAAACAUUCUUCUCAAUGUGCAUAACAUCUAGGGCAUGCCUCACAGGAAGGUAUUUCCAAUACUCGAGAUCAAAGAAUAUUGAUUUCUUCUUCCAACAAACUCUGUCACCAUUUUCAACCAUAUGCAGCACUUCUUCUCCGGUUAAUGGCUCGGGAGGUAUGCCAUAUUCAGGUUUCCCAUUAAAAGCUGCACGUUGCCUCCUAUAUGGAUGAUUGAUUGGUAACCAUUUUCUAUGCCCAAUGUAACAAAUUUUGUGGCCAUUUUUCAACCUGUGACUAGGUGUAUCAUCGCCGCAUAUUGGACAAGCUUUAUAUCCUUUAACAACAGAACCAGAUAAGUUUCCAUAGGCGGGGAAAUCAUUAAUUGUCCACAUUAAUGCAGCUCUGAGUGUAAAGUAUUCUCCAUUAUGUGCAUCAUACACUCCUCUAAUCCCAACCCACAAGGAUUUUAAAUCAUCAAUCAAAGGCUCCAAGUAGACGUCUAUAUCAUUUCCGGGUUGUUUAGGACCGGAAAUCAAUAAGGUUAACAUCAUGAACUUUCGUUUCAUGCACAGCCAUGGAGGGAGAUUAUAUGUAACUAAGAUAACCGGCCAACAACUAUAUCUGCUACUUAGAGAACUGUGGGGAUUGAAUCCAUCAGAUGAAAGAGCCAAUCUCAAGUUUCUCGGCUCAUUACCAAACUCAGGCCAUUUAUCAUCAAGAAGUUUCCAAGACGGGGAAUCCGCCGGAUGAGACAUCUGACCGUCAAUUGAUUUUCUAGCAGCAUGCCACCAAGUCAAACUCUUAGCUGUCUCAUGUGAUUGAAACAUCCUUUUAAACCUUGGAAUUGGGGGAAAAUACCACACCACCUUCGCUGGCACACCCUCUUUCAAGAUUGAAUCUUUGCCUUCCUUCCACCUUGAGAUACCACAAGUAGGACAAUUAGUUGAAUCCUCAUACUCCUUCCUAUACAAGAUGCAAUCAUUGGGGCAUGCGUGCAUUUUCUCAUAACUCAGCCCCAAUGCACACAAAGUCUUUUUAGCCUCAUACAUGGAGGUUGGUAUUGUAUUUCCUUCUGGAAGCAAAUCGCCUUGAAGUAUCAAUAAUUCUGUAAAACAGACAUCACUCAUCCCAUGUUUUGCCUUCAAAUUAUACAACUUCACUAAUGCCGAUAACUUCGUGUACUUUCUACAACCAGGGUACACUGGUUGAUCUCCAUCCCCAAUCACAUUGGCAAACUCAUACGGAUCCGAACCAAAAUCACCAAAAUCAUUAUCAUCCAUAUCAAUUUCUUCAGACACAAAACUGUACCUACUAUGGCCAUCAUCUUCUUCAACAUUUCUACUAGCAUUAGUAGUUGCUUCCCAAGGUUCUCCGUGAAAUGUCCAAUUCUUAUAGCUUUGGUCAAUUCCAUUAAAGUAUAAGUGAUCCCUUAUAAUUCCAACCCCAAACAACUUCAAAUUAACACAUUUAACACAUGGACAACGGAUAUGUGUUGUAGUUAGAAGAUUUUCUACAGCAAAGUUCAAAAAUGCUUCCACCCCAAAUUCAUAUGCCUUCGAUCUUCUAUCCGAGUGCAUCCAUGACUUAUCCAUCUCCGACACUAUAACCUAUUAUCUAUAAUAAAGUGAAAAUACAGGCAAUGACCAUCACUAUAGCAGAUUAUAAAAUGAUCUAAUCGCAAGUAAUACACAACAGAGACGACGGGUUUUAAACAAAAACAGACGUAUUUGGCAUAUAUAGACGACGGAUUUUCAACAGACGUCGUCUAUUAUAAGUAAUACAAACGACGGUUUAUGAAAAAACCGUCGUGUAUAAGUAAUACAACGACGGUAGUUUAAAAAAAUCGUCGUGUAAUCGUCGUCGUAAGCCUUAAAAUUCGUCGUGUCUCAGUUUAUUUUCAAGAACACAAAACCCAUUAAGAACACAACAUAUAUAUGAAACCAAGCAAGAAACCAACAUAUACAUGAAACCAAGCAUGAAAACAAUAAAUCCAUUCCCAAUUCAACAUAACAGAUAAUCCAUGAACCCAUUAAACAGAAAAUCCAUGAACCCAUACCUAUAAGCACAUUAUUAACAGAUCGCAAAGCAUACACAUAAAACCCUUUAACAAAACAACCUAAUAUAACUCGAAUCGUUACUAGAAUCAUCACUCGAAUCCCCAUCUUCAUUAUCAGUUUCUUCCUUCGUAGGUACUAUUUGCUCCCCAUCAUUUUCUCCAUAGCGGAAAAUGACAAGAUCAAAUAAAGGUGUACUUUUGCUGGAAAUCAUUUGGAAGUUGGUGAUCUGUGUCUUUUUGUGUUGAUUUCCAGCAAAAGUACACCUUUAUUUGAUCUUGUCAUGAACCCAUUAAACAGAAAAUCCAUGAACCCAUACCUAUAAGCACAUUAUUAACAGAUCGCAAAGCAUACACAUAAAACCCUUUAACAAAACAACCUAAUAUCAUUCAAUGAAUUUACAAGGGGAAGAUAGGGUUUAUACUUACAGGUUGGACGAGCUCACAGAUUCGACGGAGCCUGGAGAGUGCAACUUUUAAUUAGAGCAGAAGUGAGAGAGCGAAAUGUUAUGUCGCGCGAAAUCUGAAAAUUUAAGGUUUCAGGGUUCGAAGUAUAAGAAUAAGAGCCAAAUCUAAAAAAAUUUAGGUCGCGCGAAAAUUUUUAGAGUUCGCGCGUUUUAAAACGUCGAAAGAAAAACCAAGGCGAAAGUUCUACACGUACCGACGUAAAUUUAAUAUUCCACGACGGAAACUUCAUUUUUCGGAUUAAGAACGUAAGGCCGUUCAUUUUGAAGCUUCAUUUUUCGGAUUAAUUUUAAAUUUAUUUUGAAUUUUUUAUAUAACGACGACUGAAAAACCACGUCGGUGUUAAGAAAUUAAAGACGUUGUAAAUUAUAUAAACCGACUUACAUAUUAAAAUGACGUCGUUUAAAGCGUAAACCAUGUCGUAUGUUUUUCUGUACGACGUAAAAUAUGUAUUCCACGACGCAACCACCGUCGUUAAAAAUUAAUACCCUAAACCCAUAAAACUAAAUUAUACAAUUUAAAAAAUUAAGUUUAUAAAAGGUUUUAUGGUUUUAAAGCCUAACAUAUACCCUAGACUACCCAAAAAUUAUACUUUAAAAAUAAACCCCAAUAAAUAACAACCCUAAUCUCUAAACCCUAGACUCUAAACCCUAAACCAUAAAACUAGAAGUGAUUUUAUGACUCAUCAAAACAAUUUUGUUUUGGAUGGUCAUUUUAAAUUUUUGUUAUUCAAAAUGAAUUUUUUCAAGGUUUAUGUGGAAGAAAAUAUAUCAAUGACUUCAUAGGAGUUGACUUUUCAAUUUUCUGAUUUAUUUUAAAUUUAUUUUGAAUAUUUUGAUAUAAAAAUAAUAAAAUAUUCUUACCACAACAACAAACCACGUCGGUGUUAAUAAAUUGUAGACGUUGUAAAUUGUAAUAGACUACUAAGUCGUUAAAAUGACGUCGUUAAAAUGAGAAACCAUGGCGGCUAUUUAACUAUACGACGUAAAAUAUAUAUAUCAACGACUUAACCGCUGUCGUUACAUAAACGUCGUCGAUGAUACCCUGAACCCUUAAGAAAUUGAAGAUGUUGUAAACCAUAAACGACUCAAUUGUUCAAAGAACGUCGUCUAACUAUAUUUUUACGUCGUAUUUGUUUAAAACACGAAACAACAAAAUACGACGGUUUGUGACUUUAUUAGGUCGUUGGAAAAGUAUUACACGUCGGUUAAGCAAUUUGUAUGUUUGUUUUUUUUUUAAUUUAAGAAAACCUCAACAAAUUUUUACAUUACAUAUUAUAGAGAAAAUUUGUACAUUAUACAUAAAUAUCAAGUGUUCAAUAAUUGCCCUGUUUAAUAAUUUGGAAAACAAACUCUGCCCAUUCAUUCCGGACUUCAUCAAUGGCUUCUUGGGGGUAUGAAGCUUCCUGGUUUCCCUUGGCAUACUGCAUAAACAAUGACUAUUAGGGUUUAUAAAUAAAAAGAAAUUCAAUCACAGACGACGAUAUUUUUCAUAACCGACGUAGUAUAUCCAUUCAACGACGUUAAUUUUACAUGACCGUCGUUGAUAAUACAAAAAACGACGUGAAAUGUAUGAAGGUAAUUUCUUCUUACCUUAUUCUCAAACCCCAAGGAAGGAUCCAUGAUGAUGUCCCUCAUGAAGCGCAUCACAUAAUACCCGCAUUCGACAUUGCUGGGUUGCUUUGGUGUGCCUGAGAGAGUUUUCCAAAUUACAUUUUUACGUCCUGCUCGGGCUAUGUGGGUAUUAUAUAUUUUUAAAGCACUGUUCACGAUGUUUUUCGCCUCUUCGUCGACCACACGAUGACCUGGCAGAGGAUCCAGAAAAUAGACGGUCUCCUUCUUUGCUCUUACAAUCAGCAAGAUCCAAUGACGGCUGCACAAAAUUAAUAUAAAAACGACGGUUAUUUACAAAAACGACGUAUUAUAGUAUUCACACGACGAAANNNNNNNNNNNNNNNNNNNNNNNNNNNNNNNNNNNNNNNNNNNNNNNNNNNNNNNNNNNNNNNNNNNNNNNNNNNNNNNNNNNNNNNNNNNNNNNNNNNNCGACGGUUUAUUUACAAAACCGACGUAUAAUAGUAUUUCCACACGACGAAAUAAAGUAGAUAACGACGACAUUAUAUAUUUAUCACGACGAUAAAUAAAUACCGACGUGGUUAGUAGUUUCAAACGACUAAAUAAAAUAAAACACCGACGUGGUUAGUUUAUAAUCUGUCAUUUAUUGAAAAUCAUAAAAACAAAAUCCUAAGGAGACUAACCCUGGAUUGUAAGGCAUCAUGAAAAUCUGUUCACCCGUCUGUCUUCUGAAGUCGAGCUGCUACCAGUCGUGAUCUUUCAGUUAUUGUGCCAGAGUUGGCACUAACUGUAGCAGGGUCGAUAAAGCCAACCAUGCUGCACAUAUUGGCUUGUUUCAAAACAUCGUGUAAGUACCUAAAUACAUAAAAUAAUAUAAACAAGUCAGCACAAACAAACAUGACGGUUAUGUAUAAAAAAACGACGUAUUAUAAUAUUUCACACGACGUACUGAAAUAGAUGAGGACGUUAUAAUAUAUUUAUCACGACGGUAGUUAGUUAAGACGACGUGGUUAGUUAGUUAAGACGACGCAAUAUAUAAACCAACGAGGUAUUAUUUUAGAAGUACAAACCUCAUAUAUACAGCCAAUACAGUAGCUCCAAUUUCUUCCAUGCCUGCAAAUUGUGUAAUAUCUUCAGGCAGGAGGAAGGUAUCGCGCUCACCACCAAACACCUCCUUAUUAAUUGUAAAUUGGAGUGUCUUAUCCUCAGGCAGGAGUGUCGUUUCCACAAAACGACAAAGGGUUUUUAAAGAAGAUGGCGCCUCCAUAUUUGAAUAAGCACCAACUUCAAUAACCUGUUUAAAGAAAUAAAAAAAAUGACAUGGUAAUUCAAUAAAGACGACGGUUUAAGUAAUAAAACGUUGUCUUAAAAGUAUUUAAACGACGGUGAAAAAACCGUCGUGGUAAUUCAAUAAAGACGACGGUUUUAUGAAUAAAGCGUCGUCUGAAACCAUUUAAACGACGGUGCAAAAAUCGUCGUUUAAAUAUUUUAUUACGUCUUAAAAAAAUUCCGCCGUCUAAGUUUUAAACAAACGACGGAUUAAAUAAAAAUAUCGACGUCUGAAAUUUUGAAAAACAAAUAAAAAAGGCAAAGUUAUGUGAACAUACCUUGUCGUCAUGCUUUUCUUCAUCUUCUUUCUCCUUUUCUUCUUCCUUCUCUUCAUCUCUUUUUUCUUCUUCCUUCUCUUCAUCUGGCUGAUGUUUCCCCAUUUUGGCAGUAUCAUCCUCCAAAUGUAGGGAUCUCACAUCACCUCCAGAGCAGCUAGCUUUGUCAGACAUUGGAUUUUUGGGGCUUUGGCUAAUUCUUGGUUUAAGCAUGCUUGGAUCAAAAUUGGGAAUUAAUUGGGAAAGCUGACUCAGGAAAUGCUCCCUCUCAGCCUCUACCAAUUGUUUUGUCCUAGCCUCCAUCCUUAAGGCCUCUUCCCUUGCCUUAGCCUCCAUCUUUUUAGUCUCUUCUUGAAGGAGAACUCUUAAACUGUCCUUCAAACGGUCGUCAAAGCUCACCCUCUGUGGUUUGGGAAAAUUGAAAUAUUGCCUUGGGGAAACACCAGCACCAACUCCCCUCAGUCUGCCUGGAUGCUCGGGGCCCAAAGCCAUGGUCAGCACAUCAUUGCUGCCAUCUACUCUGACUUUGCCUUCCGAGACUUGUUUCUGCAAUUCAUCCUAAAAAAAGAUAAACAAAAAAACACACGACGGUUAUUUAUGUACAAACGACGUAUUAUAUAAUUUCACACGACGCAAUAACGUAUAAACCGACAUUAUUAUAACUUAUCACGACGGUGGUUAUACCGACGUGGUUAUUUAUUUAAAACGACGAAAUGAAUAAACAACCGACGUCUUAUGCUAUAAUUAAAGAUAACAGAGUAGUGACUCCUAUUUAGACCGUUAACGACGUUUUUAAAAAAGUUUCGACGUGGUAAUAUCAUUCACACGACGCGAAAAUGAACCACCGACGUCUUAUGCUAUAAUUACAGAAAACAUAGUAGUGAUUCCUAUUUAGACCUUUAACGACGUUUUUAAAAACUUUUCGACGUGGUAAUAUCAUUCACACGACGCAAAAUAUAACAUACGACGUAAUAAGAAUAAUUCACAGUUUAAUACAAAUUUAAAACAGAGUGAUAGUAGGCUUACUAUUAAUUUUGCUUUCUCUGCCACCUUUGGAUCAGGGAUGUUACCAUGUUUGUCCUGUCUAGCUCUCUUCCAUAAGGUAGAUCGAUCAAUUUCUACCCCAGGCAUGGUUUCCUCCAAUUGAUCCUCCAAUCCAGCAUAUCCUUUUCGAGACAAUCGAUGAUUGUACUCGAGUUUCUCCCUAAUCUGUGCAUGUUGAGAAUGCACAGACUCAAAAUCUUUGGAUAGCCUUGAAGCUACAAAGGCAUCCCAUUGUGCUUUCUCUGUGAAUUUAUAUGUUUCAGGGGGUUGGCUUAAUUUCUCCCUGUCAUUGGUGUAUGGAAGGAUAUAAUGCCUCGUUAGUGUAGACUUGAAAUCCUUCCAUUUCUUGGAAGCAGAAGCUAAAACAGAGGUCUUGCCCCCUUGGCCUACGACAAAAGCCAUGUCAACUGCUUCCCAAAUCUGCUCCUUUAUAUCCUUGGGGAUUUGGGACCAUUUCUUGUCCACAAGUGGGAUCCUGGAGCGUGCCAACACACCAAUAUACGACUGCAUCUCAAUAUGUGCUUGGCCAACACCUUUCCCCCUUUUAUUGUACUCAACAAUUGGCCUCAGUUUCUGAAGCUUUCUCUUCACAACACGAGGCAUUGUGCUCAUACCUCGACCAGUCUUUGAAUCAUCUGAGAUUGUUGUCUGGCUGGUUUGUUCUGUCUCAGCAGAUGAUGAAGCAAACUUCAUCUUCUUCGAAGACUUCAUCUCCUUCGAAGACUUGUCUUGAGGAGCUACCAUUCCAAGCUUCUUGGAGCCAGAAUCCUUAGUUUGUUGUUGAGAAACCAUUUUAACAGACAAAACUGCAAGUGAAAAUAUUUCAGGAAAACAUUAAGAACACAAACGACGGUAUUAAAAAAAUACGACGUAUGAUAUGAUUGUAGACGACGCAAUGAAAUAAUCUCAGACGUAAUAAAUGUUUAAAACCAUUAUUUAUAUAACGUCGUGGUAUAUAUGUUCACACGACGUCAAUAGUAAUACACCGUCGUGGUAAACUAUUAUUUAUAUAACGUCGUGGUAUUUAUGUUCAUAUGACGUCAAUAGUAAUACACCGUCGUGGUAUUAACAUUCACACGACGUAAAACAAUAAGAUAUUUUGUCGUCUAUAUUAGAUACCAACCCUAGUUUCUUUUUCUUUAUAUUUUAUCAAAUAAGGGAAAAACAAAAACCAUUGUUCAGCGAAAUCAAACCUGCAAUUAAACAAGCAUAUAAAAAAAGACUAUUAUUUUAAAAACAACUUUGUCAAUUUUCAGACGACGCUAGAACAACUGACGAACCGUCGUGGUCUACCUUCGUCUUAUUUAGUUGAUGUAGUUGUCUUCAAAGUUGGAAACUUUCACUCUUUGUCUGUAUAUUUUAUCAAACUUGGAAAGAAGUAAAAUGAUUUUGGCCAGAAAAAAGGUAAAAAGAUUUUUCAAACAAAAAACGUAUGAGCAUGCAAAACAGUAACCAAAAUAGUGAAGAUGAAAGCUUACCUUUUGCGUGCAAUGAAAGCAAGAGGAAGAUGAUCGAUGUUUAAGUUCAGAGACGACGAAGAAGACGAGAGGAAGACGAUGAGAAACUCUGACAAUGCUCUGACAAGGAAAAAAGACGAAAAGGUUUCUCUGGGAGAUUGAAAUUUUUAAUCGGGUUUGGAAACAGUGCAUGUGUAAGUCGAAAAGUUGCUUACAUAUAAAACCAUUUCAAAAAAAUAAUACGGCGGUUACAUUUAACUACGUCGUUUUUAACUAAAACGACGCAAUAUUUUUCAUUCGACGUGGAAUCAUUUCAUUUAACGUCGUUAGGUUUAAUAUAACCGACGUGGAUUUUAAUUUUUAAAUUAUGAAUAGAAUUUUUUUUCCCGUGACCUUUCAGUUUAUUUUUCAAUUACAGUGCGUUAUAAAUAGAGUUUUUUUUCCGGAGGAAAUUUAAAACGAAGGAAAUUAAUAUUCUGCAAUAUGUAAAGUUUCUUUUUUGGAUGACAGAUUUAAAUAAAAUAAGAAUAUAAAAACAACAAAUGUGUAAGUCAAGUAGACGAAAAGUUGCUUACAUAUAAAACCAUUUCAAAAAAAUAAUACGGCGGUUACAUAUAACUACGACGUAUAAAUUACAAAAUACGACGGUACAUUUAACUUCGGACAUGGUAAAUAAAUACGACAGUAGUUUGUAGGUACCGUCGUAGUAAACUCAAAAAUUAAAGUACAUAAGUAAUAACUCGCGUCAUGGUAUAUUAUUUAACACGUCGUUUGUAUUAAUUUACCGACGUGGAUUUCUGUAAUAUACGUCGAUAAUACCGACGUUGAUUUUACAAUUUAAACGGCGGUUUUUUUGUAAGGACCGCCGUUGGUUUUAAAAAUUUAUUCUAUAAAUUUGUCGCUUUCAUUCAUUUUCGGUUUACAUUUAAGGUUCCAAGUUCUUCCUCUCUCAGUCUCUCAUGUCUCAAAGACAAUAAUUUGGAUGUUUUCUCAAAGAGAAAUUGAGCUUACUCGCAUCAAAUAUAUGUCCACAAGAAGAAGCUUGUCAACUAGCCUUCUCACUUCCUUGAUCAAGCCUGAUAGGACACUUAGUGCUUCUGAAUACUCCUUGCUUUCCAUCAAAAGAGAUGCAAGCCUGGCCUCCACUCGCUGUCGAAGGAAAGUUCGCUUCUCAGGGAAAUCUGAAGAUCAGAUGUGCCUGAUCCUCUGCUUGAUUUUCUUGCCUAAGAAGAUCCGUCGGAUUUAUUGUGAUAGCCUCUUCCUUUAUCCGUAGAGCUUCAGAAGAAGAAGAUGGGUUUCAAGAAUGCGAUAAAGAAUAGAAAUUGCUUCAGAUGGCCUCUAAAGCAUGAGCAAUUGAAUCAGUAGUUUCUGGGAGAUAUGAUGAAGACAUUGUCAAUGCUUUGAACUACACAAGUCCUGCAGAAAGAUAUGUUAAAGAAACUGAAACAACGGCGGUUUUCUGUUCUACCGUCGUCUUUUAUCGUCGUCUAUAUUAAGUUAAGAUGGCGGUAGAUUUAUAAUUACCGACGUAGAUUAUUUUGUUAAACGUCGUUAAGUGUACUACAACCGACAUGGAUUUUAAUUUUAAAUUAUAAAUAGAGUUUUUUUUCCCGUAUUCUUUCAGUUUUAGUUUUCAAUUCCAAAGCGUGAUAAAUAGAUUUUUCUUUCCCGAGGAAAUUUAAAAUGAGGGAAAUUAAUGUUCUAGAAUUUGUAAACUAACACGACGCAAUAUUUGCAAAUCAGUGUCAUCUGUUAAGAUUAUGAUGUGGAACAGAGUUCCAUCUGGUAAGAUUUCGUAACCCUUGGGAUCUCAGACAAAACUGAUUAUGUCGGCGGUGUUCUAUAUAAACCGUCGUGGUUAUUUCAAUUCUUGUCAUUAAGUAGAUCUACCGACGUAGGAUAAGAAAAUCAAAGAAAAAAAUUGUUAACAAAAAUUCUUAUUAAGACGACCGUUAAAAUUAAAGGUACGACGUAUAAAAUGAAUAAAUACGACGAUAAAUUUUAUUGUACGAUUUAAAGAUAACGUCGUAGAACUAUACGAGAAUGACGUCGAUAUAUUUAUAUUUUCCGUCGUUGUAAAUUAAUUUAAUACGGCGAUAUUUUGUAUUUUAAAGCCGUGGAUUUGUUUGUAAUUAUACGGCGUCUUAUACGAAAACCUCGUCGUGUUAUUUUAUGAGUAAAAACGGCAGUUUUUAUUGAAAUCGUCGUCUUUACUUUCUACGUCGGUCGAUUCAUAACUUCUGCCGUUCUUUGUUGGCAUUGAUUUUACACUGCGGAAAUCUGUUUCAAAUAGACGUCGGUUGUUUAAUUAUGUACGUCGUUGUUUUUGAACAGCCAUUUGAAACUCCAUUUUUUAGUUGUCUAAGGUUGUAUUACACGACGGUGUUUUUAGAACCGUCGUCUUUUUAUAAACCACGACGAUUUUCACUUAGACCGUCGUUGUUUUCUGGUCGUCUUUUUCACUUUUUGUAGUAGUGACUCUUCAGCAAUAUUUUAUCAAAAUAUCGCUAUAAUAUCGAAAAUAUCGAUGUAAUGAAAAAAAAAGAAAAAAGAAGAAGCACAAAACACACAUGCAAAGGGGAUUCAAACUCUUGCCAUUUCACUCUUUCAACGCCUUAACCACCAUGUUGCUUAUGAUUUUUUGAUAAUAUGGUAAAAUAUGUAUAUUUAUAUUCUUUUGUUUUGAACUGUUUUUGUAAGAAUCAGAUUUUCACAUGAGAAUGUGAGUCAUUGACCGUUCUUUUUGGGAUGGAAUCGAGCGGCUCACGGAAAGAAUUUAAGACCCAAAUCUUCAAAUGAUUUUGCUUAUAGACAAUGUCAAUCAAUCUCAGAUCCAUAUGGGUGACAUGUUAACAAUUACAUACAAAACUAUUUUGAGGAUUUAUCAUUUGAUGACUACUCUUCACAAUACACUUAUUCUACACAUAGAGAUGAUGAAGAUAGUGAAAAAUUUGAACUUCAUAGGAACUCUAUGUGGCACUAAGUCACUCAUGUAUCUUAGCAUGCAAGUAUAAAGUGUAAGAUAUUGUAGUAAAUUAUUAUAUAUAAAUGAUUAUGGUGUGUUUAAUCUUCUUUCAUUAAUUAUUACAUAUUUUCUAUACUCACAAUGUUCAUCAGCUUGCUAUAUAAUCAACUUAAAUCAGUUAAACCCAUCAUGCAAUGCAUUUCCUUCCAAUUUUUUGUGACUAAUAGAUAAUUGACUAAAUAAACAUCCUCCAAAGUUUCAAUAAAAUUUUCCAAGUUUUUCUUAUAAUUUACGUCGUUUUUAUUCAAUUUUCAUCGAUAUCAAUAAUAUUCAGAUAUUUCCAUCGAAUUUUCGUGUAUUUGGACUACCGAUAUUUUCGAUACCAUCGAUAUUUUAGACCUUGGGUAUAAUAUAUAUAUAUGAUAAAGAUGGACUCAUUAGAAUUCCAAGUCAUCCAACAUCGGUGGAUUAUGUUCAAUCAAAACUAGAAACUCCGAAAGCCACGAUGUCACACCAUAUGUGAAGCCAAGUCUUCAGAGGUCUAAGCCCAACCCGUGGAAGUAGGCCCAAAACCUCCUGAUGUUUUUAUGCACGUGACGAGAUCCAUCCAAGGAAAGCAGUUGAAGAAAUUGAUGUCAAUCCGGAACAUUCAUAAUGAGGAGAGAAUCAAGUGAUUAGAUUUGCAAUUCGAUAAUCUCAUUCGAAUUAAUUCCGCGGAUUUUGGAAGCUACGAAAAGAAAAUUUUUGAACGAAGUUGACCUUUUGUCAUUUGAUGGCCAACCCAUGGACUGACAGAUGCCCCUAUAUAUACCUCUUUAGAUGAAGAGCAAAGGAGACCGACAUGAGAUACAAAAACCUACUUUUUGUUUUUCACUUUUCUAUCCCUGGACUAGGUUUUUAUUUUCCAAGCAAGUAGACUAGAUUAGUUCUUCGAUUUCGUUAGUGUAAGUUUAAUUUCUUGCAUUUUCCAUUACGUUAUUUUAAGAUCCAAAUUUGUUGCUUUACUUUUAAUUGUUAUCGAUUUUUUUUUAAGUUUAAUAUAAUUUCAAAUUGCUUUAUUUUAUCAUAUUUAUCGUUCAUAUCGUUCAUAUAGUUCUUGUUUCAUUCUUACUUAAAUUUACGUUUAUUGUUGCUUCAAUCUUAUUUUUGCAUUUAUUUUCUUGUUAUUUAGUGGCUUGGUGGCUUGGUUUGCCUCAUACUAUGUAGAAGUGCAUGUACAAUUCGAUUUGAAGGGUGCAAAUUCAAGUGCAAAGAAGACACCAACGGGCACGGGUAGAGGUGGUUCAUCUGCCACAGCUGAGAAAAAAGGCGGCCAAGGUUCGGGGCUGAUGGAAAGAGAAAGAGAAGAAGAGGGAGAUGAAAGAAGAGACGUUGCCUUUCCUUCUUCCUGUAUUUGGCACGUUUUUUAAGAAAAUGUAAAUAGAUUUUUCCUCCACACAAACAUUUUUGGUAGGUCACUUGGUGAGGAACGGUAGGAUCUUCGGUUGUAGUGUUGGCUUACAGGGUUAUACUGGUGAUACUAUUGAAUUCAACUCCAAGAUUUAUCUUUUGCCUUUAGUAGCAUUUUAUUUUCAUCAAUGCACUAGAUAAUGGUUUUAGUAGAUUAACUUGUGUUUACGGUGGUUUGAUAUAGUGUGUCAGGUGACAAUUCUCACUGAGUAAUCUGAGAACCAGAGCUUCUACAAAAUCACUAACCAGUUCAUAAAAUAUGUUUGUCUUUUUCUAAUCUCACCAUGAGAAAUAUUAAUUAAUUUGCCUUAACAAAAAUAAUACAAAGUAUUGGUUUGUAUUAAACUUUGUUGGUUAAUACUUUUUUUAAUAAAAAAUUUGCUGCUGGUUAAUCUCUGGUUAAGCUUAAUAUUUAGGAGGGGUGUGUUUUCUCACACACAAAUGUCAAAGUGCCAUAAGGAUUUGAACAGAAGACUAUUAGUCUGCAAAGCAAGGUACUUUUUCACUAGUGUCCGAAUCAAAUCAUGCUUGAAGAAUACUAAUAGGGGAUUUUUCUUUCAGCUGAUAAAAGUAAAACAUCAAAGCUCAUCAUGGUGAUCGAAAACCAGAUGCAUCCAAAUUGCAAGGCAUGCCUUUCUCUUUGUGGUAGUAUAAUGAGCAUCCCUCUCAUACCCUCCAUAAUAAUCCUAAGCAUUAAUGUUGUAAAUUAGAUAAAUCCAUACAUACAUAAAACGAGCAUAAUAAGUAAUAGUAGCUAGUGGGAAUUAUAUCCCAACAAUUCAACAAGAACGAACAAAGUAGUAAUAUUCUCACUCUCAUAGCAAUACUACAAAUAGUAGGACAAAACAAUAUUGGUAAACACACGAGUGGUCCAUAUAGUUCUCCAGAAAUCCCUAAAAUAGAUCUUGCAUCUAGGUAUGCAACACCAUAUGAAGGGCCCAUACCAUAUGUGAUUAUGAACCUUUAUUUAACUACAUAUAGAUAUAGUAGUACAACAAAUAUUACUGUCCGUCUGGGAAACGGAAACCGUCAAUAUGCUACUGAUAAUAUGUCGAUAUAAUUGUCGCCAAUAAAACGUACUGACAUGUUAUCGAUACAUUUUCAGUAAUAUCGAUGCACAUAUAUUAUUUCAACAAUAUGCACAACCUUUAUUUAAUAAAGAACUGAUGGCUUGCAUAGAGAACUUCUGAGAUAUUCAUCAGAGACGUAUAUGUAAACACCAUUUUUAUUAAGGGGUGGUGGUUAUUGAAGGUGGAGAGAACGGAAAUAUGGGAGUUGAUGGGAAAUUUGGAAGUGAAGUAAUAAUAGGGGGAGGCAACCUAUAUUCUGGCCAUAAAGGUGUGGAGGUCAGAGGAGGAAACUUCAGGUUAGGGAUCUUGGGCAGCUUAUAACGAGGAAAGGUAGGGGCUAAGAGUUUUCGAGGGGCAGCGAAAGCUGAAUGUGUGCUUGAAAGUAAUGAAGCGAUGACAAAGAUAGCUAUGACAAACGAUUUCCAAGUUGCCAUCUUAGUGUGUGGAAAUAAAGCUUAUGAAAUUUGAUGUGAACGAGAAGACCAGCCUAUGGUUAUAAUUUAUAACGUUCAGAGGGAAC